GGUAUCAACCCUGCUAGGAGCUUUGGUGCUGCCGUCAUCUACAACAAUGACAAAGUCUGGGAUGACCAGGUAAGUUCUUUUUUCUUCAAAUAUUUACUACAGCUGGGCUGCUACAAUAAAAUGUUGCUAGCAUCCGGCAAGCAGCAGGAGUAUCAUUUUAAUGGAAUUCUUUACAAAUAUAUGGUGCAGUGGAUCUUCUGGGUUGGACCAUUUGUGGGGGCAUUGGCAGCAGCAGCAUAUCAUCAGUACAUCUUGAGGGCUGCAGCUAUCAAGGCCUUGGGAUCUUUCAGGAGCAACCCCACAAACUAAAGUUAAAAAAGAAAAAAAAGCCAUCCAUCCACCUGUCCAUGAGGCGUGAAGAAAUUAAUGAAUUCCUAAUUCUCUCUCAAUAUCUGGAAUUGCUUGCUUGUUUUCCGCCGUGUGUAUUAGAUAGAUAGAGGGAGAGGAUUUAAUUUAUGAACCAUCCCAUCUUUUCUUUUGUAAACUUAUCAUCAUUCCCUUUAAUUUGUUUUUCAUAUGGCUUCCAUCUUUUUCUUUUUUUUAAUGUUUUUCCUAUGUGUUGCUAGUCUUUGGCUGUGUAUAUUUAUUUGGUAUGAUGAAUAGUGCUGGUGGAGUUGUUUUUCUUUAAAUCUCUGCAAGUAUUGCUCCUCCAUCCCUCUAAAGAAAAGAGUAAUUGCUCUGUUUUCUUCCUCGGGGAGAGUAUCAAAAUUAAGCUUGAUUUUGACCAAUUCAGUUCCCGGAGCAACGCGUUGGGAGGGGAUGAUCAUUCAUUGCUUGGAAAGAAAAGAGAAAAAGGGUUUUUGCCCUGUCCUGUGAAAUUGCUUUUAACUUUUUCUUUCUCUAGAGAAAAGAAAGUUGUUAGGGGGGGAGGGACGAGGGUAGGCCACACUGCAGCUCUGGAAAGCCUGAGAAAAGGUCUGAGGGUCUUCUGCAGGCGUGACGUGACACAGAGAGGGGAAGGGGGACCCUUCCCUCUCCUGAUGAUGCCUUGUUUUGUUUGGACUUGCUUAUAAAAGACGAACAAUACAGGACACUUUAGCAUAGGGAAAAGAAGAGCAGUUUAAACGAUUGCUCCAUAAAGAAAACUUCUAGUGUUCCUUCUCUAAUAGAAUAGGAAUUGUUAAAAUGGUGGCAGAGGGAAAAAGAGCCCCGGUCCGGUCCGGUGGGAAUUUUGAUGACAUUCCAAUCCAAGAUCACAGGGGUCCUGUGACUACCCGGCGGAGGGAAAUGGGGCAGGAACGGUUGUCAGAGACAAUCGUUCCUGAAGGUUUACGGUUAUAGUGUGAUUUCAAAAAUUUGUGCCUGAAGGUUUACGGUUACGGUGUGAUUUCAAAAAUUUGUGCGGCUCAAAUUACAGUAUGUAAUUUGAUUUUCACAUCACGUGUGGAGUUCAUAAAAAAGUGUUGUAAAAUUAUGUCGUGUGUAAAGCAAGUUACAUCGUGUGCAAUGAAAAUUACGCGCAGUUAAAAAUGAAUACAAUCGAUCGUAUCCCCGAUGGAGGGAAGGACCUAGGAACUAGGGAUGGCAACGGGGCGGGAAGGUGCCCGGCAUUAUCCAUAUCCAAUUGGCUUUCAUUUUGUCUUUUUGGGGGUUCUUUCUCUUUUUAAACAACGAAAGCAUGAUGGUACGAUUCAGUUUUAACAAUUGUUGAUUGUGUCAUGGCUAAUAUAAUUCGGAUGUAGUUAGUCUUAUCCUUGGAUGAAUUGCUUUUGCUUUUUGUAGUUUGGAGUCAAUAAGAAAAGACAAGAAUAAAAGGUUGGAUCACGAAUCUUGCUUUUAUUUUGUGCGCUGGUAGUUCAAGAACAAUUUAUGAGUAUGUUUUCAUGGAAAAUUUUUUAUAAAAAAUAGUACCAUGCUUGCAUUAGAGAUACACGUUUUUUUUUUCUUUGAUGAUUAUUUAUGUUGUCAAUCGUCAUUCCAUCUCAAAUAUUAAAUUUCUCAACAUUUCUCUCUCCCUCUCCAAGCUUAAAAACAAGAGGAAAGUUUGUAGUGCAGAAAUUGGGAUAACUUUAAAAACCUUUCCUAAGGGGAGAUUUUUGAGAAUUUCACUAACAUCCCUUGAGAUUUGUAAAAUUACACUAAUCUCCCAUAACAUUAAGGUUUUGAUAACAAAAUCAGUCCAAACAAAAAAAAAAGUAUUUUAAGGAGAUAGAUGAAACUGUUAUGAAACAAUUAAAAGUAUGGAUGCCCCUUUGUAUUCCCAAGAGGAUUAAUUCUUGAUUUUAUGGCUACAUUAUGUAUAGAAAUUACAAUCCAUAAAUCUAUUCAUGUAGUGGAGAAACCAUUUCAUAAGUUUCUUCAUAUUAUUGUAGUAGUGGGUGUUUAACAGGAUUUAUGUACCUUUGAUCUUGUAGUACCUAUAUAUAGAGGUACAUUGACACCAUUUGGAAGGACUUUGGUAUCUUGUUGGAAUAUAAAAAUAUCAUUCUCCAUUGCUCUACUUUUCCUCAAAUAUCUCCAUUUAUAGUAUAAUAGUUUAUUAGUUUUAUAACACGUUAUCAGCACGAGUCUCUAUUUUUGAGCAAAAGAUGAAAACGGAGCAUCUACCGUGAACAAAAGUGAAACACAAGGUUUUGCCAAAAUUCUGUCCGUAUUUCUUCAAGUAACUUCUGAGUUAAAUCUCUGACCCACAAACUUAUGUCAAUUUCUUAUGGCUAACAUUUGAAUUAUCGCAAAAAAUACAAGUGCCUAUUGCUGAACAAUCACCAAACACAAACAUAUACUGUUUGACACCUUUGAGGUAAUAUUUCUUCUUUUAAUUCUAUUUAUUUACAUUUAGAAUUAUUCGUUAUAGAUACUUAUAUUAUGAUGCAUUGAGUUUUGGAAAUGCUAUUAUAGAAAAUCAAUUAUACUUGAUGAUCUACUUAUCCUUUGAAAUAUUUAAAGAAAAAUAUUCGACCACCUGAAGAUGGUCGUUCUUUAACGAAAAUAUUUGGCCACUAGAAGAUGGUCAUUAUUUCAAAAGUCUGGUAUGAUAAAUUUACGUAUGGCUAUAAGAACAUAAUUCUGCAAUUUUUAGAAUUACUUCUCAGUUGAAAUUAUGUCGAAAAAAUUUUACUCAUAAGAUAUAUUGAAAAUGAUAUUCUUCACAAUUGAUUUCUCUAAUAUGCUCCUGUAGUAGCAAUAUUAAGAGAAAUUUUGAGAAGUAUUUUGGACUUAUUGCAUGCUAAUUCUAGUCCAUUCCCAGAAGUGAAUGUGACUAAAUUUCAAUUUAUUAGUUAUGGUUGAUGCCAUGACUAUGAUUUUGAUAAAUAUAUAUUUUAUCAUAACAAAAGAAAAAAUUACCACUUGAAGUGGGAUAAUAUUGAUGAGGACAAGAAAAUAAGGAUUCUGAAGAUAAAUGUCCCGAAGUACAUUUGACGAAUCAAAAUUAUAAUAUCAUCUUCACAUGGCCAAUUUCUUUAAACACCUUGAAAGUGUAUGAUGAUUCAUUUAAUUAACUUUUCUUCCUGAAGAAGAAAUGGAUGUUAAAUAUUUGGGAUCAAAGGAUUAUGGUGAUGAUAUUUGUCCCAUAAGAAUUAUGGUGACAAUGAUAUGCGUCUCAUUAAUAAGUGCUACUAUAUAAACUAUAUUCCAACAAAAGAGACAAACACAAUUAGUGUUAGUGCUUAAGUGAUUGAAAACUCCAGAAGAGCCACUACUAUAUUUCUCCCUGUAGGAGAAAAGUUUAUCAUGAAUAAAGUACUACUUUUACCAUGUCUCGAAAAUUUUAUUGAAUUUGAAUAUCCGUUGAAAUGGAUAUCAAAUUGAGACAUUAAAUGGGACAAUAAUAAAGAUCAUAUUUAGAAAUCAAGUGAGAUAAAGGUUAAUUAUAUUAUAAUAACCAUUCGAGAGAGAAAUGGUUAUCGAUAUAGUUGUCUUCAUUCUCAUUUUGAUUUAUAAUCAUCAAUUGCAGCAAACCAGAAGUUUACUGAUCCCAAUGGAUAUAUGAUUUGACAAAAGUGAGAAUAUUUGAGAGUCGACAAGUAUUUAUACAUACCCCCUUUAUAUUAUAUAUGGCUCCAAAAGAAAUUUAGAAUUUAUGUCAGGUAUGAAUCACUUUUUACGAUUAAAUAUCGUAAAAUAUUUGAUGAAUGAUCUAUUAAAUGAUUUAUUUAUUCUGAUGAGUUACGAUUCCCGACAUUAGGGGGAGGAAGAAAUCAACCGAAAGGAAAUCACCUGAAAAAUUGGAUUUCCUCGAUCCUCAUACAAAAUAAUGUGAACUGAAAGUUCAAGAAAUUAUUCAUUUGCAGAAAAUUGCAAACCAGUUGUCAGAUAUAUUAUCGACUCCAGAAGAGUUAUUAAAUCAACUGCUCUUGCAGGAAAUACCUUGAUUAAAAUUGAUGUCCCUGAAGGACAUGCACAAGUGUUACAAAUAAAUUUAAGGUCGGUCUACCUAAAUAAGGUAUAAAUUGAUUUCAAAUAUCUCCGGAGAUUAAAUGUCAUGACAAAAUUUAAUCUCUUGAAAAUGUUGCUCCUGAAGAGCCAACUUAUGAAGAGAAUGAAAUCAUAAAAAAAAAAAAAUUUAAUUGGAGCCUAAUAAAAUGUAGCACUUGAUAUUAUAGAACUUGAUGAGAAUCAUGAAUCUAGAUCGGUUGAUGAAUGUCGGUAUAGAAAUGAUUGAAAAAAUGGAAAGAUGCGAUUCAAUUUGAAUUGGACUCACUGGCUACAAGAAAAAUUUUUGGACCUGUAGUCCAAACACCUGAAGGUGUAAAGCCAGUAGAAUAUAAAUGGGUAUUUGUGAGAAAAAGAAAUGAGAAAAAUGAAAUUGUGAGAUAUAAAGCAAGACUUGUAACCCAAGGAUUUUCACAAAGGCCUGGAUUUGAUUAUGAUGAAACGUAUUCACCUGUAGUGGAUGCUAUCACAUUUAGAUAUCUUGUGACUUUUGCAGUACAUGAAAAAUUAGAUAUGCAUCUAAUGGAUUUCGUUACUGCAUAUUUAUAUGGGAAUCUUGAAAAUGAUAUUUAUAUGAGAAUCCCCGAAGAAUUCAAUAUGCCUGAAGCAUGCAAAUCAACUUCUAAAAAUAUUUAUUCUAUUAAAUUACAAAGGUCUCUGUAUGAGCUCAAACAAUCUGGACGUAUGUGGGAUAACUGUCUCAAUGAAUCUCUGACAAAAGAAGGUUAUACUAAUGAUCCAAUAUGUCCAUGUGUUUUUAUUAAGAAAAAUGGAUCAAAUUUUGUGAUAAUUGCUGUAUAUGUUGAUGAUCUAAAUUUGAUUGGAACUCCUGAAGAGAUUCAAAAUAAUGUUGAAUAUUUGAAAAAGGAUUUUGAGAUCAAGAAUUUUGGAAAAACAAAAUUCUACCUUUUUUUUACAAAUUGAGCAUUUGAAAUGUAGAAUUUUUAUCCACCAAACUGCAUAUAUCCGGAAGGUAUUAAAGCAGUUUUAUAUGGAUAAGACACAUAUAUUAAGUACUCCAAUGGUCGUCAGAUCAUUAGAUCCCAAAAAGAGUCCUUUUAGAUCGCAAGAGAAAAAUGAGAUACUUGGUCCUGAAGUACCAUAUUUCAGUGCAAUUGGCGAAGAAUAUUGGAAUGCGACGAUUAAAAGAUCUCAAAUAAUGUUUGCAUCAGGGGGAGAAAUUAAUGCACAAGAAUAGUGUACUCUUUUUCCUUCACUAGGAUUUUUGUCCCGAUGGAUUUUUACCUGGUAAGGUUUUAACGAGGCAUAUUCUUUGUGUAAUGGACAUCCAAGGGGGAGUGUUAUGAAACAAUUAAAAGUAUGGAUGUCCAUUUGUAUUCCCAAGAGGAUUAAUUCUUGAUUUUAUGGCUACAUUAUGUAUAGAAGUUACAAUCCAUAAAUCUAUUCAUGUAGUGGAGAAACCGUUUCAUAAGUUUUUUCAUAUUAUUGUAGUAGUGGGUGUUUAAUAGGAUUUAUGUACCUUUGAUCUUGUAGUACCUAUAUAUAGAGGUACAUUGACACCAUUUGGAAGGACUUUGGUAUCUUGUUGGAAUAUAAGAAUAUCAUUCUCCAUUGCUCUACUUUUCAUUUAAUAUCUCCAUUUAUACUAUAGUAGUUUAUUAGUUUUAUAACAGAAACUUUUAUUCUAUAAAUACUCCUUAUGUAUGUGUAUAAGUUGUAUUAAUAAAAGAAUGAAAAUAAUUAAAAAUUAGAAACAACUAAUACACAUAUUUCACUGCUUAAAAAGUUCAUAUUCAAUACAAUAAAUAACACAAAUAAGCAACAAAAUUACACUAAUGAUCACACGACUUAACAAAACAAAACAAACUAGUCAUCCUUGUUACACAUGAGAUUUGGUAUGAUUCUUGUGAUUAUGAACAAAAAAAUUUUUUUGAAUAUUGCCUCUCUUUCCCCUUCUUUCUCUUUCACGAAAUAACUUUACAACUAUCACAACUUUAAGAGUAUUAAAGAAAAUUUCUUAUGACUAGGGGUGUGGAUGAGCCAAACCGCUCGCAAGGCUUGAUCAAAAGUUUGGCUCGAAUUCGGUUUGACCAAGUUUGAGUUCAAAUUCGAACUCAAGCUACUCGUUCUGUGUAACAAGUCAAUUUCGAGCAUCAGUAGUAACUAUUUGAGUAUUCGAUGAACUUAAUCGAGUAUUCUGGGUUUGUAUACUUUAUUUAUAUAUUAUAUAUUUAAUUAUGAAAUGGCUAUUAUGGGUUCAUAUUUUAAUAAAUUUAUAUGAGGUAAUGUUCAUUAAAAAAAGUUAUAAAUGACAAAAAUGAUAAUUUGAUAAAUCUAAAAUGUUAAAAAUGAAAAACAAGAAAAGAAAAACUCAAGUUCGACCUCGAGUAGUUCGAGAUUAAUAAGGCUUGCAGUUUACCCGAACUCAAAUGUAAAAAAAUGUUUUAAAAAAAUGAUAGAUGACAAAAAAUGGAAAUUUGAUAAAUCCAAAAUGUAAAAAAUUAAAAACAAGAAAAGAAAAACUUGAACUCAAUCUCGAGUAGUUCGAUCUUGAUAAGGGUUGCAGUUUACUCGAAUUCAAAUGAGUCGAGUUUGAGUUUAAUUUCCAUUAUAUCGAGUCGAGUUCGAUUUCAAAUUUAUAUACCUAUUUGAGUUCAAACUUGAAAAUGGUGCUACUUGAGCGACUCAAUAGCACCGCUACUCAUGACCAAUCUUCUUUUGUUCUCUAUUUUCUUUAUUUUACAAGCGAGCCUUUCUUCUCACGUUAUUGUGUACAAUUGAUUUCUGAUCAUUAUCAAAUUCUAUCAAUCACAAAAUGAUACCAUUUGAUAUUUCAAUUGGCGUUAUUUUGUAAUUGCAAGUUACCAUUCAUCAUUAAAGAAAUUUCUAACAAUUAUUUCCAUUAAUUAGUCACUAACAAUUAAUUAAUACUCUAAUUACUCAAUCGUUAGAUAUUAGUUUUUAAUAAUACAUAAAGUCUCAGGGUAUAUCGGUAAAUUUCUCAUGUGAUGUAACUAACUGAGCUCACAAUUAUGCCAAGGGAGGUGAAUAUAAUUUACAAACUUCAAGAGAGCUGGUGAAAUUGCUAGAAACCUCAGAGGAUUUUGAAAUUACCCCGCAGAAAUUCUCCCCGAAUCUCUCAUCGACCAUUUUGAAGAAGUAAAUCCAGAGGAGAUUGCAUCCUUGACCAGUAGCUGUCGACUGCAGUGGACCAAAAUCUCCCCACCCUAAGUUAUUCUUUUUCCCUCACUGAUUUCUCUGGUCCAGACACCCGAUGGAAUCCUUCGGAUGACCAAAUGAAACAAUGGAAAGAGUAGUCAGUCGUCCUACAGUUGAGAGGAAAAAUCAUAAGCAGUCCAGUACGAGAUGGAAAGCGGUGAUUGGCUGGCUGGCCUCCCAGAAUAGAAACAGCCAGAAUCGAGAAUAGACUGACAAAAAGACCUUCAAUUCAUUCAUCAUCUUUGCUACAGUCACUUUCAUGACCCCCCAAAAAAACCAUUUCAACUACCGCGCAAGGAUGAACGAAGCAUCAAAGAGCUUGAACCAGACCGUGAUAAUGUGAGAGAUGAUUACACAGCAGAUACCAGCCGUUUUACCUCCAACCUUACACAACAGCUUGUUUUCGCAAGAAACUCAGUUCUGAAGACGUCCUCUGCAUGACUGAUAUUCAAGUCAAUGCUUACUAUUGUUUUAGUACUUUAUGUUGAAUGAUACCACUUGAGAAAUGCUGACUAAUGUUGGUUUUUCCUACGUGCUUUUGGUGUUUCAGUUUUCUGGUGUAGGAUGGGGAAUGUUAAACAUAAUUAUGAAGCCCGUCAAUUUCAUCCACUCACACCAACAUUCUGUUUUCUUCACUUGAUGUUUGGGCAAGUUUAAUCUUUCUUGGAAGAGAACACUAAGAGAAAAGAGAAAACACCAUCACGGUAAUAUCUACUGUCACCACCUUUAUCCGAUUCACAGAAGGGAUAAACUGGAAAGUAAAUCUUGCAGAAGUCCUCCAAUUACAACUUCAUAAUAAAGCACAAAAUGUUGCGUCUGUGUACAACAAACUGUUUUGACAGACGAAACCUUGGAUCAUGAACAGGGGAAGGCAGUGGAUGCAAUCGCUGGGUCAAGCACCGAUUCGCUACGCAGGAUGGAAAUGUAAUCCAUGUAUACCCAAAGCAUAAAGAAUCUUGCCUUCUUGUAUUCCACUUCAGUCUGGUAAAGCAGUUCCUCUUUCAAGAUUGUUUUUGAUCUCCAGAGUAUAUUUGCCGAAGGCACGCUCAAUCUUCUUAUUGAAAUGCUCAUUUCGGUCAUUGAUGGAGUCGAUGUCCUUCUCUUCACGGUACCUUCUCCUCCUGCUAAAUGCUCUGCGCUUUUCUUCCCUGUCCUUGAGCUCCUUCACCAUUUUGUCAAUUUUUUCUUCCGCUAUUUUUGGUGCCUGUCCAGUCAGAAAAAAUAAUAUAUCCAGCUCCCAAAAAGCCCAAACAAACAUAAACAUACCAGAACAUCAGUGCAAAAGAAAAUAAUCAGCCAGAGUAUCAGUGUGUAUACUUACUUUUCCAUACUGGAGACUCGAAGCAUCUCGGUAGAAUUCUGGAUCAGCUUCUUUCAUUUUGUUGUAUUCCUCUAGAUCCACCUCAAUGUUACCUGUUCUUUUCUUGUAUGCAUUGUACAAUGUUUUCUGAUUAAAGACUGUUAAAAAGGAAAACAGAAGUUCAGUUGCCCAUCAAUGUGUUCAUCGGUGUAAAGUUACACAGGAAAAACCCAUAAUACAAUCAUAAACCCCAGCCAUAAAGCAUUAAAAACUCUAAUUGCUUCAUAAAAAUAGCAUCCUAAACUAGACAAGGGAGAGAAUUUAUGAGACCACUUUUGCAAUACAUCAAGCGCAAUUUGUGGAAUAUUUGCUAUAUUCUCAACUUGCAAAUGUAGAGCACUUUAAGCAACAAUGCAAAACCAAAUCAACCAAGCCUUCCCAAUUACUUGGUUGCCAUUAUACAAACGCAUCUUCUUAAUUCACAGGUAACAUCUAAUCCUUCUCUAUCUGCCUCCAGCUGCUAAAUUUGGUCUUCAUCAUUCAAUAACCCAUGUGGAAGGCAAGCAGGAGAGAUUCAUUAGUUACCAAGUCACCAACAAUAUAGUUUUCAUGUUUAUGGGGCUAAAUGUCUUGAAUGGAGUAGCUUGAAGUUCAAAAUAGAAUACAAUUGGUAAAUAAUUUUGUUGAAGCAACUCAAUCACAAUGUCAAUCUCAAUCUGAAUAAUGAAUAUUGUGAUGCCACACUCUCUUAUAAGCAGAUUACUUAGGCAACAGAAUACAAAGAUACCUAUACUACAAUCAUGCGUAUGCAAAUCCUCCUUACACGUGCGUCCAUUUAAUGUAGACAGAGAACGAAUAUAUUACCAUCCCAACCAGCUGGAGCAGGGUUCUUCUCCCACUUCUUAUACUUUGUUUCUGCCAUGUCCUGUGUGUCUAGCAUGUAAGCUUUACUCAUGUCCAAACCAUUGGCAUCUAGAAGUCUACCGAUUUUCUUCUUUCGUUCCUCGAGCCAUUUCUGCUUCGAAAUGCCCCUAGAUUCUUCCGGAACUUCCAUUUUUUUCUUUUCUGCUACCAUGGCCGUUUGAUUUGCUUUUCUGGCCUCAUUCUGCCCGCAAAGAAAAGCAGAUUAGAAAACAUCAGAAAAUAAAUACAAUAACAUAAAGGUUCAACAGAAAAACCAAAGUGAGUAGAUGAUGCAAUUUUUCAUUAAUAAGAGACCAGAGUGAGGAUUUAACACGAAAAAAUCACGUGAUUCUAACCAUUUUAAGCCUUAGCUCAAACAACUUUUUCUGCCUUCCUGUAAGAUUUGUCAUGUCCACUCCCACAUUAUCUUCAGCAUCAGAGCUCCUCUCCCCAGCAGAAUCAUUAUUACCCACAUGUAAGUCUUCACCCUCAUUAGAACUGGCGACUGGAUUGGGCUGAUCUCCACUAUCAUAGGCUUCCGCUAGUUCUAGCACAUUCCAUAUAGAAAUGUCAAUAUGCAUAUAUAAUUCAAAAAUAUCAAGCCAAUGUUGAAAAAACAAAGCCUUUCCAGGAGGAGGCUACUCACAGGCACAAGCCUCCUUUUCAUGCACCCGAUCUAUGUUCUUACAGUAACCAAUAACAAACUAGUACGAUUGUUAGGUACCAAUGCCUACUAAAGUUUCUUAUCAACUGAUCAGAACUCUAAAAACACAACCAUCUAUCAAAAACUAUUCUGGAUUUGCAGAGGCACACCCCAAACAAUGACAUGUACCACAAACAUGUGAAAUACUCAAAGUACUCAUUUUAAUUUAAAAGUUCAUCACAAACAUCCUUGAGAGAGUUACGAGGUAAAUUCCUAUUCUCUGGCCUAAUGACACUUGUAAAUGGUGAAAAUACAGUGACAGAUGUAAAUAAGAAAGAUAUAGCACAGAAAAAGAAGCAGGAGGCUGAAGCAUUGCUUCUUGAUAGUUCGGCUGCAUCACAAAUAUCUUCAACCAGCUUAUUUGUGAAAUUCCAAUAAAUAGGCACAGGAAAGUAUAUCAAAGCAGUCACAAAAGGAUUAAUAAUCAACUGCAUCAUCCAAGGCUAGCAAAAUAAAUGCUUGGAACAGUGAAGGAUCAGAAGGGCAAAAAGGCCAGAUGGUGGCUGCCGAAAUAAGGAGACUGGGCUCCAAAUAAGUUCAAGGAUACCAAAGUAGACAGGGCAAGUUCAAAGCUACCCAGUAAUCAUUAAAGGCACAUAUAUCCUUAGAUCAUAUUUAGUUCACAAAGAUAUUUAGCUCUUGCAUGGGUGACCACUUCUCAGCAUUUUAUCAGGGGAGGAGACUGACUGAUUGACCAAGCUCCCACAGCCAUUCUUCCCUCAACUGUUCUCUGUUUCAGUUAAAUUGAACCAGCUGAUGAAGUUUGAUGCAUAAAGAUGCCCAUAAGGGUGCUAUAAUAACACUGGGCACCAUCCUGCCGAUAUAGCCACCCCUAGAUCUAAGGAAUGGCAAACUUGUAAGUAUCUAGGAGUUGGGAAAGGUGAAAGACAGUGCCUAAAGUUGGAGGUAACAAGCUUAAGAAUGUCUUGUUAGGUUCAUUACAAGGUACGGUUGGGUGAAAUUAGCAUAUAGGCUCAGCACAGCAGCAUACAAGAAUAUAGUUAAUAUUAGAAUCAAUGGCUCCAGAAGCCAGCAUACUAUAGAAACAAAUUUAUAGCUAUCAACUAACCACUUAUGUUAAUCCUAGAGUAAAAAUAGGAAAAGCAAAGUCAUCUCCAAUUCAAACUCCCAAGUCCAUUUUCUCAUCACAGCUUUUAAGCACGGCACAACAAAAGCUUAAAUUACCUAGACAACAUGACUUGCAAGCUUGAACCAACUCAUAUAGAGGUACAAUAUUGGCCAAUUCCUAUCUCCAAUCUCCAAAGAAAAGAACAGAAAAUACAGUUGAGUGUAGGAAACCAACCUGUAUUAUUUGUAUUCAUCUUCUUCUUGAGCUCAGCAAUGAUCUUGAAACAAUAUUCACUACAUUCAUGGUAAGGGUUAGAUGCAUUCCUGCAAUCAGGAUGCACCCUUCCUUCUUCGGUCAUCCCGUUAAUACUGUAUCACUAGGAAUAGAAACAUCAACAGACACCCAUAUCAGAAAAGGGAUCAAGUUUCAAACAACAGCACAAAACUAAUGGAAUAUGACGUAUCAGAUAAAUCAACUGAAGUACCCCACAAAAAUUUUAAAAACUACACCCCAAGUAAGAAUACAAAACUUCCAACUGAUUAUUCAGUCUAACACAAUGCCAUCUCCAGACAAGAAAAGAGGGAGGGGGUACUGAACCUAAUAACCUCGUCGAUUUGCAAGUAAAACCGAAGCUAAAAACCAUCAUUCUUUAAUUUCUAGAAGCAGUUACUGAUCAACCGAUAGUACCAUAGUAAACGAAUUGCAACCACCGAGACGUUAAAUUAGGUUACUAUUACUCCUUUAGCCCGCAUCACAAAACAAUAUGAAAAAGUUUAGAGGUAAUUCAGGGAAGGGUAUUCUAAUUGUAGCUGCCGUACAAGUUAUGGAAGAGCAUACCCGGGAAUAAGAGGACUUUGGGUCGAUCUGUGUAGGUGCUCCGGUUUGCUGGUGUGCGGGGGCCAAAUUGGGGAGCGAAGGAGGAAUGAUGUGCAACGCCGGGAAUAAGGGAGAGUAAUGGAGGUUCGGCGUUGGAGGCGGAGGCGAGGAGUGAAGAAGAGCAGGGAAAAGCAGUGCUGCUAUAAAAAGGGCAAAAGGGAAGACAGAUAGAAAGAGGGCCGACGACGGAGAGGGCUCUGGUGGACUCCUCCUGGGAUAAACACUUUCGCGGUCUUUGGUUGUGUUUCGGAAUCUGUUAUCCCGGGGGAUAUAAGUAUAUAACUGAUAUCCCCUGAUUUAUGGCGGCCCAAACACGCCCUUGAUGCGAAAUGAGGAAAGAUUUUAUGGCAAAUUACGGUUUACCUCCUGUAAUUUAGUAUUUUUUUAUAUAACCCCCUUAUAGUUUCAAAAAUUAUACAUAAUCCUCUCAUAGUUUGGAUUAAAGUGUCAAAAUAACAGAAAUGAUCAUUUAUUUUUAAAAUGCAAAAAAUACUCUUAUGUAAAAUUGAAAAUUAUUUGUUAAUCAAGGGGGGUUAUGUGUAUAUUUCAAAAAUUAUAAGGGAAUUAUAUGGUAAAAUAUAAAAAUCAUACAGGGCUAGUGUGUCAUAUAUAUAUAUAUAUAUAUAUAUAUAAGGGUAUUUUCAAUAUUUUUAAAAAUUUCAUUACGAAUGACUAUUUUCGUCACUUUAUCACUUUAAUUUAAACUAUUGCUUUUGAGAUUAUAGAGAGGUUAUGUCAAAAAUACUAAACUUUAGGGAGGUAAAAUGUAAUUUAUCCAAGAUUUUAUACUCGUGGUAUAUGCGCACUCAUACGGAGUGAGGUUGCUUACGAGGAUGAAUUGUGAAUAUCAUUCACAUACUCCCAUAAAAAAAUUGAUAAAAAAAUUCACAUACACCAUGCCUAGAUAUAGUAGUAUGAUUAUGCAAAACUAAAAUAAAAUGAAAGACAAAACAAAUAUAAAAUGGGUAAAAAAUAAAAAAACCCCCUGUGGUAAGCCUAAUACACAAAAAAGUCCCUUAUGGUUUCAAAAUAUACAACACGACACCUCAUGCUUUGAACUAAAUUGUAAAGGUGACGGAAUCCGUUAAAUUUAACGGAAAUAACUUAUUGGAACCUAAAAAAAAAUUUUAUACCUAAUUUUUAUCAAAUAUACCUAUUCUACCCCUUAACCCUCAAUUCUCUCUAUUUAGAGAAUAAAACAAAUGAUUUUUUUGAAUUGUCUUUUGCUUUAUUAUAUCAGGGCAUUUUUGUCAUUUUGUUCAUUUCUGUUAAGUUUAACGGAUUCCGUCACCUUUACAAUUUAGUUCAAAGCAUGAGGGGUCGUGUUGUAUAUUUUGAAACCAUGGGGGACUUUUUUAUGUAUUAGGUUUAUCACAAUGGGCUUUUUUGUUUUUUACCCAAUAUAAAUUGAUGGAAAAUCUCCCUCGCAACAAAACAUAUCAAGGAAAUCCAUGCGAUCAUCCAGGACUAUUAUGCAGACAUUCCAAUCAAUUACCUUUAAGCAUGUCUAUAGGGAGGCAAACUUAGUGUGCGGAUUUUUUGGCCAAGAUGGGUGUAGAAGCAGAAGAAAAUUUUAUUUUGUUUGAUUGUAUUCCCUUGGCAAUUUCUAGACUUUUAGAACUUGAUUGCAGAGGCUUUGCCCUCCCUCGGUUUGUAAACCUCUGUUAAAUGUUAUUUUGAAUGUAGGGUAUGUUUGUUUGAACUGAAAAUAUUUUCCCUAAAAAAUUUUCCAGAAUUUCUGGUGUUUGGAAGCAAAAGAGGUUGGAAAAUGAUUUCAGCUGGAAAAUGUUUUCAUGCCACCGGGUGGAAAAUGACUUCCACAACAACUUUCCUGAAGUUAAUUUCCGAUAACCAAAUAACCCACAGUGCUAGAGAAUCACCAGCAGCAGAAUCAUAUUAGUCACAAUAUCAGUGGGUGUUCCACUGGAAUUUUUAACAACUUUGGUUGCACAUAAUUUGCCGAGCAAUUUGAAUUGAUAAAUAAAAAGUAUCUGCACUCAACCUGCAAACUAAAGUAUUGCUGUAGAAGUACUGAAUUAUGACAUCAAACCUCGUGCUCUAACACAUAACGACCUAUCUGCUAUUCUCCCUUGAACCCAUGAAACAUCAGACAACAAAAAUAAAAUCAAUAGCUCCAGUCGGAUUUGCGUUCAUCUCAAAAAUAUCCCAGACAUUUUUCUUUCUCCUUUCUACUAAUUAGAAAUAACUUAAGGCAAGUAAACAACGCUGCAAGAAUAUCAAACUGUCCUACACUAUUCUAAUUCAAUUGCUAAUAUAUUUUAUGUGAUAAUCAAGUCUAAUGUGAAAGAUUGCAUUUGUGUCAGGUGGUGGUGGUAGGAUUUGACAAUUUAGUUCUUUUAGGAUUACAAGUGUCCUUUUUUCUAUGAAUGAUCGAAAGAACCACUUUAAUUUAAAUAAUGAAUAUUAAUUAAAUUUUGAGACGAAAGAAUUCAUUUUCUUUCAAAUAUCAAAAUAUCCAAUAUUUUUAGUUUGAUCUAGAUCUAUCCUAAUUCCACCCUGUAUUCGAGUUGGGAAAUUUAAGAAUUCAUGGUGUAAUAUGAAUAAAUAUUUUAUAAAAAUGAUAAUAUGAUUAUAAUGGAUAGAAACUAAAAUUAACUUGUAAUGCAAUGAAUGUUUUGAGAGUAGAAAAAUAUUUGCAAUAUAACAGCAAACAUAUUAGAAAAUAUUUUCAUUGACAAACCAAACACCGGAAAAUUAUGAAAAAAGGAAUUCGAAAAAUAUUUUCACUUAAUAACCAAACACUGGAAAAUUAUGGCGAAGGAAGUGAUUUUCCAAGAAAAUGACUUCGAUGGAAAAUAUUUUCAGUCCAACCAAAUAGACCCGUAGUCUUUCUUACCAAAAAAAAAAAAAAAAAAGUGGUAUAGUAACUGGAGAAGUUCUUUGUCAUGGUAUCAGAAUUGGUGGAAUAAUGAUGGCAUAGUAAUUGGAGAAUUACUUUGUCAUGGUAGACGGCAAAAGAUUUUUUUAUGGAGUGAAAAUUUAAAAGUUGUAAACAUGAAAAUUUUUAGAAGUUGUAUGAUGUCUAGCAGUUCAGUUUAAUGUAUAAUUUGGUUAAUUGGGUGAAAAGGAGUUUAUAAUCGCAGAGAAUUAGUUUUGAGGGAAUUGUGGUAUAUCGACAGUUAUGCAGUUAAAUUUUAGUGGUAUAUGUAUUUAUUGGUUAAUAAUUAAUUCGAAGGGUAAAAUUGAAAUCACAAAAAAUGAUACUAAAUUGUUUCUACCAAACUAAACUCUUGCUCCUGCUUUAUUAUUGUAGACAUAAUAAUAUUGUCAGAAAAUCAUACUGCGUUUGUUUGGAUAGGAGUUUAUUUGCAUGAUUUAUUUGAAAUAAUUACUGUAACACUUUUUGUGAUGUGAUGUAUGUGAGAUAAGAAGGUGAUUGGGAAGAUAAAAAGGAGAUUGGGAUCUGUGAAGUAAAUUAUUUUUUUUCAAAUUAUCUCAAUCCAAACACCCUAACUAGUACUAUUAUUGUUAGUAUAUUGUUUGAUAAGUAUACUAAACCACUUGUACUGUUACAUUGGAUUAAUUAACUAAUGAGUUGUUUGAAUGGAAAUUAUAAUCUUCACCUUCAAUGUUUGAUUUCAAUUAACAUGCCUUUCAUAAUUCCACUAUAUUAAUGAGUUAAUCCAUUUCAAAUCCAAGUAGGAAUGGUAAGGUUACAUAUUUUAAAACUUCUAUUUUUAGAAAAUGACACCUGUAAUACUUAACCAAACAAAUGGUAAUUAAUUUGCAUGCCGAUUUCUAACGCUCAUGCUUGUAAACCAAACAUCCCUAAAGCUACUUGUGAAUUGCUUACAAUGCCCCCUUGAUUUAUUAACAUUCCCACCCCCCCCCCCCCCCCCCCCAACCCCCCAAACAACUUAAACAGCUUUGGAGUUCACAUUCAACUCGAAUGGUGCUUCUUUGGACUUCUAUAAAACAAAAAUUGGCAAUAACAAAAUCCUUGGACACAAGGGAAAGUUAGAGAAGACCAAGUUGUUGAUUUAUGUCCAAAGAAUAAAAUGGAGGAAAGUAACAUAAUCUUGGACUCACUUAAAUCUCUUAAAUGCGUCUUGUUUGCUUCAGAUUUAUACUUUUGGCUUCCAAACAAUUUCCCUCUUAGAGUUGUCUGACAUAGGGUGAGACUUUGUGAAGACAAAAGUGGUUGAAAAUGGUUAACUAGAACUUUAGGGAAUCUUAUUAUCUAGUGUUUGAUUGGUUUUAUAUUAGCUGCGAGGUGUCAGGGAAUAACAUCAUCCUGUGUUUGCGUUUUGUUAGAUAUAGGAUGAAAUGGAAUUGCGGAAUUAUAAACCACAAGAUCCUUUUGUCAAACCAACAAUUAGAAGUUUUAAUCGAGCUUGAUAAACCCAAAUUCGACUCGUAACUUGUUUGAAUUGUAAGUUAUUUGGAAUAUUUUUACUGUAGUACUUUUUGUAACGUGAUAUACGUGAGAUAAAAAGGUGAUUGGGAAGAUAAAAAGGUGUAUUGGAAAUUGUAAUGAUGAUGUAAGCAAAUAAAAUUGGAAAAAUAAUGCUCAAUCCAAACAAUCCACAUUCAGGGACACAAAUAUAUUGGAGUUUCGAGCUUAGUUUUAAAAGCACCUUGGGGAAAAAGAUCAUAACACUUGCUUGAGGCAAUUAUUUUUCCACAGGCAAUUAUUGUUCUAAAAAAAUUUAAAACAAACUUGCUAUUUCUGUGACCUUUAUUUUGCAGUACAAUGGAUCCACUUUUUCCUUCUAAAUCCUUUGUUUUGAGAGCCCUUUACUGCUAACGGCAGCUAGUGAGAGAGAAUAGGAGCAAGACUGGGCAAAUAGUAGUAGUAUUGGAUAUCAAACACAGCAUCCACUGACAAUCACUUCAAUCUUUUCAGUUACAUACCCUAAUAAAAAAAAAGUUCUCUACAUCAUACUAGUAUAAAUAUUUAGCAUCAUCAAAAAAAUUUCAAUAGUAAAUCAAGUACAAGAAGAAGGUAAAUCACAGAAGUCCCUCUUUCGGAUGCAUUAUUUGGGUUUGGAUUGAACGGCAGUGGAGCUGAAGCAGACGUUCCUGAUGCAGUAGUAUUGCUGGCUGCGCCUGCUUGACUUACAUCGACACCAAACCUCAUCCCAUCCAGACAGUGCCCAGAUAUGUCACAAAUAAACCAAUACUCCUUGGCUUCUUUGAGCUCAAUUUGAUCGCUUCCAGUUGUGUAUUUUGCCACAACUCCGCUGCUUGCAUCGCAAGAUCGAAAGGUGGCCUCACUCACUUCAUACACAUUAUGUUCCCCUUUUGUAUACUUGAAAACUAAUCCACCAGAAAGCAAAAAACAUGUACCAGUAAUCAAGGGUUUUUCUUUUUUUUGUAGUUCUUCGUUAUGGAAAUCGUAGAAAAGAAAAAUUAACUUGAGGGACGAAGGAUGCAUAUACAUAGAUAUAUAUAUAUACAUACAUACCCAAAAUAUCAUCAACCGUGAAGUUGUACUUGGUAGACCAGGCGAGAUAGUUGACUCCAAUGCUCCAAUUAUCCUCAUCACCUACCGUGUAAGUCUCGCAUCUGGCGCCGCACAGCAGCAGAACGCAGACUAAAGAAGCAUGCAAGAAGCAGCUGAAGGAGAUGCCAUAGCGAAGCUUAAUUUCUUUUUUCAUAGCCUGAAAAGCUAUAAAGAUGUUGAUCGACCGGAACCCUUGUCAAUUCCGCACAGUUUCACCUAUCUUCCACCAUUGCUUAAAACAGAAGACUUUCUUUGUACAGUUUUAUGUAAUUAUACGAAGACAGCUGCAGGGUGAUUGAUACAUAUGGCCUGGUGUGACUUGUUGGAAAACACCGGCUUGUUGUAGGCCCUUUCCCACUUGCAAUUUCAAUAUUCAUAAAUGCUACCAGCAUUGAGUAGACCAUGAUAAGUACUACUAGUAGUUUGAUAACUCCAAUGAAGAAAAAUGAGGAAUAAGAAACUGAUUUGUGGGGACAAGUCGUGACCGUUGAUCUCGUUUGAUCAAAAUUAUUGAACUCGGCUCAAGCUCAAGUUGAAGUUUAUCCCAUCCUUAAGAAACUGUUCUGCAAUGAUGAACCGACGUUCGUUGUAAAUGGACUACUCUAUAAAUUGGUGUACAAGUAAAUUAAGUUGUUCUUGUUUGGUUUGUACAUAGUUACAAUAUGGAACUCCAAAACCUGGUGUGACAUGUUCAAACUUGAGCUGAACUAAUGACUGUCUCUCGUGUAGUAUGCUCAGGCAAAAAGAAUAUGUAUACUCGAUCCUUCCCUUUCUCCUUCUCUCUCGUAAAGACUUGGGAGUUUUCUCCGAAACCGAAAAAGAAUAUAUGGAGAAUCCGGUUUGAGAUUUGUUCUCCAAAAGAGCUGAUUGCAUUCGAGUAUUAGCAGUUAAACGAACCAAGCUUAUGGUUAGUUCAACUCGUCUAGGCUCAUUCAUUCGAGUAUUAGCAGUUAAACGAACUAACCCGAGAGUUAGUUAGCUCGACUUGUUUAGGCUUUGUUCGUGUUUGAUAACAACUCGUUAGAAAUUUUAUAUUAGUCGAAUUCGAACAAAUAUUUUGACUGUAUAAAUAAUAGAAUGAACAUGAACUCGUUCGUGAAUUUAAACAAUUGUUCGCGAACAUGGGCCUAAUUAUAAUUUCACAAAACUUAUGGUUAAUAUUAUAUUCCUAAUUUUCUAAUUCCAUGUGUAAUUGUUUGCGAACGGCUCGUUUAUAUUAAACGAGUCGAGUUUGAGUUCAAAUUCAAACUAAGAUUUUGCUUGAAGAGCCCAACACAAAUUUGAAACUCGAAUAUUAUCGAACGAAUACGAGCCUUAUUUGAAUAACUUAACGAACAUAUUCGACUCGACUUAUUUUUAGCUCUAAGAUUCAAUAGUCUCUGCCCCAUUGAGGAAAAAAUUUUGAAAUAAUUUGAUGCAAAUAAGUCAACGUGCUCAAAUAAGGUAUAAAUAAUGAGCAAUAAUUUCACAUGGUAGCAGGAGAAGUACAAUUUUUACUUGAAGCCCAAGCGCAUUAGUACUAGUGUAGCACCCACAAGAAGCCCAACCAUAUCCAUCAUAUGCAGUUUGGUAAUUGUGAUCAGGCUACGACAUCGUAUACACACUAUUAUUUACGCUCGCCCGAGAAGACCUUUCCCCUCCCUCAAGAAUUUUCCAAAACCCUACUGCAACUACACUGCCUAUUCUACUGUGUCCCCACCCCAAUACCCCAUCCCAAAACCCUCCAACUCCCGCUGCUUAAACUUGUCGUUCAGAAUAACUCUCUCUCUGCCUGGUUAUACAUACAAAUUCUACAGAAGCGGAUGCGGAUUAGCCGUCAGAUUCAUUGAUCGUAAGAAAAGAAAGAAGAGUUUGGGACAUGGCAGGAGGGAGAUUUAGGGAACUGUUGAGGAAGUACGGAAAGGUCGGAUUGGGUGUCCACCUUUCUGUAUCUGCGGCUUCCAUCACCGGGCUGUACGUGGCGAUUAAGAAUAACGUCGACGUGCAGGCCUUGUUCGAAAAGGUCGGCGUGCAGGCCCCGUCCAAAGAAGGAGGAGGAGAAGCAGCAGCAGCCAAACCCGGAGGAGCCCAAGAUCUCAAUACCAACCCCGAGACUUCCACCACCACAUCCACAGAUGGGUUCGUCGUGGAGGAGGAGUUCAAGAAGAGGAAUCGGACUGCCGAGCUGGCGGCAUCCAGUGGUGGGGCACUGGCUCUGGCAUUGCUGCUUAACAAGGCUCUGUUUCCUAUAAGGGUUCCCAUCACCCUCGCUCUUACACCUCCCGUGGCCAGGUUUCUCAGGAGCCGACAAAUUAUCAAGAACGGUCUAUAGGUUUUUCACUACUUUCCCUUUUUCUUCUUGCUCGUCCUUCCCCUUCCCCCCACCCCCUCCCUCUUGCCCCGAAUGGCAGGCUGGGGCCGGGGGAGAGACAUCAGAGUUGUCUUGAUGCUAUUUGCUUGAUAUUGGGUUCGGCUUUGCAAGUUGUGAUUUUGGGUCACAUUGCUGAGGAAAUCAUUAUGACAGAGAGAAAGGAACAUCUGUGAAUUACUGCUAUUACAUACUACUAGUCUUUAUAUAUGGUUCUGCAUUUGUAUAAUUUCUAUGGAAUUUUGGUCUUUACGAAUUUUGGGGCUGAGACUGAGGAUUCAUUCAUUAGCCUUGCUACUAAAAGGUGAGCCUGUCAACAGAAGUUCAUGUUAAAAUCUUCAAACACUCCUUAAACAUCAAUAAACGCAAAAGAAGGGAUUUCUGAAGAGUGCUAAUAUCAUUUCCCUCCAUUCUUGAGUCGACUUGGGGCUAUUUGCAGUCUUGUAUACUGAAGGCAAUCUAUGUACUAAUUGUGGAUAUAUGAACUAUUUUUGUUCACCCUGCAUUAGUUCAUUAGUGUGCAUCUGAAAUCUAUAGGAUUAAUCUUUUCUAUAUUGAUAACGAAUGAUAACUAUACAAAAUUUGAAUUUAAAAUUUAAUUUUUGCACACAUGUCAUGUCAUGAAUCUAACGGUGAUAAUAUAGACACUGUAGUGCAUAUAAGAUUUACUCAAAUCUAUAUUGCUUCAUCUUUCAUGACAAAUUGUUAACCUCAAUCCUCGUUUGGAUUUUGUUUGCAUCAUUAACACAUUUUUCAAUCAGUAUUCGUUUCAAAAAAUUAUCCCAAAUAAUCUACUAAUAGUAACGAUACUCGGAAAGUCUCAAACACCUCGCCAUACAGUUUAAGUGGAGCUGUCACUGAUCUAAUGUACAGCUUUCUUUUCCUGGGACCAACAGGGUAACUAACUAAUAGGGAAUCAUAUUAAACCACUGUAGCUUUGAGUUUAAAGGGAUGUUAUCUCCUGCUUACUUGACACAGCACUAAUUGCAGCAUACCGUGUAUUUCCUUCAGAUUGCAUUCAUGAAAGGUGUCAUGAUGAGCUUGGGGCAGGGUGAUCAUCAAAUCACUGCAUGAACAUUUUUUUUAACGUCAGGCAGGGAACUAUACAAAUUUGUUCUAUAUCUUGUAAAAUUGGACCUAUAAAAAUUUGUUCUACAUCUUAUGGAAAUGGACAAAACCAGCAGACAACAACGCCUGACCGAGUCAUGGAGUCAUAUCAAGUAUGCUUUGGAUGCAUAUUCACACGAAGUGGGAUGAAAGCCUAUCACUCUCCCAUCCCAGCCUGAGAAUUAGACUCAGCUAUAUGGGGAAUGGAAAUCUUUGAACCCAAAAAAAAAAAAAAAAAUUCCCACCUCUUAAACAGAGAUGCUAUUUCUGGGUACAAAUCCGGUCACUAGCUUUUUGUAAUUAGAACAACUCCACCUCUAAUGAUUAGCUUGCAUUGUCUUCUAUUUUAAUCCGGGGUCCCAAGCGCAAGCUACCAAGCUUUCCCCAUCCGUCUUUGGGUCGUUAGGAUGGAUUCCACUGCAUUAUCUAAUGACAUUUUUGCCAAUCAGCAGGGUAACAAUUUGAGAUAACGAAUCCUACAACCCCUACAAGCAAAUCCUCAUUACAAAUUUUCCAUGACUAGUGAGCUUUACCUAAAUUGCAGAACAAGUUGGCAAACGACAAUGAGCAUCUCAGGAACGGAAAUCUUCUUCAGCAGAAAAGUAUCUUACUUAAGUUGCGAGUCAGUUUAGAGCCCACCCUCAUUUCUGGAUCUCUAACAAAACUGAAGCCCAACCAAUAAUGAGGUAGGGAUCAUAAGAUCAAUCAUUGUUUCCAAAGUAAAACAAGUCAUACAAGAUCCAGGAAUACACCCAAAAACAAAACAGGAUGAAAAAAGAAUACCUAGACUACAAUAACACCUCCCACUCUAAAGGACAAACAAAAAUGCCAAAAGAUAGUACAAAGACUGUAAAUACAUGAGAAAUCUCACUUCUCAGAAAAGCAAUACAAGAAAAACAGAAGAGGGUAUCUCAAAUAUAUCCUCUUUCAGUGAUGCAAAACUGGAAAGCUCUAUGUAGGUACCCUGAGUACUCAAAGCCAUCAGAGAUUGUAACAAUGAAUUAGUUGUGUUAGUUCAUGAAAUUUUACAAUUAACAAACAGCAGCAGUAGUCCUUGGAACUUCUGCUCUGAAGGACUCGUCCUACUGGGCUUUUAAUACAUGAUAAUGCAUCUUGGGUUUCCCAAUACUAAAGUUAGACAGAAUCUAAAGCUUUAUCAACUAAGACCAUGUAAGGUCAAAUGGUCUUGAAAUCAAUGCAGUUAAAUGAUUACACUGACCUUAUUGGAUUUGGAUGAAGAAGAUGUACAGCUGGCCCUGCAAGACUUCCAAGGUUAUUGCAGGUGCUUAAACUCCUGACAGUUGGCUCCAAUUUCACUUAACGAUAUGUAAAGUUUUGGCACAAUCUUUGCCAGCAUCAGUUUAAAGCCAAUGGAAUUUGAAUUAGCAUGGGUAUUACUGCUAAUGGAAGCAUCUUUUGUGAGUGAACCAAUAAGAUAUCCCUUCAUAUAAGUAUCACAGGCUUUGAGGAUGCAGUAACCACGUCUUCUAAAGUGCUGUUGGACAAGCUCUUCAAAGUCCUGGAAACAGUUUCAUAGUAGGAUUACAAAGACAUUAGUAGCUGAUUUUGAAAUUUUAUGCUUAUAUAGAAUUAUGCAGUCCCAAUUAAUGAUGAAAAAUCUUAGGCAUGGUACAAAGGGGAACACAAAUGAAGCAACGGAACCAUACGUAGGCAUCAGAAGUUUGAACAUUGGAUGCAGCAUGGCACAAAACUUCUUCCAUAGAACUAGGUUUUAUCUUUUGAAGUGAUUUGCUAGCUUCUUCUUAGAAUAGAAUAAUCACAUCAUGCAAAGGUGGAACAAAGGAACUUAUCUGGAAAAAGCACUAAAAAGAUUGAAAACUUCGCAAAGAACAAUCAUCAAAUUGGUCCACCAACACGACAUUUUUACAGAAGUCUCUAAUGUGGAUGCUAACUAAAGUUCAGAUGAAAAUCAAGAAAAUAUCAAAUAAGAAUGAUUUUUGUAACAAUAUGACAAAAGCAUUCAGGCUAGAAAACAAGAAAGGCUUCUGUACCAAGAAAACCAGGAACUAAAAGUCUAGGCGAACAUCAAAGAAGAAGUAAAAAUAACCAACUGCAAUCUCCUAGCUUGUUCCACUCUAUAUAAAAUCUAUUCUUCUCCAUCAGGUGAACAGAUUAAAAAAAAGUAAUAUAACCACUUAAAACAGACAGCAUGCAGUCUCAAAACAAACAAACACAGUGAACUCUCCAUAGUGAAACCCAGGACAAACUGUACAUGUUCACAUGAAACCAUUAAAUUGACAGAGGAGUUUAGGCAUUCAUCACCUUGGGAGGUUUCCGUAUGAGAUACAUCAUUGUCUUGCAGUUGAGUAAGAAUGUAUUCUCAUUGUACGACAAAGAAUUUUUCUCUCCCUCAGCUGUCCCAAUUUGUUUGUCAUAUCCAGCUUCAUUGAAAUAUGGCUUGGAAUUUAGCACUAGCCCUUGAAGCGAAACUAGGACUUGAAGAAUGCUCGAUGAUGAAGGAUCCCACACCUCAUUUCCUCUGCCUGUCCAAGUAUUCAAAAGGCUCAAGCAAACUUUGCCUUCCUCAUACAGAUUCGGAUUUAUUCGCCACCCUCCAGAAUGAUAAUAGGCAGACUGCAAUGUUAAAGAAGCAACAGAAGACAAAUAAGGAAGAAGCAAUUCUGCAACAGAGUUUAGUAGAAUGCAAGUAGCUGCCGAAAUAAAAGAACCUAUCCAAUCUAUAAAAGAAUUAUCAAUCUUUCUUACUGGUGGGACAUCAGGGUACUCUAGUGGGAGGUGAAAGUCAAAGAAGAAAAGGCCAUCUUGGUAAGGUGUUCCAUACGCUCCAACUAUGACAGCCCUCAAUAGAUCCAUUCGAUCUUCAUAAACACGUACAAAGAUCCCCUCUACAAACGUUUGUAACAGUUUAGAACCAAAGGAGCUCAUACUGUUUCCAUGCAGUAAUGUGAAAUCUAGUAUAAAGGAUUUGAACAUACCAGGAAGGUUAUUCUGCAAAAUAUUCCAAUCUUGUUGAACCUUCCUGAGCCACUUCCUACUCGCAUUAUUCUGUGGUGAAAAUGUAAAGGAUUAUUAUGAUGCAACUUCAAAGCAAUGACAAGUAGUAGAAAGAGAUUUAAGCAUGUGAUACAUUAGGCAGGAUUGCUACCAGCUCAUCAUUUUUGAAAAUGAGUUGAUCCAUCAGCCAUCAUUUACGUGAAAUUUGAAUUAAACUGAAUCAGGCUUUUCAACAAAAUUAAAGCUGGUGAUUAUUGCAUUGUUUUGUACUAGAUCAAGGACAUCUCAGUACUAUAUAGGCAGUCACAGCAUUUAGAAUGAAAAAUAAUAAAGUCAAAAACCAUGGACAGACGACUAACCUGUUCAUUUGUACCACGAAAAUAAUGAUCGUAAGGAUCUUUGGUGAUAUCAAAUCCUUUGAAACUAGACGCUCGAUCAUCAUGAUAAGUUGGGACAUUUGCUUCUGGCUUCAAGUUACAAAGAGCUUCAGCCGCAUCCAAUAAAUCUGCAACCUCUUUGUCAUCUUGUUCCUCUGCCUUCACUUUAGUGCUCAGACUUCCAAUGCUAUCACCACCAUUAGAUCUCUGGGAACAUGACUCAUCAUCAGUAUCUAUUUUGACAGCCAAUUCCCGCAGCUGAAGUUCAUCAUCACUCCUGGAAUCUGGAUCAGUGUGUUUUCGCCCCCUUGAAAAUAUGCCAGAGGCCAACCUGGUCACAAACCCAAGUGCAGCCAGGGGAAUGGAAAGAGCCCCAUUUCUUCCAGAACUAUCAGAGCCAUCUUCAUUGUCAAUUCUAAUGUCAGUGGCACUUCGAUUUUUAACACCCUAGAUAGCAACAAAAUCUGUCAUACAUGAUAUCUUUUGAUGACACAUAUCAUAUAAAAUACAAAAAUUGCUAGGGCCUGUAACGUUCUUACUAAAAGUUUCAAGCAUCAGAAACAAUUUAGAAAAGAAAAAAAAAUACUUGUCAGUCAUUAUUCCACUCCGCAUCAAAUAAAACUCUCUGGACAUCUAGUUUAUCAAGCUAAUAUUCUAUAAUCAACUCAAACAAAAACUAUCUGGUAGGAACCUAUUUACUUUUGGUCAGUGGAGACAAUCAACUAGCAUAUCUACAUAAUGAGCUGAUAAAUGCUAUGAAGUCUGCCAAAACACUUGAAGAAUCCCGACCGUAGCAACCAUUAUAAAACUUCUACACCAUGUUUCCUUUUCCACAGGUUUACAAAGAAGCAAUUGAGUUUUUAAGAAACAUUUGGUGCAACAAACAAAUUUCAUUUAGUAUAAACCUCGUCAGCAUUCUCAAUAGUAUCCAUCUCAUCAUCCUCAACGGUUUCCCAGCUGGCUGCAUCAUCACUAAUUUCACUUCCACCUGUAAUUGACUCAUCAUCAUCGCGACCAACAACAUAUAUUGCUUGAGGACCAACCUAACAGGGAAAAGUACAGUGUCAACCAUGUACAAUUACAAACUCCUAUACAAUGCAGUACUACAAGAUGAGUACAAUACAUUGAACCGUAGAAAAAUGAAAAAAAACAUAAUAAUAUCACAUGCAACAGAAAGCCAAAGUAUGUCUCAUAGCUGCAGUAGUAAUUCAAACUGUUAGCAUCCACUUUUUUUAGAUGAAAAUCUAAAUAAGCAAAAUAAUCAAAUAUUCUUGGAUGUUUCACUUCUUUGACAUCUUACUAUUCAAGUGCUUUGCAGUGUUGGUGAUACACAACAAACCAUUAGUUCAAUUUUAUAUAACCACCUAUGCAUUUUACCACCAUCAAUCACAUUAUGAGAAUAUAAGUGCAGAUGUCUCUCUGGGUGUAUACCAAUAUGUAAUAAGAAGAGGAGAAAAACAAUAAGGGUUUCGAAAUUAUAUCUUCAACAUAUGAAAGAAAGGGAACCAGCACAAGACCAGAGUAAGAUCAUAUAGUAAAGAAGAGAUGGUGGAUGAAGGCAUCCCCAUUUGAAACAAACCAAUGAUGUUAUCACUAGUCCAGCAGAAAAUGUACCAUUGAGACCAUUCCAUCAGCCCAUGUAACCUCAAUGUCACCAUUCCUGAGUCCAGUAAUAUUCCCAACCCAGGAGAGAUCUGAGAAUUCAGUACAAACUUCAUCAGUUGAUUCAUCCUCAACCUUCUUACAUCCAAUGUGUUGUUCUGCAUCUUGCUCUUCCUCAUAUGUACCAUGCAGCAGCUCAGACUCUUCAGCAGAGUUAGUAGUGGAUAGAAUUUCUACUGGAAGAGAAACAGGUGAUAAUCGAACAACAACAUCUCCAUAGCAGUAAUCAUAGUCAGGAUGGCCCUCCAACUCAUAAACGCUUACUACUUCUUCUCUAUCAAAUUCUCUGGGAUCCUCAGCCCUAGUAACUUGCUUUAACCACCUCACAUGAGCUGUCUUCUCCUUUGCAUUAACACUUUUCACAACCCCGACACGUCUAGUUUCACCAGUAUCAUAACCGUCAUCGGCAGCUUUCUCAACUAUAUACUGUUCUGCAACAAAUUCAUGAUCUCCUGGACUCUCAAUAGGAAUCAAACUCGUGGAAUUUAUACCUCUUUUUAUUGUUCCAUCCUGCCAGGCUACAUCAACACUAGUCCUAGUAUUAACGAUCAACAGGGCUCUUUCAAAAUUGUCCUCUUUUUUCCUUGCUUUUUUGUCCCUCCUGACUAUAACUUUACGGAUCUUCUUACGAUGUAAGGGCCAAGAUUCAUGGACUGACUCCUUGGAAAUAGACAAUGAACUAGAACAUGAACUAGAUUCUGCAGGAGCUUUAGCUUCAGCCUUCCCAUUAUUUGCUUCCAGUGAAACCUCUGCAUCAAGUACUAUUAAUUCACCGUUCCCAUUUGAUUCCUCCGAAGUGACAACUUCAGAACAUUCUGCUCCUGUUUGAGCAGAUUCUGAUUCCUCUUUGACAGAAUCACAAAGUUCUAGUUUUGAUAAUCCCUUGUCCAGAGGAAUGCUGGACAAUAGCACAGGUGAAGGAAGAAGGCACCAAUCACCCAAUUGCCAGUUUGCAUGUGAAAAACAAGACAAAAGUUUUAAAUUUUUGGGACUUUGCUCUUCUGCUGGCGUUGUAGAAGAGUCAGGUCCAUAACCAGCAGAAGCAAUCCAAUAUAUGAAUACAGAACCUACUGUAACUUUAGUCACUGUACCCUCUAGACGGUUAGCUUUCCAUAAGCCAGAAAUCCAUCUUGAGUUCUUAAAGACUGACGAAGAGUUUGCCUUGACACGCUGCCCAGGAUAGUAAGGAAAGUGCCCAUCUUCAAGAAUAUUCUUGCCAACAGGUUUAAGACGAAGUGGGUCAGCUUUCAUAACUUUGCAUACGGAGCCAUCAUCAAAAAGAACCGUGACAUUAUCCAAGACAUCAUCAAUUCUACCUAACCAGGGACCAAGAACUACAUAGUCACCGAUUGUGAAAUCCCUGACACGUUUCAAGUCCCUGGCAGAAAUAUUUUCAAUGAUAGAGCCAUCAUGAGUUAAUAAAUCAACAGAAAUAUCGACAUCUACCACGACACCCACUUGACCCGUUGGGUCUGAAGCAGCAGCAACAUAAUCCCCAUGCAGAAAUCCCCGAUCAACAACUUUCACAUUAUUUAUACUUUCUGUCGUCUCAGAUUCAUCUAUCCAGAGCACCCUAACUUGAUCAGCUGGGAGGUUAUGAUUCUUUUGACUAUCAGAAUCUUUAGUCUGGUUAACUUUUUGAGAGUUAUCCACUUCAGCAUCGUCAUCGUCACCAUCAUCGUCAUCUACCUCAUCAUCAUCAUCAUCAUCAUCGUCAUCAGUUAAGCUUCCAUCGGAAUCAGAGUCACCAGCAACUUCAGUGACAAUUCCAAGCUUACUAUUGAUACUGCUUCUUACAACAUCUUGUCUGUAUACAUAGGAUACAUUCUGUAAAUUCUUGAGAAUAUCUCCUGGUUUAUUUGCAGGUAUCACAUUUUGGUUAUAAUAAAGUCCAUUUACAGGUGAAUCAUCUUCCUUCAAAUCCGCAUUUUUAUUUGCGGUGGUUACUGGUACAACAUCUUUGGAAGCAACAUUGUGCUGCCCCGGCCCAGUAUCCAUCUAAUGAACACAUGAAGAAACUUGAGGAAAUCAUUAAAUGGAAAACACAAAAAUAGAGAAAAAAAAAAAGCCUCCAUAAUAGCAAAUAGGUUAAGAAUACUUUUCAUGCACACAAGAAGUGAGUUUAGACCAGCAGGUGACGACAUCUCCACAUGAACUAUCAAAACUGCUCAUGGUUCUUGAUUCCACUCACAAAAGUACUCAUGGUUAAACGUUAAAAAGACACCGAAAACCUCAAUUUUCAUGCUCUUAAUCAGCAAAAAGCUAUGAGAAUCGAUUUUUUCUGCUUCUGUUGGAGCCAAAGCAAGAAAUUUGCGUGAAAAAGAACUCAAAAACCAUGCAUCUUUAAUUUAAGUAUGCGUUGGCAUUUAGAAUCUAGUCAAAUUUCAUUAUAAAAAACUUUUAAACUCUUCACACCGGCUAUUUUUUGGUUUUUUAAUCACCAAGAUGUAAUCACAUGUUCCAACAUUAGCAGGACCGACUUUUCUUCGUGGUAACCACAAAUGACGGAUAGGUAAUUCGACCAGUUUGAACCUCAAAUUUUAGAACCCAAAAUCCAAUUCAAAUAAUAAUAAUAAGAAACAAACCCUCAUAUACUCGAAAGAAAAAUUCCACCAAAAUCCUCGAUCAUCGCUCAUGCCCAGCUGAAAUCAUUAUUCAAAUUGGAAAACAAGACAAGAACGCCCCUUCCCCAAACUAAAUUUCAAUUGAAAAAACAAGACUAAAUCUACCAAAUACUCAUCAGAAACACAACAGAAUGCUCCCUGACAACAACAAACAGGCCACAAUCAAUAGGCUCAAUGAGCUGUAAAUUCUGAUGACAAAAUUACUUGCAUUAUUAAAUAAAUUCAACAAGAAUCUCUUAAAAAUGCGCGAUUGCAGAUAAUGGCAUUAAAAACAAACAAAAAAAUGGCAAAGAACAUAAAAAUACCUCAGAAAAUCGGUGAAUUUGGGAAGGGCUGAGAGGAGAGGGGUGUUUUGUAGGCAACAAGAAGAACUGAUCCUGGAAAAAUGAAUACUACCUCAUUAUUAUUAUUUACCCACCACUCCACCUCCUCCUAUGUUUUACUUUGUAAUCGUUUCGUUUUUUUUUUUUUUUUUUCCCUUCUUAUAUAUAUAUAUAGAUAGAUGUUAUUUAUUUAUUUUAGGCAAAGGGAAGGAGAAGACAUUGGCCGAAGCCCAAAGUAUAUUCGAUUACCAGAGAGACGGAGGAGCUAAAGAGCGGUCAGCCGGUGACUAAUGUUAGGCGUCCACUUUAGGGACAUUAUUGUAAUUACGUGCCGUACAAGUGCCGCUUUUCUUUUGCCUCAACUUUGUGUGCUUCUUUUCUUUUCCUUUCCUUUUUCCCCCACCUUGAAUUUUCAAGGUUGUGUACUUGAAUGGAACUUGCAAAGCAAUGCCGUAAUAAAAAGUUCCCUUCCUUUAAACCUUUUCUUUAACAAAAUUUAAAUUGAGAUUUUCUUGAUUCUCCUUCAAGCCCCUGAUGGAAUGUAACUUUCAUUGACCGUGCACGAGUCAAGCUCGAGCAUCUUGAUUUCAUUAGCUGAGCAGUGAAUUUCAUAUAUUAUUAUGUUUGUAAGUCGUAAUUUUAAAAAGUUAAUGAAUAUCGAGAUCUAGUUCUAAAUUCGUAUGGGUUGGUUCGCGUAUCAAUAAUGAGAAGCCUUGAUUUAAUGGUUAAGAUCGAUUCAAGUUUAUGUCAGCACACGACAUUAUAGAGGUGGGAAUUGCUCUUUUCUAAUUUCUCUUGAUUCAAUUAGGCUGUCUCUUAAUAUAAGUUAAAAUAGGAAUAUCGUAGGAGUUGAUAAUUAAUCAAAAAGCAAAAGAAAAAAAAAGUCGAUUGUGACUUAUGGAUAAAUGUAGUUUUAGAGUUUAGAUUUAGCCUAUUCUUAAAUUAAUCAGUUAAAAAUAUAGGAUGGAUGAACUUGGUCUGAUAAUAAAAGUAAGGGACGACAUCUGUAGGAUGACUAAUUUAAUCAGGCUCAGUAUAAUAUUAUUAAUAUUUCAGGGUCUAAUUUAUAGUGGAAGGUCCAAAUCAACUCGAAUAAUAAAAUUUUUGGGGGAUAAUUUUAGAAACCUCCCUUGAGGUUUCUAACCAUUUCACCGCUCUCUCUCUCCAGGUUUCGAAAUUACACUACUCUUCCUUGAGGUUAAUUAUCUUGUAAUAUUUAGAUUUAGGUUGCAAACGAAUCGAACCGCUCGCGAAGGGUUUGAGUCAAAGUUCGACUCGAGUUUGAUAUUGCUCGAGCUCGAGAGAAGCUUGAGUUGGCCAAAUCGAACUCAAACUCGAACUUGAGUUCAAAUUCAAAAAUAUUAAACUCAUUAGCUCGCAAGUUGAUACUCAAACUCGAGUAUCUAUAUACAUAUAUAUAUUAUUUUUAAUUUUACUACUAAAAUUACAUAUAUUUUCCUAAUGUUUUAUUAUUUAUUAAGAAAAAUAUUAUUUUAUUUAUUUUCAAAAAAUAAAAUAAUUAUUUUUUAUUUUUUCAAGCUCGACCGCGAGUUCGAGACGAAUUGGCAGCUCAUCGAUCUUGAGUUCGAGUUCAAAUUUGAUAAAACUAAGUCAAGAUUUGGCUCAAUUAGGCUAAAACUUGUCUCGAUUCAAUUUGUUUGCAACCCUAUUUAAAUUCAAUCAAUAAUUAAAAAAUAAUAUUAGAAAAGAGAAGAUAAUAUGAAUGUAUGAUUCAAUCAUUGUCCCUCAUCUACUAUAUGAUUUAGUUAAUUCAAUACCAAUCCACACAUUAAAGAAAAACACUUAAAAUUUUGCUAUUUAUUAUUAAGGAUCAAAUAACAUAUAGUAUCAAAAAAUAGUAUAUCAUUUUAUAUUUUUUACUUAAUAUAAGAUUCAAAUUACUCUUUUCAGUUACAUACCUAUUGUCAAAUACGAUCAACAAAAAUAAUACAAAAAAUUUGUAACUAAAAUAUUACAGAGAACAAACUUUAACAUCACAAAUUUUCUUGUUAAUAUAUUAAAGUUAGUUGCUGAAAUUUUUAUGAUAUUAAAAUUCAUUUUUUGUAAUAUUUUGGUUACAGAUUUUUUUGAUUAUUUGUUGUUGACCUUGUUUGACAAUGGGUUUGAAACUAAAAAGAAUAAUUUGGGUCUUAUAUUAAAUGAAAUAUAUAGAAUGAUAUACUAUAUUUGAUGCCAUAUGUAAUUUAAUCCUUGAUGAUAUGCAAAUUUUAGUGUUUUUUUUAAUGUUUGGAUUGAUAUUAGAUUAAUUAAAUAAUUUAAUAUAUGAGAGGUAAUAGUGAAAUCACAUUAUCUUCUCUCUCUUAAUAUUACUUUUUAAUUGGUGGUUGGACCUAGAUAUUACAAGAUAAUAAAUUUCAAGGGAGGUUAAUGCAAAUUUCAAAAUCUGAAUGGAGGCCAGUGAAAUAGCUAUAAACCUUAGGGGAGGUUUCUCAAAUUAUCCCAAUUUUUGGGACCAGAGUUAAAGUUAAAGGACCAAAAUUGGUUCAGUAAAGAGCUGAAAGACUAUUUGGUCAAUUUGCCCAGAAGAGACCAUAUAGAUCUCGCGGCGUCCCUCCGACUGGUGCAGCGGCAAAGGGGUUGGUCCCAGUGCUGAUCGGACUGAAGAGACGAUGAUCGUUUGCGUUGCAGUCGUCGGCCACCAGGUACGCUGCCCAUUCACCUUUCUGUAAUGUUUUGGAUCCUAAUAAGACAAUCUCGUUCGUUCUUUCAUUUUCAAUAAACACAUCACAUGGCAAAGACGCAGCGGCCAACUGAUGGCAUUUCUUGAUUUUCCGGCGGCGGGAUUAGAAUAAUCCCUUAUACAUACAGAGCUUCACGGAAGCAGAUGAUGCCCUCAAGCUUCACCACAUCGUCCACUGCUCCCUUGACGUCGUUGACGAAAGAGGUCCUCUUCCUCUUCCUCUUCCGGAUCUUGCCUGGUGUUUUUGCUUCUUAAUGACUACUUGGUUCUUUUAAGCGCUCCCGUUCAAGUAAAUAACCUAUAUUAGCAGUAAAUGCAUUGAUUUAAUUGUUGUACUAAUGAGAUGGAAUCAUUAUAUGCAUAACUUUCAGUUACGAGCUAAGCAACACUUGUUGUAGUCUGAACUCAUCUUCACUAGAUAGAGUCUUCUGAAUUUCUGAUAUUCUAAACUAUUAUUUUGCUGAGCUCAACAUAUAUACAUUUCAUACACGAUUUCCACUGUUCGAUUUGUUCGCUUAUUUUUUCUUGUUUGGCGUUGCCUAUUUAUCUCAUUUCUUGAAUAAAGGUUUAGCUCACUCAACCUGCUGUACUGUACUGCUAAAUUUUGUAUAAUUAAGAUAGUCAGAAGCCAUGCCAAUUUGCAUAUGUAUUUCGCUUAGCCAGCUUCAUUUAAAAACAUUUAACUAGAGAGAUUAAUAUUCACGGCACUAGAUCUUUAUCGAUUGGAGUUACUUGCUGGAGACAAAUGCAAAUGCUUUGUUCACUUCUCAGUCUGGAAUGAACGCUUCUGUCAAUCUUUUCUGGUUACUAUCUCUCCUUCUGCUGGUGCAAUAUCCUGUUCCAAAGGCUGAUUAUUUCUAGCAGUGUCACAUUUCUUUAGUGUGCUUAUAUCUCUGCCUGCGUGUACUAGGAGAGAGUAACAGAAUGAGUGGUUACUGUGCGAGUUAUUGCUGAUUCCAUAUGUUUGUAUAUGAUGUAUUCUUCUGUAUUGAUUGAUAGUACAGAAUGUGGCGUUUCAGUUAUUGGGCAUUUAGCAUGUGAAGUCUAGCAUGAUUAGUUUUUUGAUGAGAACUAUUACAUGUGGUUCUGCAACUGUGUCCCAUGGCAUAAGUUCCUUUAUGUUUCUCCCUGUUUUUGUGUAAACAUCGCUGCUCCUUCCUUUUUUUGGGCCCCCAGGGGGGGGGGGAUAUAUUAGCAAUAAUUUAAUGAUAUGAUCAUGUUCUUGCUCUGAUUGUGGAUAAAGGCUUCAUUAGAAAGAAUUAUGGUAGGCGUAAUUCUUGUCUGAAGCAUCUCAACUUAAUCUGUAUCUAUGUCUGAUGAUUGAGAAAUUCUGGAUCACCAAAAAUCAUGUUUACACAUUUUCUUUGGCAUUUUUUGACAAAGAACACUUUAAAAGUUCAUCCUCAUUCUCUUGCAGUGAACAAUCCGAAAAAAUCUGGCCCCACUCUGAAUGAGACAUUUCUUGGUAUGCUGUAUCCGACUGAAAACUACAAAGUGUAAGAGUAUUUUGAUGCUUAAAUAUCCAAUCCACUCAUAUAGGAGUGGGAACUUACAAGAUUAUUACAUAGCUGUUGUUGCUCUAUUUGGUCUUUACAUCUCUCUGCAUAUUUGCAGGUAUGGUUAUCUGACUAACACAAAGGUCAAGUUUAUAUUGGUUACAACAGAUCUGGACGUCCGGGAUGCAGAUGUUAGAAACGUAAGUUUUUUUUCUCUGCAAAUGUGAAAAUUUUGAUUCCAUAGCUUAUUGAGCCAUGAUCUAUGUAAUAAUGGGCUUAAACACUGGUAAUAUCCCCUCCAUUUUCCCCCUCUUCCUCCCCAGCACUGCUGGGUCAAGUUUCACACUCAAUGCUUUGAACAUUCACAAAUCUCGCAUCAUUGAGUUGCAAGAAUAAUAUGAGCACAAAUGAUGAUGUUGAAAGCUGCAAUGAGGUUGUAUCGCCCCUCUCUCUGGCUGUAGUUGGUUUUCAAUGAACUCGUGCCUGUGCCGUGACAAAUUAAUUGGUGCUACUGAACUUCAAGUCUUGAUGCAGAUCAUGUCCCUCCCUAAAAAAAUUUAAAACAAACUUGCUAUUUCUGUGACCUUUAUUUUGCAGUACAAUGGAUCCACUUUUUCCUUCUAAAUCCUUUGUUUUGAGAGCCCUUUACUGCUAACGGCAGCUAGUGAGAGAGAAUAGGAGCAAGACUGGGCAAAUAGUAGUAGUAUUGGAUAUCAAACACAGCAUCCACUGACAAUCACUUCAAUCUUUUCAGUUACAUACCCUAAUAAAAAAAAAGUUCUCUACAUCAUACUAGUAUAAAUAUUUAGCAUCAUCAAAAAAUUUCAAUAGUAAAUCAAGUACAAGAAGAAGGUAAAUCACAGAAGUCCCUCUUUCGGAUGCAUUAUUUGGGUUUGGAUUGAACGGCAGUGGAGCUGAAGCAGACGUUCCUGAUGCAGUAGUAUUGCUGGCUGCGCCUGCUUGACUUACAUCGACACCAAACCUCAUCCCAUCCAGACAGUGCCCAGAUAUGUCACAAAUAAACCAAUACUCCUUGGCUUCUUUGAGCUCAAUUUGAUCGCUUCCAGUUGUGUAUUUUGCCACAACUCCGCUGCUUGCAUCGCAAGAUCGAAAGGUGGCCUCACUCACUUCAUACACAUUAUGUUCCCCUUUUGUAUACUUGAAAACUAAUCCACCAGAAAGCAAAAAACAUGUACCAGUAAUCAAGGGUUUUUCUUUUUUUUGUAGUUCUUCGUUAUGGAAAUCGUAGAAAAGAAAAAUUAACUUGAGGGACGAAGGAUGCAUAUACAUAGAUAUAUAUAUAUACAUACAUACCCAAAAUAUCAUCAACCGUGAAGUUGUACUUGGUAGACCAGGCGAGAUAGUUGACUCCAAUGCUCCAAUUAUCCUCAUCACCUACCGUGUAAGUCUCGCAUCUGGCGCCGCACAGCAGCAGAACGCAGACUAAAGAAGCAUGCAAGAAGCAGCUGAAGGAGAUGCCAUAGCGAAGCUUAAUUUCUUUUUUCAUAGCCUGAAAAGCUAUAAAGAUGUUGAUCGACCGGAACCCUUGUCAAUUCCGCACAGUUUCACCUAUCUUCCACCAUUGCUUAAAACAGAAGACUUUCUUUGUACAGUUUUAUGUAAUUAUACGAAGACAGCUGCAGGGUGAUUGAUACAUAUGGCCUGGUGUGACUUGUUGGAAAACACCGGCUUGUUGUAGGCCCUUUCCCACUUGCAAUUUCAAUAUUCAUAAAUGCUACCAGCAUUGAGUAGACCAUGAUAAGUACUACUAGUAGUUUGAUAACUCCAAUGAAGAAAAAUGAGGAAUAAGAAACUGAUUUGUGGGGACAAGUCGUGACCGUUGAUCUCGUUUGAUCAAAAUUAUUGAACUCGGCUCAAGCUCAAGUUGAAGUUUAUCCCAUCCUUAAGAAACUGUUCUGCAAUGAUGAACCGACGUUCGUUGUAAAUGGACUACUCUAUAAAUUGGUGUACAAGUAAAUUAAGUUGUUCUUGUUUGGUUUGUACAUAGUUACAAUAUGGAACUCCAAAACCUGGUGUGACAUGUUCAAACUUGAGCUGAACUAAUGACUGUCUCUCGUGUAGUAUGCUCAGGCAAAAAGAAUAUGUAUACUCGAUCCUUCCCUUUCUCCUUCUCUCUCGUAAAGACUUGGGAGUUUUCUCCGAAACCGAAAAAGAAUAUAUGGAGAAUCCGGUUUGAGAUUUGUUCUCCAAAAGAGCUGAUUGCAUUCGAGUAUUAGCAGUUAAACGAACCAAGCUUAUGGUUAGUUCAACUCGUCUAGGCUCAUUCAUUCGAGUAUUAGCAGUUAAACGAACUAACCGAGAGUUAGUUAGCUCGACUUGUUUAGGCUUUGUUCGUGUUUGAUAACAACUCGUUAGAAAUUUUAUAUUAGUCGAAUUCGAACAAAUAUUUUGACUGUAUAAAUAAUAGAAUGAACAUGAACUCGUUCGUGAAUUUAAACAAUUGUUCGCGAACAUGGGCCUAAUUAUAAUUUCACAAAACUUAUGGUUAAUAUUAUAUUCCUAAUUUUCUAAUUCCAUGUGUAAUUGUUUGCGAACGGCUCGUUUAUAUUAAACGAGUCGAGUUUGAGUUCAAAUUCAAACUAAGAUUUUGCUUGAAGAGCCCAACACAAAUUUGAAACUCGAAUAUUAUCGAACGAAUACGAGCCUUAUUUGAAUAACUUAACGAACAUAUUCGACUCGACUUAUUUUUAGCUCUAAGAUUCAAUAGUCUCUGCCCCAUUGAGGAAAAAAUUUUGAAAUAAUUUGAUGCAAAUAAGUCAACGUGCUCAAAUAAGGUAUAAAUAAUGAGCAAUAAUUUCACAUGGUAGCAGGAGAAGUACAAUUUUUACUUGAAGCCCAAGCGCAUUAGUACUAGUGUAGCACCCACAAGAAGCCCAACCAUAUCCAUCAUAUGCAGUUUGGUAAUUGUGAUCAGGCUACGACAUCGUAUACACACUAUUAUUUACGCUCGCCCGAGAAGACCUUUCCCCUCCCUCAAGAAUUUUCCAAAACCCUACUGCAACUACACUGCCUAUUCUACUGUGUCCCCACCCCAAUACCCCAUCCCAAAACCCUCCAACUCCCGCUGCUUAAACUUGUCGUUCAGAAUAACUCUCUCUCUGCCUGGUUAUACAUACAAAUUCUACAGAAGCGGAUGCGGAUUAGCCGUCAGAUUCAUUGAUCGUAAGAAAAGAAAGAAGAGUUUGGGACAUGGCAGGAGGGAGAUUUAGGGAACUGUUGAGGAAGUACGGAAAGGUCGGAUUGGGUGUCCACCUUUCUGUAUCUGCGGCUUCCAUCACCGGGCUGUACGUGGCGAUUAAGAAUAACGUCGACGUGCAGGCCUUGUUCGAAAAGGUCGGCGUGCAGGCCCCGUCCAAAGAAGGAGGAGGAGAAGCAGCAGCAGCCAAACCCGGAGGAGCCCAAGAUCUCAAUACCAACCCCGAGACUUCCACCACCACAUCCACAGAUGGGUUCGUCGUGGAGGAGGAGUUCAAGAAGAGGAAUCGGACUGCCGAGCUGGCGGCAUCCAGUGGUGGGGCACUGGCUCUGGCAUUGCUGCUUAACAAGGCUCUGUUUCCUAUAAGGGUUCCCAUCACCCUCGCUCUUACACCUCCCGUGGCCAGGUUUCUCAGGAGCCGACAAAUUAUCAAGAACGGUCUAUAGGUUUUUCACUACUUACUCCCUUUUUCUUCUUGCUCGUCCUUCCCCUUCCCCCACCCCCUCCCUCUUGCCCGAAUGGCAGGCUGGGGCCGGGGGAGAGACAUCAGAGUUGUCUUGAUGCUAUUUGCUUGAUAUUGGGUUCGGCUUUGCAAGUUGUGAUUUUGGGUCACAUUGCUGAGGAAAUCAUUAUGACAGAGAGAAAGGAACAUCUGUGAAUUACUGCUAUUACAUACUACUAGUCUUUAUAUAUGGUUCUGCAUUUGUAUAAUUUCUAUGGAAUUUUGGUCUUUACGAAUUUUGGGGCUGAGACUGAGGAUUCAUUCAUUAGCCUUGCUACUAAAAGGUGAGCCUGUCAACAGAAGUUCAUGUUAAAAUCUUCAAACACUCCUUAAACAUCAAUAAACGCAAAAGAAGGGAUUUCUGAAGAGUGCUAAUAUCAUUUCCCUCCAUUCUUGAGUCGACUUGGGGCUAUUUGCAGUCUUGUAUACUGAAGGCAAUCUAUGUACUAAUUGUGGAUAUAUGAACUAUUUUUGUUCACCCUGCAUUAGUUCAUUAGUGUGCAUCUGAAAUCUAUAGGAUUAAUCUUUUCUAUAUUGAUAACGAAUGAUAACUAUACAAAAUUUGAAUUUAAAAUUUAAUUUUUGCACACAUGUCAUGUCAUGAAUCUAACGGUGAUAAUAUAGACACUGUAGUGCAUAUAAGAUUUACUCAAAUCUAUAUUGCUUCAUCUUUCAUGACAAAUUGUUAACCUCAAUCCUCGUUUGGAUUUUGUUUGCAUCAUUAACACAUUUUUCAAUCAGUAUUCGUUUCAAAAAAUUAUCCCAAAUAAUCUACUAAUAGUAACGAUACUCGGAAAGUCUCAAACACCUCGCCAUACAGUUUAAGUGGAGCUGUCACUGAUCUAAUGUACAGCUUUCUUUUCCUGGACCAACAGGGUAACUAACUAAUAGGGAAUCAUAUUAAACCACUGUAGCUUUGAGUUUAAAGGGAUGUUAUCUCCUGCUUACUUGACACAGCACUAAUUGCAGCAUACCGUGUAUUUCCUUCAGAUUGCAUUCAUGAAAGGUGUCAUGAUGAGCUUGGGGCAGGGUGAUCAUCAAAUCACUGCAUGAACAUUUUUUUUAACGUCAGGCAGGGAACUAUACAAAUUUGUUCUAUAUCUUGUAAAAUUGGACCUAUAAAAAUUUGUUCUACAUCUUAUGGAAAUGGACAAAACCAGCAGACAACAACGCCUGACCGAGUCAUGGAGUCAUAUCAAGUAUGCUUUGGAUGCAUAUUCACACGAAGUGGGAUGAAAGCCUAUCACUCUCCCAUCCCAGCCUGAGAAUUAGACUCAGCUAUAUGGGGAAUGGAAAUCUUUGAACCCAAAAAAAAAAAAAAAAAAUUCCCACCUCUUAAACAGAGAUGCUAUUUCUGGGUACAAAUCCGGUCACUAGCUUUUUGUAAUUAGAACAACUCCACCUCUAAUGAUUAGCUUGCAUUGUCUUCUAUUUUAAUCCGGGGUCCCAAGCGCAAGCUACCAAGCUUUCCCCAUCCGUCUUUGGGUCGUUAGGAUGGAUUCCACUGCAUUAUCUAAUGACAUUUUUGCCAAUCAGCAGGGUAACAAUUUGAGAUAACGAAUCCUACAACCCUACAAGCAAAUCCUCAUUACAAAUUUUCCAUGACUAGUGAGCUUUACCUAAAUUGCAGAACAAGUUGGCAAACGACAAUGAGCAUCUCAGGAACGGAAAUCUUCUUCAGCAGAAAAGUAUCUUACUUAAGUUGCGAGUCAGUUUAGAGCCCACCCUCAUUUCUGGAUCUCUAACAAAACUGAAGCCCAACCAAUAAUGAGGUAGGGAUCAUAAGAUCAAUCAUUGUUUCCAAAGUAAAACAAGUCAUACAAGAUCCAGGAAUACACCCAAAAACAAAACAGGAUGAAAAAAGAAUACCUAGACUACAAUAACACCUCCCACUCUAAAGGACAAACAAAAAUGCCAAAAGAUAGUACAAAGACUGUAAAUACAUGAGAAAUCUCACUUCUCAGAAAAGCAAUACAAGAAAAACAGAAGAGGGUAUCUCAAAUAUAUCCUCUUUCAGUGAUGCAAAACUGGAAAGCUCUAUGUAGGUACCCUGAGUACUCAAAGCCAUCAGAGAUUGUAACAAUGAAUUAGUUGUGUUAGUUCAUGAAAUUUUACAAUUAACAAACAGCAGCAGUAGUCCUUGGAACUUCUGCUCUGAAGGACUCGUCCUACUGGGCUUUUAAUACAUGAUAAUGCAUCUUGGGUUUCCCAAUACUAAAGUUAGACAGAAUCUAAAGCUUUAUCAACUAAGACCAUGUAAGGUCAAAUGGUCUUGAAAUCAAUGCAGUUAAAUGAUUACACUGACCUUAUUGGAUUUGGAUGAAGAAGAUGUACAGCUGGCCCUGCAAGACUUCCAAGGUUAUUGCAGGUGCUUAAACUCCUGACAGUUGGCUCCAAUUUCACUUAACGAUAUGUAAAGUUUUGGCACAAUCUUUGCCAGCAUCAGUUUAAAGCCAAUGGAAUUUGAAUUAGCAUGGGUAUUACUGCUAAUGGAAGCAUCUUUUGUGAGUGAACCAAUAAGAUAUCCCUUCAUAUAAGUAUCACAGGCUUUGAGGAUGCAGUAACCACGUCUUCUAAAGUGCUGUUGGACAAGCUCUUCAAAGUCCUGGAAACAGUUUCAUAGUAGGAUUACAAAGACAUUAGUAGCUGAUUUUGAAAUUUUAUGCUUAUAUAGAAUUAUGCAGUCCCAAUUAAUGAUGAAAAAUCUUAGGCAUGGUACAAAGGGGAACACAAAUGAAGCAACGGAACCAUACGUAGGCAUCAGAAGUUUGAACAUUGGAUGCAGCAUGGCACAAAACUUCUUCCAUAGAACUAGGUUUUAUCUUUUGAAGUGAUUUGCUAGCUUCUUCUUAGAAUAGAAUAAUCACAUCAUGCAAAGGUGGAACAAAGGAACUUAUCUGGAAAAAGCACUAAAAAGAUUGAAAACUUCGCAAAGAACAAUCAUCAAAUUGGUCCACCAACACGACAUUUUUACAGAAGUCUCUAAUGUGGAUGCUAACUAAAGUUCAGAUGAAAAUCAAGAAAAUAUCAAAUAAGAAUGAUUUUUGUAACAAUAUGACAAAAGCAUUCAGGCUAGAAACAAGAAAGGCUUCUGUACCAAGAAAACCAGGAACUAAAAGUCUAGGCGAACAUCAAAGAAGAAGUAAAAAUAACCAACUGCAAUCUCCUAGCUUGUUCCACUCUAUAUAAAAUCUAUUCUUCUCCAUCAGGUGAACAGAUUAAAAAAAGUAAUAUAACCACUUAAAACAGACAGCAUGCAGUCUCAAAACAAACAAACACAGUGAACUCUCCAUAGUGAAACCCAGGACAAACUGUACAUGUUCACAUGAAACCAUUAAAUUGACAGAGGAGUUUAGGCAUUCAUCACCUUGGGAGGUUUCCGUAUGAGAUACAUCAUUGUCUUGCAGUUGAGUAAGAAUGUAUUCUCAUUGUACGACAAAGAAUUUUUCUCUCCCUCAGCUGUCCCAAUUUGUUUGUCAUAUCCAGCUUCAUUGAAAUAUGGCUUGGAAUUUAGCACUAGCCCUUGAAGCGAAACUAGGACUUGAAGAAUGCUCGAUGAUGAAGGAUCCCACACCUCAUUUCCUCUGCCUGUCCAAGUAUUCAAAAGGCUCAAGCAAACUUUGCCUUCCUCAUACAGAUUCGGAUUUAUUCGCCACCCUCCAGAAUGAUAAUAGGCAGACUGCAAUGUUAAAGAAGCAACAGAAGACAAAUAAGGAAGAAGCAAUUCUGCAACAGAGUUUAGUAGAAUGCAAGUAGCUGCCGAAAUAAAAGAACCUAUCCAAUCUAUAAAAGAAUUAUCAAUCUUUCUUACUGGUGGGACAUCAGGGUACUCUAGUGGGAGGUGAAAGUCAAAGAAGAAAAGGCCAUCUUGGUAAGGUGUUCCAUACGCUCCAACUAUGACAGCCCUCAAUAGAUCCAUUCGAUCUUCAUAAACACGUACAAAGAUCCCUCUACAAACGUUUGUAACAGUUUAGAACCAAAGGAGCUCAUACUGUUUCCAUGCAGUAAUGUGAAAUCUAGUAUAAAGGAUUUGAACAUACCAGGAAGGUUAUUCUGCAAAAUAUUCCAAUCUUGUUGAACCUUCCUGAGCCACUUCCUACUCGCAUUAUUCUGUGGUGAAAAUGUAAAGGAUUAUUAUGAUGCAACUUCAAAGCAAUGACAAGUAGUAGAAAGAGAUUUAAGCAUGUGAUACAUUAGGCAGGAUUGCUACCAGCUCAUCAUUUUUGAAAAUGAGUUGAUCCAUCAGCCAUCAUUUACGUGAAAUUUGAAUUAAACUGAAUCAGGCUUUUCAACAAAAUUAAAGCUGGUGAUUAUUGCAUUGUUUUGUACUAGAUCAAGGACAUCUCAGUACUAUAUAGGCAGUCACAGCAUUUAGAAUGAAAAAUAAUAAAGUCAAAAACCAUGGACAGACGACUAACCUGUUCAUUUGUACCACGAAAAUAAUGAUCGUAAGGAUCUUUGGUGAUAUCAAAUCCUUUGAAACUAGACGCUCGAUCAUCAUGAUAAGUUGGGACAUUUGCUUCUGGCUUCAAGUUACAAAGAGCUUCAGCCGCAUCCAAUAAAUCUGCAACCUCUUUGUCAUCUUGUUCCUCUGCCUUCACUUUAGUGCUCAGACUUCCAAUGCUAUCACCACCAUUAGAUCUCUGGGAACAUGACUCAUCAUCAGUAUCUAUUUUGACAGCCAAUUCCCGCAGCUGAAGUUCAUCAUCACUCCUGGAAUCUGGAUCAGUGUGUUUUCGCCCCCUUGAAAAUAUGCCAGAGGCCAACCUGGUCACAAACCCAAGUGCAGCCAGGGGAAUGGAAAGAGCCCCAUUUCUUCCAGAACUAUCAGAGCCAUCUUCAUUGUCAAUUCUAAUGUCAGUGGCACUUCGAUUUUUAACACCCUAGAUAGCAACAAAAUCUGUCAUACAUGAUAUCUUUUGAUGACACAUAUCAUAUAAAAUACAAAAAUUGCUAGGGCCUGUAACGUUCUUACUAAAAGUUUCAAGCAUCAGAAACAAUUUAGAAAAGAAAAAAAAAUACUUGUCAGUCAUUAUUCCACUCCGCAUCAAAUAAAACUCUCUGGACAUCUAGUUUAUCAAGCUAAUAUUCUAUAAUCAACUCAAACAAAAACUAUCUGGUAGGAACCUAUUUACUUUUGGUCAGUGGAGACAAUCAACUAGCAUAUCUACAUAAUGAGCUGAUAAAUGCUAUGAAGUCUGCCAAAACACUUGAAGAAUCCCGACCGUAGCAACCAUUAUAAAACUUCUACACCAUGUUUCCUUUUCCACAGGUUUACAAAGAAGCAAUUGAGUUUUUAAGAAACAUUUGGUGCAACAAACAAAUUUCAUUUAGUAUAAACCUCGUCAGCAUUCUCAAUAGUAUCCAUCUCAUCAUCCUCAACGGUUUCCCAGCUGGCUGCAUCAUCACUAAUUUCACUUCCACCUGUAAUUGACUCAUCAUCAUCGCGACCAACAACAUAUAUUGCUUGAGGACCAACCUAACAGGGAAAAGUACAGUGUCAACCAUGUACAAUUACAAACUCCUAUACAAUGCAGUACUACAAGAUGAGUACAAUACAUUGAACCGUAGAAAAAUGAAAAAAACAUAAUAAUAUCACAUGCAACAGAAAGCCAAAGUAUGUCUCAUAGCUGCAGUAGUAAUUCAAACUGUUAGCAUCCACUUUUUUUAGAUGAAAAUCUAAAUAAGCAAAAUAAUCAAAUAUUCUUGGAUGUUUCACUUCUUUGACAUCUUACUAUUCAAGUGCUUUGCAGUGUUGGUGAUACACAACAAACCAUUAGUUCAAUUUUAUAUAACCACCUAUGCAUUUUACCACCAUCAAUCACAUUAUGAGAAUAUAAGUGCAGAUGUCUCUCUGGGUGUAUACCAAUAUGUAAUAAGAAGAGGAGAAAAACAAUAAGGGUUUCGAAAUUAUAUCUUCAACAUAUGAAAGAAAGGGAACCAGCACAAGACCAGAGUAAGAUCAUAUAGUAAAGAAGAGAUGGUGGAUGAAGGCAUCCCCAUUUGAAACAAACCAAUGAUGUUAUCACUAGUCCAGCAGAAAAUGUACCAUUGAGACCAUUCCAUCAGCCCAUGUAACCUCAAUGUCACCAUUCCUGAGUCCAGUAAUAUUCCCAACCCAGGAGAGAUCUGAGAAUUCAGUACAAACUUCAUCAGUUGAUUCAUCCUCAACCUUCUUACAUCCAAUGUGUGUGUUCUGCAUCUUGCUCUUCCUCAUAUGUACCAUGCAGCAGCUCAGACUCUUCAGCAGAGUUAGUAGUGGAUAGAAUUUCUACUGGAAGAGAAACAGGUGAUAAUCGAACAACAACAUCUCCAUAGCAGUAAUCAUAGUCAGGAUGGCCCUCCAACUCAUAAACGCUUACUACUUCUUCUCUAUCAAAUUCUCUGGGAUCCUCAGCCCUAGUAACUUGCUUUAACCACCUCACAUGAGCUGUCUUCUCCUUUGCAUUAACACUUUUCACAACCCCGACACGUCUAGUUUCACCAGUAUCAUAACCGUCAUCGGCAGCUUUCUCAACUAUAUACUGUUCUGCAACAAAUUCAUGAUCUCCUGGACUCUCAAUAGGAAUCAAACUCGUGGAAUUUAUACCUCUUUUUAUUGUUCCAUCCUGCCAGGCUACAUCAACACUAGUCCUAGUAUUAACGAUCAACAGGGCUCUUUCAAAAUUGUCCUCUUUUUUCCUUGCUUUUUUGUCCCUCCUGACUAUAACUUUACGGAUCUUCUUACGAUGUAAGGGCCAAGAUUCAUGGACUGACUCCUUGGAAAUAGACAAUGAACUAGAACAUGAACUAGAUUCUGCAGGAGCUUUAGCUUCAGCCUUCCCAUUAUUUGCUUCCAGUGAAACCUCUGCAUCAAGUACUAUUAAUUCACCGUUCCCAUUUGAUUCCUGCCGAAGUGACAACUUCAGAACAUUCUGCUCCUGUUUGAGCAGAUUCUGAUUCCUCUUUGACAGAAUCACAAAGUUCUAGUUUUGAUAAUCCCUUGUCCAGAGGAAUGCUGGACAAUAGCACAGGUGAAGGAAGAAGGCACCAAUCACCAAUUGCCAGUUUGCAUGUGAAAAACAAGACAAAAGUUUUAAAUUUUUGGGACUUUGCUCUUCUGCUGGCGUUGUAGAAGAGUCAGGUCCAUAACCAGCAGAAGCAAUCCAAUAUAUGAAUACAGAACCUACUGUAACUUUAGUCACUGUACCCUCUAGACGGUUAGCUUUCCAUAAGCCAGAAAUCCAUCUUGAGUUCUUAAAGACUGACGAAGAGUUUGCCUUGACACGCUGCCCAGGAUAGUAAGGAAAGUGCCCAUCUUCAAGAAUAUUCUUGCCAACAGGUUUAAGACGAAGUGGGUCAGCUUUCAUAACUUUGCAUACGGAGCCAUCAUCAAAAAGAACCGUGACAUUAUCCAAGACAUCAUCAAUUCUACCUAACCAGGGACCAAGAACUACAUAGUCACCGAUUGUGAAAUCCCUGACACGUUUCAAGUCCCUGGCAGAAAUAUUUUCAAUGAUAGAGCCAUCAUGAGUUAAUAAAUCAACAGAAAUAUCGACAUCUACCACGACACCCACUUGACCCGUUGGGUCUGAAGCAGCAGCAACAUAAUCCCCAUGCAGAAAUCCCCGAUCAACAACUUUCACAUUAUUUAUACUUUCUGUCGUCUCAGAUUCAUCUAUCCAGAGCACCCUAACUUGAUCAGCUGGGAGGUUAUGAUUCUUUUGACUAUCAGAAUCUUUAGUCUGGUUAACUUUUUGAGAGUUAUCCACUUCAGCAUCGUCAUCGUCACCAUCAUCGUCAUCUACCUCAUCAUCAUCAUCAUCAUCAUCGUCAUCAGUUAAGCUUCCAUCGGAAUCAGAGUCACCAGCAACUUCAGUGACAAUUCCAAGCUUACUAUUGAUACUGCUUCUUACAACAUCUUGUCUGUAUACAUAGGAUACAUUCUGUAAAUUCUUGAGAAUAUCUCCUGGUUUAUUUGCAGGUAUCACAUUUUGGUUAUAAUAAAGUCCAUUUACAGGUGAAUCAUCUUCCUUCAAAUCCGCAUUUUUAUUUGCGGUGGUUACUGGUACAACAUCUUUGGAAGCAACAUUGUGCUGCCCCGGCCCAGUAUCCAUCUAAUGAACACAUGAAGAAACUUGAGGAAAUCAUUAAAUGGAAAACACAAAAAUAGAGAAAAAAAAAAAGCCUCCAUAAUAGCAAAUAGGUUAAGAAUACUUUUCAUGCACACAAGAAGUGAGUUUAGACCAGCAGGUGACGACAUCUCCACAUGAACUAUCAAAACUGCUCAUGGUUCUUGAUUCCACUCACAAAAGUACUCAUGGUUAAACGUUAAAAAGACACCGAAAACCUCAAUUUUCAUGCUCUUAAUCAGCAAAAAGCUAUGAGAAUCGAUUUUUUCUGCUUCUGUUGGAGCCAAAGCAAGAAAUUUGCGUGAAAAAGAACUCAAAAACCAUGCAUCUUUAAUUUAAGUAUGCGUUGGCAUUUAGAAUCUAGUCAAAUUUCAUUAUAAAAAACUUUUAAACUCUUCACACCGGCUAUUUUUUGGUUUUUUAAUCACCAAGAUGUAAUCACAUGUUCCAACAUUAGCAGGACCGACUUUUCUUCGUGGUAACCACAAAUGACGGAUAGGUAAUUCGACCAGUUUGAACCUCAAAUUUUAGAACCCAAAAUCCAAUUCAAAUAAUAAUAAUAAGAAACAAACCCUCAUAUACUCGAAAGAAAAAUUCCACCAAAAUCCUCGAUCAUCGCUCAUGCCCAGCUGAAAUCAUUAUUCAAAUUGGAAAACAAGACAAGAACGCCCCUUCCCCAAACUAAAUUUCAAUUGAAAAAACAAGACUAAAUCUACCAAAUACUCAUCAGAAACACAACAGAAUGCUCCCUGACAACAACAAACAGGCCACAAUCAAUAGGCUCAAUGAGCUGUAAAUUCUGAUGACAAAAUUACUUGCAUUAUUAAAUAAAUUCAACAAGAAUCUCUUAAAAAUGCGCGAUUGCAGAUAAUGGCAUUAAAAACAAACAAAAAAAUGGCAAAGAACAUAAAAAUACCUCAGAAAAUCGGUGAAUUUGGGAAGGGCUGAGAGGAGAGGGUGUUUUGUAGGCAACAAGAAGAACUGAUCCUGGAAAAAUGAAUACUACCUCAUUAUUAUUAUUUACCCACCACUCCACCUCCUCCUAUGUUUUACUUUGUAAUCGUUUCGUUUUUUUUUUUUUUUUUUCCCUUCUUAUAUAUAUAUAUAGAUAGAUGUUAUUUAUUUAUUUUAGGCAAAGGGAAGGAGAAGACAUUGGCCGAAGCCCAAAGUAUAUUCGAUUACCAGAGAGACGGAGGAGCUAAAGAGCGGUCAGCCGGUGACUAAUGUUAGGCGUCCACUUUAGGGACAUUAUUGUAAUUACGUGCCGUACAAGUGCCGCUUUUCUUUUGCCUCAACUUUGUGUGCUUCUUUUCUUUUCCUUUCCUUUUUCCCCCACCUUGAAUUUUCAAGGUUGUGUACUUGAAUGGAACUUGCAAAGCAAUGCCGUAAUAAAAAGUUCCCUUCCUUUAAACCUUUUCUUUAACAAAAUUUAAAUUGAGAUUUUCUUGAUUCUCCUUCAAGCCCCUGAUGGAAUGUAACUUUCAUUGACCGUGCACGAGUCAAGCUCGAGCAUCUUGAUUUCAUUAGCUGAGCAGUGAAUUUCAUAUAUUAUUAUGUUUGUAAGUCGUAAUUUUAAAAAGUUAAUGAAUAUCGAGAUCUAGUUCUAAAUUCGUAUGGGUUGGUUCGCGUAUCAAUAAUGAGAAGCCUUGAUUUAAUGGUUAAGAUCGAUUCAAGUUUAUGUCAGCACACGACAUUAUAGAGGUGGGAAUUGCUCUUUUCUAAUUUCUCUUGAUUCAAUUAGGCUGUCUCUUAAUAUAAGUUAAAAUAGGAAUAUCGUAGGAGUUGAUAAUUAAUCAAAAAGCAAAAGAAAAAAAAAGUCGAUUGUGACUUAUGGAUAAAUGUAGUUUUAGAGUUUAGAUUUAGCCUAUUCUUAAAUUAAUCAGUUAAAAAUAUAGGAUGGAUGAACUUGGUCUGAUAAUAAAAGUAAGGGACGACAUCUGUAGGAUGACUAAUUUAAUCAGGCUCAGUAUAAUAUUAUUAAUAUUUCAGGGUCUAAUUUAUAGUGGAAGGUCCAAAUCAACUCGAAUAAUAAAAUUUUUGGGGGAUAAUUUUAGAAACCUCCCUUGAGGUUUCUAACCAUUUCACCGCUCUCUCUCUCCAGGUUUCGAAAUUACACUACUCUUCCUUGAGGUUAAUUAUCUUGUAAUAUUUAGAUUUAGGUUGCAAACGAAUCGAACCGCUCGCGAAGGGUUUGAGUCAAAGUUCGACUCGAGUUUGAUAUUGCUCGAGCUCGAGAGAAGCUUGAGUUGGCCAAAUCGAACUCAAACUCGAACUUGAGUUCAAAUUCAAAAAUAUUAAACUCAUUAGCUCGCAAGUUGAUACUCAAACUCGAGUAUCUAUAUACAUAUAUAUAUUAUUUUUAAUUUUACUACUAAAAUUACAUAUAUUUUCCUAAUGUUUUAUUAUUUAUUAAGAAAAAUAUUAUUUUAUUUAUUUUCAAAAAAUAAAAUAAUUAUUUUUUAUUUUUUCAAGCUCGACCGCGAGUUCGAGACGAAUUGGCAGCUCAUCGAUCUUGAGUUCGAGUUCAAAUUUGAUAAAACUAAGUCAAGAUUUGGCUCAAUUAGGCUAAAACUUGUCUCGAUUCAAUUUGUUUGCAACCCUAUUUAAAUUCAAUCAAUAAUUAAAAAAUAAUAUUAGAAAAGAGAAGAUAAUAUGAAUGUAUGAUUCAAUCAUUGUCCCUCAUCUACUAUAUGAUUUAGUUAAUUCAAUACCAAUCCACACAUUAAAGAAAAACACUUAAAAUUUUGCUAUUUAUUAUUAAGGAUCAAAUAACAUAUAGUAUCAAAAAUAGUAUAUCAUUUUAUAUUUUUUACUUAAUAUAAGAUUCAAAUUACUCUUUUCAGUUACAUACCUAUUGUCAAAUACGAUCAACAAAAAUAAUACAAAAAAUUUGUAACUAAAAUAUUACAGAGAACAAACUUUAACAUCACAAAUUUUCUUGUUAAUAUAUUAAAGUUAGUUGCUGAAAUUUUUAUGAUAUUAAAAUUCAUUUUUUGUAAUAUUUUGGUUACAGAUUUUUUGAUUAUUUGUUGUUGACCUUGUUUGACAAUGGGUUUGAAACUAAAAAGAAUAAUUUGGGUCUUAUAUUAAAUGAAAUAUAUAGAAUGAUAUACUAUAUUUGAUGCCAUAUGUAAUUUAAUCCUUGAUGAUAUGCAAAUUUUAGUGUUUUUUUUAAUGUUUGGAUUGAUAUUAGAUUAAUUAAAUAAUUUAAUAUAUGAGAGGUAAUAGUGAAAUCACAUUAUCUUCUCUCUCUUAAUAUUACUUUUUAAUUGGUGGUUGGACCUAGAUAUUACAAGAUAAUAAAUUUCAAGGGAGGUUAAUGCAAAUUUCAAAAUCUGAAUGGAGGCCAGUGAAAUAGCUAUAAACCUUAGGGGAGGUUUCUCAAAUUAUCCCAAUUUUUGGGACCAGAGUUAAAGUUAAAGGACCAAAAUUGGUUCAGUAAAGAGCUGAAAGACUAUUUGGUCAAUUUGCCCAGAAGAGACCAUAUAGAUCUCGCGGCGUCCCUCCGACUGGUGCAGCGGCAAAGGGGUUGGUCCCAGUGCUGAUCGGACUGAAGAGACGAUGAUCGUUUGCGUUGCAGUCGUCGGCCACCAGGUACGCUGCCCAUUCACCUUUCUGUAAUGUUUUGGAUCCUAAUAAGACAAUCUCGUUCGUUCUUUCAUUUUCAAUAAACACAUCACAUGGCAAAGACGCAGCGGCCAACUGAUGGCAUUUCUUGAUUUUCCGGCGGCGGGAUUAGAAUAAUCCCUUAUACAUACAGAGCUUCACGGAAGCAGAUGAUGCCCUCAAGCUUCACCACAUCGUCCACUGCUCCCUUGACGUCGUUGACGAAAGAGGUCCUCUUCCUCUUCCUCUUCCGGAUCUUGCCUGGUGUUUUUGCUUCUUAAUGACUACUUGGUUCUUUUAAGCGCUCCCGUUCAAGUAAAUAACCUAUAUUAGCAGUAAAUGCAUUGAUUUAAUUGUUGUACUAAUGAGAUGGAAUCAUUAUAUGCAUAACUUUCAGUUACGAGCUAAGCAACACUUGUUGUAGUCUGAACUCAUCUUCACUAGAUAGAGUCUUCUGAAUUUCUGAUAUUCUAAACUAUUAUUUUGCUGAGCUCAACAUAUAUACAUUUCAUACACGAUUUCCACUGUUCGAUUUGUUCGCUUAUUUUUUCUUGUUUGGCGUUGCCUAUUUAUCUCAUUUCUUGAAUAAAGGUUUAGCUCACUCAACCUGCUGUACUGUACUGCUAAAUUUUGUAUAAUUAAGAUAGUCAGAAGCCAUGCCAAUUUGCAUAUGUAUUUCGCUUAGCCAGCUUCAUUUAAAAACAUUUAACUAGAGAGAUUAAUAUUCACGGCACUAGAUCUUUAUCGAUUGGAGUUACUUGCUGGAGACAAAUGCAAAUGCUUUGUUCACUUCUCAGUCUGGAAUGAACGCUUCUGUCAAUCUUUUCUGGUUACUAUCUCUCCUUCUGCUGGUGCAAUAUCCUGUUCCAAAGGCUGAUUAUUUCUAGCAGUGUCACAUUUCUUUAGUGUGCUUAUAUCUCUGCCUGCGUGUACUAGGAGAGAGUAACAGAAUGAGUGGUUACUGUGCGAGUUAUUGCUGAUUCCAUAUGUUUGUAUAUGAUGUAUUCUUCUGUAUUGAUUGAUAGUACAGAAUGUGGCGUUUCAGUUAUUGGGCAUUUAGCAUGUGAAGUCUAGCAUGAUUAGUUUUUUGAUGAGAACUAUUACAUGUGGUUCUGCAACUGUGUCCCAUGGCAUAAGUUCCUUUAUGUUUCUCCCUGUUUUUGUGUAAACAUCGCUGCUCCUUCCUUUUUUUGGGCCCCAGGGGGGGGGAUAUAUUAGCAAUAAUUUAAUGAUAUGAUCAUGUUCUUGCUCUGAUUGUGGAUAAAGGCUUCAUUAGAAAGAAUUAUGGUAGGCGUAAUUCUUGUCUGAAGCAUCUCAACUUAAUCUGUAUCUAUGUCUGAUGAUUGAGAAAUUCUGGAUCACCAAAAAUCAUGUUUACACAUUUUCUUUGGCAUUUUUUGACAAAGAACACUUUAAAAGUUCAUCCUCAUUCUCUUGCAGUGAACAAUCCGAAAAAAUCUGGCCCCACUCUGAAUGAGACAUUUCUUGGUAUGCUGUAUCCGACUGAAAACUACAAAGUGUAAGAGUAUUUUGAUGCUUAAAUAUCCAAUCCACUCAUAUAGGAGUGGGAACUUACAAGAUUAUUACAUAGCUGUUGUUGCUCUAUUUGGUCUUUACAUCUCUCUGCAUAUUUGCAGGUAUGGUUAUCUGACUAACACAAAGGUCAAGUUUAUAUUGGUUACAACAGAUCUGGACGUCCGGGAUGCAGAUGUUAGAAACGUAAGUUUUUUUUCUCUGCAAAUGUGAAAAUUUUGAUUCCCAUAGCUUAUUGAGCCAUGAUCUAUGUAAUAAUGGGCUUAAACACUGGUAAUAUCCCCUCCAUUUUCCCCCUCUUCCUCCCAGCACUGCUGGGUCAAGUUUCACACCUCAAUGCUUUGAACAUUCACAAAUCUCGCAUCAUUGAGUUGCAAGAAUAAUAUGAGCACAAAUGAUGAUGUUGAAAGCUGCAAUGAGGUUGUAUCGCCCUCUCUCUGGCUGUAGUUGGUUUUCAAUGAACUCGUGCCUGUGCCGUGACAAAUUAAUUGGUGCUACUGAACUUCAAGUCUUGAUGCAGAUCAUGUCCCUCCUCUCCCCCCCCCCCCCCCCCUCUUCUCUUCAAACAACAAAAAAAAAGAAAUCUUUUUGAUGACUUCGUCUUGCACAACUUCUUCUUCAUCGUCAUCAUCUUUCUUUCAAUAAACUCGUGAUAGUAGAAAUUCAAUAAUGGUACUAGUUUGGUUAAGUUUUAAUGGUUUGUAGGGUGUCUUUAACUUCUGGACAUCUCAGCUGACUUUGAUUUAUUUGAUGUAAAUUACUAGUUCUUCAGGAGGUUCCAUGCUGCUUAUGUUGAUGCAGUAUCAAACCCGUUUCAUGUCCCUGGGAAGAAAAUAACCUCAAGGGUUUUUGCAGAUAGAGUCAGCAACAUUGUCAAGUCUUUUGGAUUUAGUCCAACUGGGUGAUGAUGCACAAAUGUGGAUAUAGUCACCUGUAGCAGCAGCUCUCUGUUAUUUGCGAGGCCAUUUACCAGUAAUUCCAGCUUGGAUGUGGGUGGUUAAUUUUGCUGGUCAAUUGAUUUCAGCUGUAUGCCUGGAAAGGAAAUGUAAAGAAUUCUAGUCCUUAUUUUGUAGCAAUAAAAUAGGUGUGGACCUUUAUACUAUACUCUACAUAUUCUCUUUUUAAUUCUCCUCGACAUAAUACUUUGACUUGCAUAUCAUUCUGUCGAAGACUUUGACUAGAAAUCUAAGGACUUAAUUUUUGUCUUUGAAGCUGUUUCGACCGACCAUGAGUAGCAGAGAUACUAAAAAUCAAAUGAGACGCCAAAUCUGAAAAACUGAAAACUUGAUCAUAAUACUGGAACUCCAGGAGUAUCAUAAGAUGAAUGUCAGAUCUGAAUAAAAUUGCUUCAAGUUUGAAGAAAAAAUUUAGAUCUAACUUCAAGAUUUGGUGAUUUUUAGAGGGAUAAUUUUAGAAACCUCCCGUAAGGUUUUUAACAAUUUCAACUAGUUCUUUUGAGAUUUGAAAAAUUACGUAUACCUCUCUCUCGAGGUUACUAUUUUGGUUACAAAAACUAUUUAAUGGUCAAAUUUUUGAAUGAAUAAUCCAAAAUGCCCUCAUGAAAUUGUGAGGUUCAGUUUACCUUCUUACAUAAUUAUUUAAAUUAGGGAACAUGAACAAAAUCUCAAAUUCAUUUUCAACGCUCUCUGCUAUUUUAAACCUUUAAUAUUACCACAUUUCAAAUUAGUACUAUUAUCACCAUGACCAUUAUCACCAUGACACAUCAACCCCUAAAUUCUAAAACCUCAAUCGAAAUUAAAAAGAAAUAUGCACUGUUAAACUUAAAAAAUUUCAAUAACCACAUCAAUAUAACAUCCUAUCUCUCAAAUAUUAGAGUAUCCUAUCCUUUUUAAUCCCAAUUUAUAUCUUCUUCUAUUCAUCUCCAAAUCAUCCAAACAAGCCUAAAAUUAAUUUUUAAUAUAUUAUUAUUGUGUUUAGGACAUGAUCGGUUAUUCCACGAGUGAAUUUUAUUUUUAUUUUCAUUAAAUAUCCAAUUGUGUGAUUCGUUCAUAUGAACAAGAUUAGCAGUGUAUUGUUUAAUUGCAUGGAAAAAUAUUAAUAUGUGAAGGCUAUUAUGAUCAUUUUGGUGUAAUAUUGAAAAUCUCAAGGAAACCUCAGGGAGGUUCCUGAAAUUAUCCCACUUAUAAAAUCUAACAAAUCUCUAAUCUCACCCACUGAAACAGAGACCAAAAAUUUCCAUAAUCGAGUAUAGGCCUGCUGUUGCAAGUAAAUAAAAAGCAAUCGAAUGAGCCAAAAUCAAUGGUUAGCUGGGGUAAGUACGAAUACCCUGAGGAGAUUAAUUAACAGGUUUAUGCAAUGUAAGUUAAAUGAUGAAACAACAAUAACUGAAACUAAAGAAAAUCUCACGUCCGACGUAAAGAAUGGCAAAAGCUAUUCAAAACAAGUAGUAAAGCAGUAGCAGUUGAGUUUCAAGGAAAAAGGGAGUUCCGACAGGGAAAUCAUCUUGCAUGGUCCGAGAUUGCCUAUCACGGGCCUUCCAUUAGAACUCGUCAUCAUCCUCUUCGGCUAUGUGCUUAGCGAGCUCUUGCUCUUGCUGUUGUCUUUCUCUCCUCUUUCAGCAAUUCUUUUUCUUGUGUGAAUUGGGUGGAAAUCGGAGGGCACGAACCGCCUCGUUAUGCAUAUUAAGACAAAAGCAUUCUUGAAUUAAAAGCAAUUGAGGUCUAUUAGUAGAGUAAAUGUCCCAGUCCCUUGGACACAUCCAUCCAUUAGCAUGAUCAGUGUAGCAUCAAUGGCCCACCCGAAUUGCUUUAGCCACAAUGCUCUCAGCAUCAGCAACAGGGUUUGCUGAAUCAACCGCAGCUUUUUAGCAACAUCAGCCAGUGAAAUCCUGGAAUAUGAGAUACUAAUGUUACUAGCCCUGUCUAAUGACAUUAUGCCGCAAUCUCACAAUCAAGUUGUUGGUUCGGUCUGAGCUGAAAGUGCUUGAGAACUUCUCAGCAACUGUCGCUAAACAACUCCAGAUCUCCAAUUCGGACAGCCUGAAUCAUUGUAACCAACGAAGAAUCAAUUUCUAAAGCCAAAAUCAGGAAUAUAACAUGCUAAUUGAAUCCUUUUUAUUUACGAUUGCUUGGGAUUCUCAUCGCUCUGCAGUUGUGAAAGAUUCUUCUGGUAUGAGGGGGCUGCAACUGCCAGUGUCCCGCAAUUCAUGACCAAGCAGAAUAAAAGGUCUCAAACAAUUAGCCUACUACUUUAAAUAUUGCAAUUCCGUCCUACAAUUAACUAAUUUCUCCACUGCUACACUACUAUUGUUCACAUGCAAUAAGUAUCAUUAGCCCUCUCGUGUGUCCCACACAACGAAAUCUUUAAAAUCAUGCUACCUUAAGGUUCAAAUUUUACAUACCUUUAAAAGUUCCAAAUUUUAUGAACCAAAAAGAUAAGAAACCAGACAACACAAACUCACAUUUGUAAGCUCAAAGUAUGGUCUCAAAGCUUUUCCAUUCCUUUUUGCAUAAAAACAGUCCUCUCAGGGAUCUCUCCAAGCAGUAAACGUACUAUCACAGCCCAUUUAGUGCAUUGAACUCGGAAACCGAGAGCCGCAACAGGGGCUUUCCUUGCAGCUUGCAGAAGGGAUUCUUUAGCAUCAGUAUAUUCCAAUUGAAUUGUCCUGAUCUUUCCAAGGUAAAAGAGGUAGCGACAAAACUGGAAUAAAGAAAUCGAGGAUGAGGCAUAGAAGAUUGCAGAUUCUAAGCAUCCAUAUUAUGCAUCAAACAGAUUAGACCAGAUGAUCAAAUAAUAGAAUGUAGUUUUUUUUUAUGUACUACUAUGGUGCAUUACCCCUUUGAUUAGUGCUGCAUGAACAUUUUCUGACUCAAUCAGAACAAACCUUUUUUUUCAUUCCCAUUUGAUUAGUCUAGUAGCAAAGCUUCUACAUUUGAAAUACCCUUAUUGAGUACCAAAAUUGUAAAAUAUAAAAUGUCUUCCAUUAGACCAUUCAAACCUUCUACAGCAAUCUAAUAGCCCAACUACCAUCUCAACACCAUAUACCAAAGUAAUAGUGUGAAUCGGAACCCAUUCAACGAGAGCCCCCCCCCCCCCCCCCAAAAAAAAAAAAAACCAAAAGAAAGAAGAAAAACGAUUAAACGGAGACAUCCUUCCAGCAGUAAAAAUUAAAAAAAUUAAUCAAGUUUUUUUCUGCCAAAUCGAUUAAGAGAACAAAUUGAAUUUCCUCCCACUUUAUUACUAAACUUUUCCUUGAAAGAAAAAAAACUAAAAUAGUGUUUGUCGUCAAGUCAAAGUUCCAUUCCAGGUUCUUUAGUUUGAAUAGCCUUGGAAACCGUCUUUUUCCAUCACUUUGCCAUUUAAUUAUUGUCCCAAUUCAUUCUAAUAUAAUUUCAGCAGAUAUUUUUCCAAUCAAUAUAUCUACAGAUUGCUUCUUGUUCCUCUAACAAAACUUGCCCUCAAUCAUAAGUUAUUCAUGAAAGAGUUUUUGUUUUUCUUCUUUCUCUUUCCAGCCAGAGAAGUUGUUCAACAAUGGCUGUGGAGUGGUUGAGAAGCGGAAGGGGUUCAAUGUAAUUUGUCCAAGUCUGAGGGAGUAAAAGUAAUUAACCAAAUAUACUCCUUCAUUUGAUCCUUUGAUUCUAAUACUUAUUGGUGCAGAAAAGUCAACAAGUUCCAGACAAGAUAAGAUAAAAUAUCCCAAGCACAUGGACGGAUUCUGCACGAGAGAAAACUAAGAUAAAAAGAAUAUUGGAUUUACCUGCUGAUUUGAAUGAGCUUCAAAACGGGGUGCCUUGGAUCUCAGCUUCUCUGCUUGGUCAUAUAAAUUAUAAUGGAGGUAAUUUCGAAGCAACAGAUUGAGAAGUGUUUCCUGUAUCAACUAAGCUGUUAAGUAUGAUGAAGGCUGCCACUAAGACAACAAACUAGCUACUGUUUUAGGUUACAAACCUGACCCAGCUCAUCACGGCGAAGUGUUGCAAUCCGAUGCAGAGCAAGCAGGUUUCUGCGAUUUAAACUUUCUGUUAGGCAAAGUUUUGGAAGGAAAGGGUACUGAAGAAAAAUAUGCCCACAAAUACACAGACAGAUGCAAACGCACACAGAAAUGGAAAAUAAGCGUCUGAAUUAUUUCUGAACCAUUUAUUCCAUGCAUCAUAUAUUCAUAUGAAAUGGAAAAAUGAGCACCAGCUGCCAAAUGCUCAUGAACCAAUUAUAUCAUGCAUCAUACCAAGGGGAUGAAGUAUAUGCAAUAGCAAGUAAAAAUCAUAACUCACCCACGAAUUUCAGCAAGAUCACCAGUAAGUUCAUAGCUCAAAGAGUAAUAGAAAUAAAGCCUGGAUGUUAGAACGUCAAGAGUUCGCUUAUUGAAGUUCUUUAAGCGUCCAAUGCCUGCUGAGGCACAUGCUUUAGCCUGUAGAACAACAGGGAGAUAGUCUUUUACAUUAAGAACUAUAUCGGAAUAUACAAAAAUGUGGGGUGACAGAAAGUAUACCUCAUUGUAUCUUUUUUGAUCAAUGAGAAAUAUGAGGACAAGCAAGCAAGAAUAAAUCUCAAGCUCUGGCAGAGAAUGCUUUGUAGGGGCUUGGGUUGCAGAUGUUGCAGUAUCAACUUCCAUUUCAUGUUCAUCAUCCUAUAAGAAGCAUUUAAGUUUGUCAAGCUGCAUAAUUAUUAACAGCACUGCAUUUGUUUGACAAUACAAUGGAAAAACAUGAUAUUUGCACUAAACGGAAGGCAAUGAAGACAUACCAAUUACGAGUCCAUUUUGUUGGAUAGAAAAUGUCUGACAGACAUAUAAUGGAUACGAUUUUGUACAAAGAAAAUCAUCUCUCAAUUCUUUUCGUAUUACUUACAUGAUAAUUCAAAAGCCAUUUCCACAAUUCCCACAAUAGGAUUAACGCACCACCAAUACUAGGGGUGCAAACGAGCCGAGCCGAGUCGAGCUUUGGCCUUAUCGAGUCGAGCCUUAACUUAAUUUCAUCGAACUCGAACUCGAGCUCGAGCUCGACGAGCUGGUAAUUUUCAAGCUCGAGCUCUAAAAAAAUAAAAAAUAAUUAUUUUAUUUUUAAAAAAAUAAAUAAAAUAAUAUAUUUUCUUAAUAAAUAAUAAAAUAUUAAGGAUAUUUAUGUAAUUUUACUAUUAAAAAUAAAAAAAUAAAUAUAUAUAUAUUCGAGCUCGCGAGCCUAACGAGCUUAAUGUUUUGAGCUCGAGCUCGAGCUCGACUCGAGCUCGAUAUUGAUCGAGCUCGAGUCGAGCUCGAAUCGAGCGGCUCGAUUCGUUUGCACCCCUAACCAAUACCACUAGAAAACCUUUAAUUAAAUAAUUCCCAUUUCCAGUUGCUUCAUCAACUGAUGUCACUUUCGUUGCUGCAAUAUUGCAAGUAAUAUUCAUGGAGACACUACAGCAACAAUUGUAAUGGCAGUAAAUGUUAUCUAAGAAGGUAGCAAAAUAACAAAAAAUCGGAGGUAUAACAAGCAAAUUAAAGGCAGGGUGCAGGAAUUUGAGUUUCAGCAUAUAAAUGCAAGCACUAAUAGCAGUAGGGCCAAUAUUCCUCUACUGUUGUCUCACUGGAUGGAAGCAGGAGCAGCAUAUGGGCAUAAUAACUUUAAAUUUUACAAGGCUUUAUACUUUCAAGUUGAUGAAAAAGAUGAAACCAAGGAUGUUACCAUGUACAAUGAGUACAGGAGUUACUUUUUCACCCUUAAUAUGAAACUAAUUGACACUUUGCACUUCCAACAACUACUUUGCACACAGCACUCUAUUCCACUCUUCCCCAACUAUUAAUAGACCAUUGAACAAAAUAUUUUUAGAGCUUGAAGAAUGAAAUCAAAUUUAAAAGUGACGGAAUUUGUCCUAAAGGCGAUUAAAAGAGAAGAUAUAAUGACAAGCUGAAGUGGUGGGAUAACUAGAGUCUCCAGCUUCCAAUUAAAGCUCAUAUUAACAAACGAUGAAACCAACACUCAUGUCCAUGUCCUAUUUUCAUAAACCAUUUAGACCCUUUUUUGCAUGUGAUCACACAAAUCUUGUCCACAGAAUCAAUCAGCCCUGUCUAGUUUUGCCACACUAAUUCAAAAAUGGGGUAAAGUUGACUAUGAUAACUGUAAGAUGCAAUUUGUCCAAAGUCCAGAACAAUAAUUUGAGGAGUAAAGUCCCCAACACACUGUAGAAUAUAGUCAUGUACAAACAGAAUAUUCUUCCUUCAGCAACAAACAUGCUACAACUGCCAGUUCAUCAACAAAAGCCACUUAAGAAAAACCGAGGCAAAAACAAAGAAUGGUGCCAAGCCAAAGAACUGAAAUUCCACAUAUUUAAAAAAUUGAAAGAGGACUUUCUUACCUUGGGAAUGUACGAGGACAACCGUGAAUGCACCUCUGAUCCAGGUGUAAGGGUAUGAGUUAAGAAUGCAGAAAUCACAGACGCCUUUAACUUCUUCCUCAAAGCUAUAGUUAGCCGAACUGCCCUAACUAUUCUCCGGACCUCCCGGGCAUAUGCACCCGUCUCAAUAAGUGAUGCUAUCUCUUUCAAGUCUGAAACCCCAAGUUUUCCAUUAAAGAAAUAGUAAUUAAUCAAUAUUGAUUAAAGACCAAGCAACGCAGUAAAAGGGUUAGAAGAUGAACAGAAAGAUACUUACGCUGCAGAGUGGAUGGGGCAGUCAAGGCGACAGAAUUUGAGGUGGCUGGUUGCUCUUUCAUCUCAACGUCUUGAGUCAUUUUUGAUGUGCUGUGAAAAAUCAAAGUCAAUAUCAUUGAGAGGACGACCACCUAAUCAGGCUAACACGAAUGCAAAUUUAAUUGAUCAGUCCUCCUUAAAGUUGAUAAAAAAAAAAAAAAUCAUUUUCCUUGCAUUUCUCGUUACUAAGUUUAUGGCAAACGUAUUUAGAUUGCAUAUAUCGAUACGGCAUAGAUGGAUUCAUGAGGAAAAUUGACGAGGGCCUGGGAGGUAACGGGUUUCAGCCAAUCUAAAACAUCCAAAAGCGAGAAUAGCGAAGCUCAAAAAUGCACUCCAUCAAAACCAAGGAAAUACUGUCCAAUAAAGACAGUCCCCGAUUUUCAACCUCAAAUGCAAAUUCUCAAAAGGAAGAAACCCAGUCUAAAUUAUUAACAAUUCCCACAAACAAUACCGCAAAAACCACAAAUUUAAUCAAUCAAUCAGUUACCCAUUUCUACAAACAAUACUCGCAUAGGCUACAAAAAAAUUUAAUCAACCAGUUUCUAAAUUUCGCAUCUGAACUACUAAUAGAAGGAAAAAAAAAUUGAACAAAAUCAAAAUAACAUCUAAGCUCUGUUGGACUGCUUAACUAGUUCCCUGGGCAGGCAGCAAACCGAUGGUUGAGGAGGGAUACCAAGCCAGAGAUCUGAGUGAAUGCCGCUCUGACAAUUAGAUGCCUUCGUGGAGGAGAUGGAAUGGGAAAUGGUAAAAUAAGGUACCAAAAGUGAUUUAGAAUCAAAAAGAAGAAAAAGGAAGAUAGUAUUAUAACUUUCUUUCGCUACAAGAAAGAACUUGAGGGGAAAAUAAAACUCUAAUCUCCACGUAGAGAAAUCUGUCGUAUCAACAGCGUGGGGUAAAGUAAAGGAGAAGAUGAAUCGAACCUGAGUUAUUCCGAUUUCCGACUUCCGAGAGUGAAUUUAAAAAAACAUAAAAAAAAAACCCUAGGAUUGGAAAUCACUUUGGGAUUGCGGGUUCUCUUUCAAAAGCUUUUUUCAGUCUCAAGAUGACGAGUGACGACAAAACCCAAAGGCCUCUUCGGUCACCUGCUCAACUCCAGCUUCGAGCUUUACUCUUGGCUUGGGAGUUUAGGAUAGAAAAGAAAAGAAGGGAAAAAUUAAUAAGUUAUGAGAGAAGAAAAUGGAUUGUUAUUUGUUUGAGGGUUUUUUGGGAGUCAGUGAAAUGAUUUUGAAUAUGAAAGUCAUUAAAUAUUUGUUUAAAAUUUUUUUAAGAAUAAAAUAGAUAUUUUAAAAAAAAUUGACAAGUUUUCUCAAAGUUUCUUUUUCAUUUCCAUCCAAUUUGAGAGGGAAAGUUUAGCUUGCUGUUCAUCCUUUUGAAUCCUCCCAUUUCCUUGCUUUUCUUUUUUACUAAAAACUAACAGCUAGUUUGUGAGCUGAGGAUAGAAAAAGAAAAGAAGAGAAAGAUUAAGUUACGAGAGAAAAGAAGAGAAGAGAUUUUAGGAAAUGGAAUAAUUCCUAGAGAGCCAGGGUUUUGGUCAAUUCCUCCCAAUUUGAUUGGGAAUUAUGAAUGGCUAAAUUUUAAGGCAUGACUCCAAUAUUUCAAUUCUUAUUGCACUGGACAUAGAGCGCAAUUUUAGAAUUAUUGUAAUUCCAAAUACCAAAAUCCCUAAACCAAGCGGCCCCUUAAUGUUGUUUAUGAGUUUAUGAAAGAAAAGAGAUGAUUUUGGACAUAUUAAUCAAUAAAUAUUUCAUUCAAUAGCUUUUUAAGUAUAGAGUGGGCAAUUUAAAAAAUUUUUGCAGCCUUUCUGUAGCUUUCCUUUGCUUUCUGUCCGAUUUGGGCCAGAAAAUUUUUUUUUUUAUUGUAGCGGGUCUCUUCCUCCUCUCCAAUUAGUCGUAUUCUCUUCCUUUCUAUUUCACUAAAACUCUCAAACACGAAAAAUACCUGCCUUUCUCUUCCCUUCUUUUCUUUUCUGCUCAAAUCUCAUCUCCCAACUAGGCAUAAGAGUAUUUUUAAACUUUCUCUUCUUUCCCUUUCUUUCCCCAUCCAAAAUCUCAACUCGCAAACCGAGUAUUUUUACACUUUUUGGUCUUUAGUGUCAAAUUUUUAGAUAAUUCAAUUCCUCAAUAAUAAUAAAUUUCACGAGCCUAUUGUCCUGUAAAGUUUCGUGAGAUGCUAUGAUCUCUUUUGAAUACAACGCCCAUGAACUUAAUCUAUUUAAAUCUUGUCAUAUCAUUUAGUAGUUUAAACUUUCGAAAUAUAUAAUUCCUAUCCUGUAUCCAACAGUAAAUUUAAUCUCAUCGAUACAAACUAUAUAGUAUCCUAAAGGGAUCGUAGAUAAAAUUUUUAGGCAUGAAAAAUUUCAGCUUAUUUUGUUACACGUUCCUUAGAAGGACCAAACCAAAAAUGCUACUCAUAAUUCGGAAGGAAAGCCAUUUUGAUGAAAAUUACUUAAGCCCCACCUAUUGAGCUUUCUUUUUUUUUGAAAAAAAAUUAAAGAAUGCGAUUUAAAUACUCCGCGUUCAAUGUGGCUAUGAAUUAAGGUUUUUCUUAUUGGAAUGGCACUGAAUUUCAAUACGUUCAAAUCAUCAACAUUAUUUGUAAAUUAAAGAACGGCUCCUACUCUUUUAAAACAAGAGAAAAAAAAAGAAAAGAAGAAAAUGGAUAUUACAAUUAUAAAAUGAGAAGAUGUGAAGUAUCCCUUUAUACAUGGGACAAAUCUUGUAUUUAUCGCCACUUACAUUGAUUGAGGUUCAUAUCUUUGAUCAUACAAUAACAACCUAUGCUAUAGCGUUCCUGUCUGAUACAAAACUCCACCAGCUAAGUGGAAGGUAGCCAGAAGAAAAUGAUGCAAAAAGAGCAGCAAGGCUGGUAACACGAGCAGGAGUGUGCACGAGAUUUCGUCUAUUCUUUAAAUGAAUGGGCACGCCCUACUUGCUCUGGGGAAACGUGACCUCGUAAUUCUGCGGCACCUGCAUAAGUAGUAGUGCACAAAUUCAUCUACUUCUACCACAUUUUUGUCACUGACAUAAACAAAAAAAAGAGAGAAAACGGCUAAAUCAUGAUCCAUAUUAUGACAAUCCACCAGUAUGGUUUAGCAUAUGCAGUUCUUGACUGUUGGAACAACAUAUAUGUUAUUGAUUUAAGCAUAUGGGAUUUUUUGUCACCAUGAACGUUGCAAGGAUCAUCUUCCCAGCAAACCAUCUACCAUGAAGUGCACGCUGCGCAGCAAUUGCAGCUUGAUUGUUCUCAAACCGCAGGUACACCAACCCGUCGCUUUUCCUGCUCGUCAAAAAGAUUGAAUAGAAACAAGGAGGUAGAAGAGAUUACUUGUUAGCUAAAUGCGCAUCGCCACCAAUUUGCAGCCAUGAACAUCUUUCAACUCACAUUUACUGCAGGAUAGGGCAAUACAUGCAUAGACAAGAUUUGGGAUACACAAAAGUUUGCAAAUUCAAGCUAGUUAGCAGCCAAAAUCAGUUAUGGUACUAAAAGAUAGUACGAACUUAUCCACAUAAAUGUGCUUCAACUUUCCGAAUUUUGAACAUUCAUCCUCAACAUCAUCCUUAAUAUCCUGGUCGAACUCAGGUUCAGACUGCAAAAGUAAUACAUCAAUAAAAGAAACAAGAAGAAGGAGGAUUGCAAAACAAUGUCUCCAGCACCAACCUCUAAUUUUGGAUCAAACACGUUCUUCAACAAUAAACAUUCACUUGGAAUGCCUAUAGUAUCAAUUGAAGGAAAAGUAACAGAAGGCAGUGAGAGACCUGCAGCAGGCCAUCCCGCAAGUGCUGGAACAGGAAUCUGUCCAAAAGGAGCAAGAGGAGAUACCUCAGGGGCAGCACCAAGAACUGGAGCUGCUGGUGCAGAAAGGCCAGGGUUAUCAACAACCUGGCUGCCAACAGAACCAGCACCACUAUGGAGGAGGGAAGGAUAUGUAAGAACAGGUACAAAAAAUUCAGCAAUCACUAAAAAAUGCAUACGUCAAACCUUGAUGUUAUCCUAGUAUGAUCCAGCUUCUUCUGCAUGAGAAGUGUUAGAGAUUCAGCACUCAGAGACUGAAAACAUUCAAAAAAUGACGUCAAUAUUUGCGGUAUUAAAGAAAAGCAAAGUAUUAAGAACGGUACCUAGAAAAGAAAACAGAUGAAACCAUUCAGCUUAAGGCAUGGGAUAACUGGGAAAGUGAAAAGAUUUAGCAAUGAACAUAUUCAUUCCUGGAGAUUUAACUAUUAUCUAAUUUGAAUUAUCUUUGACUAGACUAAAUUGAGAUGUGACACUAAAUCAACGCUCACGGUGAAUGUUGAGGAAGAAACCAGAACAAAUAUAACAACACUAAAUAAGAAACCAAGCAUAUGUUGUGGAAUUUCAGUACUCUAUAUUGUACCGUUACGCCAAACAGAAAGGAUGACCAAAGAAUUCCAAGCAAGAACUUACAAUUUCUUUUCAAAAAAUGGGAGGCCCUUGGGUUGGAUGUGGCAAUAUUUCUCAAAGAAAGUACACAGAUGAAAAAAAGUAGCUUACUAGAGCUAAAAAACACUGACUAGUUGUUUAUUAUCAAAGUUAGAUCUCCAAUAAAGUAGUACCUCCUGAAUGGCUGAGCAUUUUCCAUCACCAUACUCUGCAUAUAACUCUUCCAUCACUAGACCUUCAAACAGAAUCGCCGCUAACACCACAAAAACAAAGAUUUUACCCUUUCCUUCCCUCUGUAGAUCUUGUAUCGGUUAUACUUUUCUUUAAUCAAAAUUUAGAUAAGCUCUACUUAUGUAGGCGACAACAAAGCAGACAUGUCUCUGUUAAUGAUAUUUUCGCAUGAUAUCAAUUCAUUUCUUGACGAGCCAAACUAACUUUUACGGCCCGAAUAAGUUCACUUAUCUCUAAAGUUGUCCCCAAAAGACACCAAGCAGAAAACAGUUUUUGAAUGACCUUUAAAUUAACAGACAAAGAAAUGGACUUUUGACCAAAUUAAGCUGUAGAACCAGCAAUUAUAUUGCACAAAUGGCUUACCAGACCACCACCCUCAUCAUCACCAAAAUCUCCAGCAUUUGCACCAACUUCUUGUCUUAAAGUUUGAUCUGUAACAGCUGAUACCUGCAUAAGAAUGUUGAAACAAAAUUAGAGACGGUCAUAGACGUAACCAGAAAAUUUACUUGGGGUUAAACUUUAACAUAUCUAAGUUUGGGUAUAUAAUAUUAACUAUUUGCAAGUUUUUCAGGGGAAAAAGUUUAAACUUAUAAAGGAUAUUUUCCAAAAUUUUCAAUUUUUCUAAGGGAGAAGCCCUCUCCUCUUAUGGUGACAUUUGUCCCAUUGAGGCAAAAACUAUAGAUCCCAACUUACUAAUCAACUGUUGCACAGCCAAUAAGUAGGAAGCAGUGAAGAAUGUCACCCAGAAUGAAAGAAAAGGAAACAAAUUGACCUAUGAAAUAUGAAUUGUGGUAAUGCAUAGAUGAAAGGAAGCAACGCACGAGAUAGAACCUAAUAUGGAAUUCAAAUUAAUGCUUUAUGGACAAUGGUUUAAGCAGCCAAUUGAGAUAAACCAAGAACUAACUAAAAAGGAUGAUAUAAUCUCUACCUCAUUUGCCACGGGAUCCCGCAAGAUGUUCAAAACUUCAAACUUAAGUACAAAGGAUAGUUCAAAUGCAGCUCAGAACACAAAGAGUUAUGCCACAGAGAGAGGAGAGAUUUUCCACUAACACAUUUGAUUCACUUCCUCACACUUAAGCAAAGUAGUUGUGGUCAAGUUUUGAAGUGCAGCUAGAGAUAAAUUUGACAAGGCAACAAAACAUCAGCAUCAAGACUGUUGAAAUCAGUUGUUUAGUUAAUUUCAGUUAUAAAUUUCAUUAUACAAAUAUGUGAUUGUCCACAUCUAUUUAUGCAGAUCAGUAGGGAAGAGAACUCUUAGGUACAGAGGCUGAUCUUACAAUCUCCAAAAUUAGCUUCAGUAGUUUACCUUGGUAUAAUAUGAACUUGCAUUGUGGCCGCAAAUUCUGGUUUAGAUGGAUUUUGAUGGUUGCAAAACAUAUGAAUUGAGUAUAAAGAAAAUUUGCAAGUCAAUAGUAAUUACACCUAUACCUUCUUAAGAUUCAGCAGGGCCAAGAAACUCCCAUCAUUUGAAUACCCUCAGUGCUUAAUGUGGAUCAAUGUUACACGUCCAAAAUUUUGUCCAAUGACAGGGAAAAGUGUCUUAGAAACAAGAGAGGGUAACAAGAAAUUUAGCUCUUGAGAAAUAAAUAUGCAUAGAGCCUUUCAAGACGCAUAGAGCUUCAAUACUAAUUGAAGCCUUUCCAUUUUUUUCCUUGCCUUAUUAUUGUCUUAUUUGUUGAUUAUGAAGAAAAAACGAGUAAAGAUAAUGAAUCAGUUCUCAUAAUUAGUGCAAAUCCCAGCCCAGCGCAAAAGAAGAGAAUUAGAAGAACAUUGUCAUCUGCAAUCUACCAUAGUCAUUCGGCAAUUAGUCAUCUGCAAUCAAUUCUCAUAAUUAGUGCAAAUCCCAGCCAACGAAAAACAGAAUUGAAGAACAUUGUCAUCUGCAAUCUACCAUAGUCAUUCAACCAUUAAUACAAGCUAAGGUGAUCAGUAGAAGCCAGAAAAAGAGCACCUGGACAUUGAAAGCAAUAUUUGUUCGUGAUAAAUUUAAUUACAAUCCAAGCUAUUAUUACACUAACAGAGCCAUAGCACUAAAUAGCCACAAAAUGUCAAAUGUAAAUGAUAAUCCAUGAAGGUUGUCAUGAGUUUUAAACAGAAUAAAUAACUUGCCUUCAUAACUCGGCCUGCAAUAUCCAGUUGUCCAUCUAAACUUAGUGCAGCUCUAGCAUCUUCAAGGCGAGAAAACUGCAAGAUGGUUGUGCACAAAAAGAUUUAACUUGGUUCAUCGAAGAGCACUGAGAUCUCACUACAAAGAAGGCUAUUUUAUGUGGUGAAGCUAUUCUGCAUCAGACUAUUACGUUAGCUCAUACUCAAUAUGCAUGAUUUAAAUGUUGUGACAACUCAUAUCUAGAACUAAAUCACCUGCACAAAACCAUAGCGGCAGCUAUGCCCAGUCUCCAGGUCAGGAGGCAGCUGCACCAACUCAACAGUACCAAAUGGUUCAAAAACCUGACUUUUUGAAAAGGAAAGAUCAGAAUCUUGACUAACAGGAGAAAUAUCUGCUGCAAAAUCAAGACAACUAGUAUAAACCCAAGAGAGUUCAAAAAAUAACACCUUCCUUGUCAGAACAGUGAUCCAUGGUGUGUGACACUGCAGUGCCAACCUUAUACCAUUUGGCUCAAUAAGUAUAUCAUCCUUUUGUUGCCAAAUACAUAUCAGUGCCUACCAGCCUAAAACAUCUUUUCUUUUCACUAAAUUGCUACUCUUUGAACAAGCAAAUGAUAAUGACUCUCUUUUACGGCGUGCAACUGAUUGUCCAAUAAGAAAAACGUGUAAGCUAUGUCAUUCAUCCAGACAAUAAGCACAUGCAGUAACAGAAAGUAAUAUGAGUGACCCCAACUGUUCACAGGUUCAAUUACAGUGUCAAUCGAGUUUUAAGAGCUUAACUUUCUUUUCUACAUAUAGGGCAAUCAGCUUAAGCAAAUACAACAUCAAGUCACCCAGUCAUACUAGAUUUGUCCGUUGUAUUAAGUAAAAUAAACCUAUGAAGGUGUUUAGAAGCUCUGGAAACAUAGUAGCUAAUUAAAUUAACUUCAAGGUUCCUUUUUAACAUCAGGAAGCACUAGAUCAUUUUGUUAAAAUGCCGGAAAAGAACUGGAUUAUUUUUUGCAGGCACUAGCAUCCUUGACCUUUCCAAAAUUUGUUAAAGCUGAAAGACAUUUAAAGGAGUUGCGAACUGUUACAUCUCAUUCAAUCAUGACACUUACCACCUGCAAACUUUUUCCUUUUAUCCUGAAAACUCUAUCCUUUUAAUUGGAACCAUGAAAUUCUUAAUUUGGUGUAUUUAACUUGAAAAGCUAUAAUCCGUACGCUUAUUGUAGAUCACAACAUUCAUGACCAUGCUUAUUUGAAUACAUACAAUGAGAACUGGAUGCAAAACCACCAACUGGAGGAUAUAUCUACCUGACGAAGUUGAUCUUCUUUGAUGUUAGAAUGCAGAUUGUCAACAUACAACCUCCUAGCUCCACCUGAGUACGGGCAUCUUAGGUCAGUAUCUCCAGCAGCCACAGAUGCAGUUGACUGAACGAGAUUCUUUUCAGCCUCUGAUGGUUUAACCAUCACUGAUUGACCAAGAAGAGGUUGGCGGACAGGGCUACCGCCAUAGGGACCGACAUGACAUCGUAAAAUUCAAUAUAUCUGCAGAACAAAAUUUAGCAUAUGAGAAGAAAACAAAGAUAAAAAUUCUGAGAAAUUGAGAUAGUAUACAGUUGUGAUGUCGUGUGUGUUUCUCUGUCAGUAGUUUCCUACCCAAUGCCUUUGGAGCGUCUAGAAAUGCGGUCCACUACGAGGCGUACAUCUCUGACCUGAUAUUGCAUGAAAGUUGUCUGUCAAUAACUCCUAAUACUUGGUAAAUGUUAUCCAACAAUGAGGGUAAGUCAUCAUUCUGAAGGAAUCAUGACACCAUGACAAUCGUAUAUAGCAACAAUUCAAUUGUUUAUUCAUUAUAUUUAUUUUUGCAUGUGCAUGUCAUGUUGAGGUUGACAGAUGAAACUAUUACUCAAGUUGAGUUCAGAGAAUUCAGGGGACAAAGAAUACUAAUGAUGGGAGCAGGCAGGGUGUCACAAAAUUCCAGCAUACCUACUCAACCCAGUAAAAGAUUAUGGGCUUAUGCUUAAAACUCAACAGCUCAAAAUAAGUUAUAAGCAGCUUAUCUGAAAUUGAAAAAGAAGUUAAUAUUGUGAAUCUACUGAAAGAUUGAAAAGAUGUUUAACUUUCAACAUAUUGCCAAGCUAACAGCUAUUUUGAAAAGCAAAUCAAGGGAGACUUUUUUAUUAAAUGCAGAAAAACCUGCUUACAGCUUAUUUUAGACUAUUGGUACAAGCCAUACAAGUCGCAUUAAUUAUUAUGCUAGAUAUCAUGGUUAGACAACAAAUCUAUUCAAGACCUAGAUCCUAUUAGGCACACAAGUCUUUGCAUAUUUUACACAACAUCAGCUUCAGCACUACUGUGGCAUUUUAGUCAUAAGCUGAAAUCCAUUAUUUUAAGUGGUGAAAUAUUGCUUGAUUCAGAAGAUUUAUGGCAGAAUAAAGAACUUCAAGGGUAAAAUUGGCUUCAAUGGAUAGAUCAUCUUAUCGAAUAUAGUAGAGUGUCAGGGCAGUAAGGAGGAGAUCAAAGAUAAAUCUUGUAUGUCUCAUUUGUAAUGUUCUUUUAGUUUUUAUUAAACAAGCAGAAGCAGGCACAAAGCAAAUACAGAUUCCAAUUCACUGCAACAAAACAUGGAGUAUCAUUUAAUUAAUGUCUCGUAAGAUAAGUAUUUGGGUCCCGCCCUAGCAUAGCAAAACCUUGCCAGCUCUGCUAAAAACUCAUAGACAUCUCUUUCAUCUGCCUGCAAAGAAAUCUGCCAAAAUCACAAGAGGAAGUCCAUGUCAGAAGAAAUGCUGUUGUAAGCCAGUAAAUUAGUAGGAAAACAGAUUAGUCAGGUAACUUAACUACCUGAUAAGCAAAAACUGUCCGUCGAUCAUGCUCAGGAUCAGCCUGUGGCUCGGCCACUUCUUCCUUUUUUUCUUUAAAUCUCCUGCCAAAUACACACACACACACAUGUAUAACAAUUAUAACCCUCAGAAGAAGUGAUCAACAGGCUAGAACAUCCUAAAAGGAAAUAAAUGAACUACUAUUUACUGAGCUGAAAACCCAAACUAAGCUCAACAGUUAUAAUAGCCAACUGUUGUGCUUCUCAGAGUAGGAGGUAACAGUUAACUACCAGAACAAACCUAAAUUAAACUCUGUAUACAGAGAUCAGCUUGGUUAAAUGCCAAAAGAAAAUUGUCCAACUCUUUUUAAGGAAACAGGUUACAUUUAAAGAUACCGACCCUGAUCUUAGUUACAAGAGACAAAGCCAAACCAAUUCAACUUCUGUUAGCCAAAAGCACAGGUGCGAUACAGGUCAGCUUAGUGCAAGCAAAUUAUUUGCUUAAAAACUACCAAGAACCAGUGUGAUUGUUAACUCCAGAAUAAAAAAAACAUACUUAAGAAAGUAGAAUAUUUUGUAAGCAGAAUAUAAAUCUUGAAGCCAACUGACAACUGAUUUACGAUAAGCAAAUAUUUUGUAGAUUAUCUUGUGUACGUUGUAAAUCUGCCCAAGGGCCCUAACAACUUACAACUAUGCAAAUGCAUGACUCUGCAUUUCUACCUAUUAGCUAGCUCAGAACAAGGAAAUAUAACUUUUUCAUUCAAGUCAGGCAGAAAAUCAUCAAAGUUCCCCUAGAAUUAUAACAAAACCACUGAGGAAUCGCGCAUUACCUGCUUUCUGUCCCCUUCUUGUAACUGGCUCUGUCUUUCCCUUCCUCCAUACUCCCUAUCACCAUUCUUCUCCCUGUCUCGGCUCUCCUCUCUCUCUCCAUCAACCAGAUGCCUUUCUGAAUGACUUGUACGAUUCGACAGGUCUUGAUUUCUCUCCCUACCUCUCUGUCUUUCAUCUUCGCGGCCACGACCUCUCCUUCCGCUAUCUUCGCCUUUGUUGGUAUCUCUUUCUCUGUCGCUUUCUUUGAUUUUGUCCCCAUCUCUCUCCUUCUUGCUGCUCUUAUGCUUGUCCCUGUCCUUGGAUUCUCGGCUACUCCUGUAUCUCUCCCUCCCACUCCUCUCUCUAUCUCUUGAAAGGGAAUGGAGACGGUAGCUUGAGCUCCUCUCCUCCUCGUCUUCAUGGAACUCUUCCCGCGUCCUUGAACGCUUAACGCGUUGAUGAUGAUGAUGAUCACUUUUAUGCAUUGGCCUCUUAAUUGGGUCUUGGCCUCCGCCAGAUUUAUCCACUUGAUCACCGCCAUUGCUCGUCUCAGGAUUUUCCGCUGUUUUCUCCGAGUAAUCAUCAAACUCGUCAAAUUCCAUUUGGAAAAACCCUUCAAAACCCAAACAAUCUGCUUCCUCAAGAGAUGACAGAAAUAUACUACUAACUAUACAGUAGUGUAUUUUUUUUCCAAGACAACAACACAUUUAAUCCAUUAGUUUCGAUUGCUCGACAAGGCUAUCAAAUACUACUACAAGGCACAACCGAGUCUGGAGAAUUUGAAAAUCCAUACGACAGAUUAAAAAAAAGGGAAUUUCACCAUUUUCGUCCAUAAACUUUUACACUAAAAUCAAUUUCAUCCUUUAUAAUUUUUUUAACCAAUUUAAUCCUUCCAUUAUUUUGAAGUCUCUGAUCUAGGACUUUUACAACGGCAACACCACAUUUUACAUAUUUCGUAUAAUCGAUAAUGGGUAUAUUUGUCAUUUUAAAUUAGAUUCUUUAAUUUAUACGGAACUUUGACUAUAGUUCUUCUUCUUCGAAAAAUUUCACCGAAAAUUUCAUCUGAAUUUAUUGGAAACUUACCCAGACUCUCUCUCACACACUCAAAUCAAGAAACAAAAUCCAUGAGAAAAAAAUAGAAAACCAAAAACCAAAAUGAAAAUUGAAGCAAAAUUUGAAGAAUAAAUUUCUCUCAUACACAAUUUUAAAUCUACUCACCGGCAAACUCAUUUUGUUUGGUUCUGAUUUUUUAUCCUCCAUUCAUGGCUGCUAGCAAAGACACCAUCAAUUAUCACUACCGAUCCAUUUUCGUCCUUCAACUCUCUCAUGACUAGUCAUCAUUCAUUUUUCACCAUGAGUUUCAUAUGAACUCAUAAGAAUCUCUCCAAAAUUCUUGCGGAAUUUUUCAGUUGUAGAGUUGUAUACUCCAUUUUCUUUCCAAGAAAAGAAGAAAAGAACCAAAAACAGAAAACCAACAAAUACAUUGAGGGAAUCUGAGGAGCAAGAGGAGCUCGCUGCUGCCAUCACCAUUGCCGGAGUUGCUAUCUUCUUGCUAGAACCACCACUACUUAUAAAUCAUCAUGAAGGAAGCAGUGUGAGGUUUCCAUAAUCCUUUUUUUGUUUUAAUCUCUAGGUUGAGAUGAUUUUUUUGACUGUUGAAAUUGCUAUCUUCUUCCCGUUUGCUUUGUUUUGUAGAUGAAUGAAAUGGGACAGUGAUGCUGCAAUUUUGUUGUUUCUUUUUCACCUUUUCUGCCUGAAUAAGGCUUGACAAGAUAUUUUUCGACUCAGCCAUAAUCAAAUUUCAUACGAAAUAUUCAAUUUUUGUGAUGACCUUAAUCUUUUUGACAAAAUGCCCAAAUGAAAUAAGUUUGUAAGUAGACCUGAGAGUAUGUUUGAGAGCCAUUUCUCCUUUAAAUUUUGCUUCACUUUCCUGAGAGUAUAUUUGUAAGCACAUGACAUGUGUCUUUUGUAUAUGUUUAAUUCAUUUAAUUUACUACUCAAUUAAAUGAGUUAAACUUGGGGUAUUGAAAUGAAGAUUAAAUUUUGCACUCAUAACGUUUAUCUCACUCUAACAAUAUGAGUUGAAACUUUUAAUUGUCUGCAUUCUUUCGUUUGGGCCUUUUUGAUUUCUACGGUUUCAGAGUCUUUUGGUGUUCCAUAGUCUUCAAUUUCAGAUGAAAAGCAUAACCUCCAUAAGGUCUCGAAAGCUUUCAGACACAAGUUGCUUUCUCAGAGAAAAAGUGCUCACAAAUAGUAUUAAUCAACUGGUGCUCACGGUGCUCUUUGAUAAAAGGAAUUUUCUAUUUGUUUUAGUUGUUUUAUUUGCAUCCAAAACACAAAAUAAAUAUUGCAUGGAAAGUGAAUCACCAGUACUUUGAAGCUUGAUGAAAAAUUUGUGGAUAGAUAAUUAUAUUUUGAUAGUUUGAUUUAUAUAAAGUUUCUUAAUAAUGAAAAGUGCUUAUUUAAUGGAUCAAGUGGAUGAUAUGUAAAAUAAUUGUUGGGCUCAGUAAUUUGGGAUGUGAAGAAAAUAUUUCGUAUCUCUUCAUUUUGAAUUACUAGCCUAUAUCCAUGACAGGUAGUUUAUUUUCAUGAUUUUAAAUUUUAACAAAUAAUAUCUUGAGAAUAAAAGAAGUGUAAAAUUAGAUUUCAGAAUCUUUUGUUUAAACUGGUUUUAUAUGACUUUGUAAUCUUAUUUUUUUUUAUUGUCCCUGAUGAUAGAUAAUUUAAUUAGAGUUUGAGAUAAUUGCUAACUUGCUAGGCAUGGAACUAGACAUAUCAUUAUUAUUUGGCUGAAGGAGUUGAUAAAGUUUCUUUAGAUAUUAUAUUUUAACUAGUAGAAAUGAUUGCAAUUGUCAAAGGAGUGUAGUUAGUGGUGGAAGUUAGCAUUGAGGCUUUCAAUCUAGAGUGUCACUUGAUAAAGUAUUAUUACAAAAUUUAAUUUUAAUUAAGAAGACAUUUUUGCUAUCAAACUAAUUGUUGUUUUGAAUUUGUAUAUGUAGAUCUGGAAAUAUGGCAUUCAUAUUUUUAUCUAAAAUUACUAUUUGUAUUCUAGAGCUAUUUGGUGAGAUAAUGUUCUCACCUAUUUGUAAUGCUAUUAGGCAUGAUUUAAAUGAGUGGAUUAACUUGCUUUUUCUCUUAAAAAGAAAGAAAAAUGUGCACGUUUAUAUGUUUUUAUUGAUGUUGAAAACUGUAACAUGUUUUGGUGGUUUUUUAAACUUUUUCUGUUUAUUAAAGUGCUAGAAAUAAUAUGAUUGUUUUUUGUUUUGUUACAACUAAAAUUAUGUUGUUAUUAAACCGACAAUGCACUCAUAAUGGAUUUGUUUUCUCUUCUUUUUUGGUACCAUUAUAUGCACGUAAUACUAGUUAAAAAAUCUUUGUUCAAAUCACAAAAAAAUAGGGGGCUAACUUGAUUAUUGGAAUUUUUCUUCACAACAAAUUUUUAAUUAUUUUUAUACUCAAUUUUCUCUAAUAUCUCUAUUCAUUAUGUACCAAAAUGAUUUGUUAUUAUGUAUUCAACUAAGUUUCUAGGGGGUCCUGGCUGUGCCUUGCAGAGUCGAGGUACCUCUAGUCUUUGGUAUAUAAAAAAUAAAAGGAACAAAAAAAACCAAUAGAUAGAAAAGAAUGAAAUCCUUUUUCUUGUUACAACUACAACUUGCAAAUGUACAACAAACCUUUUUGAAUGUGAUAAAGAGUAAUAUAUAUGAAUUUAACAAAUGAGCGUGUCAUGGGUUCAAAUUUGGACAAAUGGGAUUGAGGACAAUUAACGGGUAACUACUAAACUUUCCCCAUAGUCUAUUUAUACCAAGCAUUCUUCUUAUGGCUAGAUCCAAUCUCUCGGUUCCUGCGGGAGGGAAAAGAAUUUCACGCUCUUCCUUUCGGGAAGGGAGGAUUAGGGAAAUCCUAUUGAUUGCAGCUUUCUCCAAACCCCCCAAAAGACAUGAAAAAAAAGACUCGAAUAAUACAAUCACUCCGUCACCCAAAAAUGAAAGGGGUGAUCUCGUAAUUCUUGGUCUGUGAAGAUGCAUUGUUAGGCGCUCCAUUUUUUCCCAUUGAGGCCAAACCUAAACCUGUGCUCAAGAGAUAGCUGGCCACACACUGAUAAGGGAUGUCCAGUUUUUCACUACUCAACUAUUAAUAAUAUAUUUUUACCCAUUAAAUUAUUAAGAGUAUAAAUUUUGGCCCCUUCUAUCUAAUUUUGUCAGAUCUAACUAACAGUAGUAUGUCUUGCAAAUCAUAUGAACCCUUAGAUUCGUUAGAAUUAACGAUAAAAUCAGAUAAAAUGGUGCAAAAUUUACGCAUUUGAUUGUUCAGUAAGUAAAAACAUACUAUGAAUAAUUAAGGGACCAAAUGUUGACUAUAUAUUAUUAAUAAUUAAUUAAGGAACCAAAUCUUGACAAUUCAAAAAGUUCAAUGAUAACUACCCAAGUAAUUUGCUCGAGAAUUUUAAACCGAGAAACUCAGAGUACAAAAUAAAAUAACAACCCAAGGUCGAGAGUGCGAAGGCGGCCGAAACUGUGAUAACAACCCAAAGUCGGAAAUGGAGGUGUUGGGUAAUUGGUUAAUGGUUCCGGGUUUACUCUACCUGCUCAGCGAGCAGUCUUCUCUAGCGGAGUUUUAAACACUUUGUAUAGUUUUCGGGCUUCCUUUGCUGGUUUCAACAGUUUAAACCAUUAAUUUAAGUUAUUGAGCUAUUUUGUACUGGAAGCCAACAAAAGAGGAAAUUAGGACCAGAUCGACCUUCUGAUUGCUUGCUUCACCUGUCAGUAAAAUGCUAAUACGUUCCUUUCAGACAGGAGGAAUGUUGCAGAGCAAACACAAAAACGUGUUGUUUCUCCUUGCGAGAAGGAUGAACAAAUUUCCAGCACAAAACCGGAAAUUUCUCAUGAGCUGCUGAACAGAAACCAGGCCUGAUGAAUAUAUAUAUAUAUAUAUAUAUAUAUAGUGAUGUGAUUAUUGCAUACCAAGUGAUCCACGAGGCUUCAUCUUUGCACCUUAGCUUGGCCAUCAAAAGUCCGGUUUGGUAUCACGUUUGUGCUUUCCCACUAAAUACACCCCAUCUACCUUGCUCAUCCCUAUUAACAGCUUGCUCCCUGCCAAAUUUGAAGUCAGACAUGGGUCCAUUCUGAUGCCCGGCCGCCCUUGGAGGGCUGGAAUUCCUCCUGCUAUCAGGUGCAUUCCUCUGCUUGUAUCUAUUAACUUCUGCUGGUGCAUUCUGCUUCCCAUGAGCGUCAUUGCCUUGUCGAGCUCUGAAGACACCAUAACUUGGGCCCUGGGAUCAGGAUUAUCUGGAGCAAAAUUUUGUCCGUGGUUCCUGGAGUUUGUAGAUGCAGGAUACGCACGAUUGACACCUUCAGUUUCUCUUCUUUGGGGCGAUGCAUUCAUAUUCAAUGGUGGUUGCCUCACCCUAUCAGGAAACUGGGAUCCUGACUGCAAUGUGUCUCUCCCACCAGGUCGUGGAUAAUGUGAAGAACCACCUUCUGAUGAGCUCGAUGGUUCACGUGCAAUUGAGAAUUUCUCACUCCUUGAACUCUUAGAAACCCCAUCUGCAUUGUCGUUGAGGUCAAAAAGUUCAUCAAAAUCAUCAUCUGCAUUAGCUGUUGUCCAGCCAGAUAUUUCCUUUUGCUCAACAUCAUCUCUUUCUUCAGAAAGAACGUCAUCAUCACCUCCCACCUCUUGAACACUAGCACUUGCUGCUUUCUUGUCCAUAGAUGCUCUCUUUAAUGAGCCUUUUUUUAAUGGACCAUACUUAACAUGCCUCAUAAUAACAUGUGCCUGAUCCUUUUCCUCCACUCGGGUAUCAGUUUCAACAACAGCUAUAUCUUCAAUCUAAAUAUCAAAGUGUUAUUGCCAAAAUCAAAAAGUAAAAGAGGUUUGGGCAGGGCCACGAAAUUACGAAGUAUACUUACCAAAGCAGAGAAUCGAGAAAACAAUGUUGCAGAGUCCUCACCCUUAUCCACAUUACCAAUAGCUACACACUGGUAAAAAAAAGGAAACAUGAAAAAUAUUUUCCAAGUGAAAUAUAAACCAAUUCCAGUAGAAAAGAAGAUUUUAAGCAAAUGGGCAUUUUGCAAGUGUCAAAGUGUCAGAACGAAACUAAUGAUUCAGUCUUAUUUCCAAGUUUAUAUAUAAAACUAGCACAAUUUCCAAUAACAAUCAGGUAUUCUGACACACUUGAUGAUGCAAUCGCUCCGUUAGUAUAGGCUUGAUAAAAUACUCCGUUAGCUCAUUCCAGGGAAAACCAUUAGCUCUAAACUAUAACAAGGAAGAAGGACAAUACCUUGACACGAUAACCGCUCUCCAUUAGUCUCUUUGCCAUGUCCGCUUUAAUUUGUAAGUCAUUGGGUGUCUGGAAAGGGAAAAGAAAAGGGGGUAAAAAAAUACUGUCAUAGUAUCCGUGGGAUCCAAAUUAAGCAUCAGAACUCAAGCCACUGUCUUGUUGAUUUUGCUGAAAUAACUCUGAAAAAGAAUCGCAGUCUGAAAAGGCAAUAGGCAUAUACAAUCAUGCAGCAAUCACCAGAUACAAUUUUGACGACUAAAAGGGGACACUUUGUAUGCAACAACAGAUAUAAAAUAGGCCCUAUAAAUUUUUUCAGAUAAAAUUUCACAAGAAGUGGACAAGAAUUAUUGAUAGAUUGAGGGCUCCCACAAGCACUAAACCAAAACAAUGGUAAAAAUAUCAACUGCAAUAAGACUUACUGGUGUCCAGAAAGGCAAGUAAUAAAACACUUACAAUUUUAGCAGCAAAUCGAACUUCUUUGCAGCCUCCGUUGCGUAAACUAACUUUAGACUGUGUUAAAUAGACCAAAAAGAUUAAACUUGGCCCCAGAUUAAAAAGAGAGAAAAGGCACUAUAUCAUUAAUUCAUAAUCUCACAUACUACAAGAAUUAGUGAACCGACAUGUCUGAAAUAUCCAAGCAGGAAAAUUAUGUAACUUCAUAAUUCACAUGCAUGCAUAAGCAUGUUUUGACUUCUCAUCACAUAUCUCUAUGCAAUAUCAACCAUAUAGGCCCAAAUGCACAAGAACUGUGUCAAAUAAAGCAAUAAACUAGGAAGUUGUAUGAAACAGUAAUCUUGGUAAACUACUUAGGAUCGUGCUGCAGUAAAAUCCACAUGACUACAGUGCAUUUCAAAUAUAAAUCACGCUACUAUCAUUAGGAACCUAAACACGAGCAAAAAAAUGAGAUCCACAAACAAUAAAAAGAUAGCUGCAGUAAAAUCCUCAAUAAAGGACAAAAAUGUCGAGUUAUUCAGUGAAAUGAUCCAAUUCAACCCCUUGAAAAAGGCAAAGGUUCAAGUAAAAAGGUACCGUACCCUUUGUUUGGAGCGUUCUUUUUCCUGUAACUCUUUUUUAUAUUUUUCUUUGUAGUAGUCCAUAAGUUUGCACACAGGAGGCUUGGCAUUUCGUUGAACCUGAAGAAGCACCCCAUCCCCCAGCCAAAGGGGGGAAAAAAAACAAGAACAUAGAUUAGAUUAAGAGCCAUAUGUCUCUCUCUCUCUACCUCUCUCUCUCACACACAUAUGCAAACCCACAAGAAGAAAGGACCAAUUAAACCAUAUGCUUAUGGACCUGAGAAACUAAGAAGGAUAUUGCUUUUUUAGGAGCUUGUAGUGUUCAAAAGCAACAGACCUAGGGUAGGCCUUGAUUCAAUUACAUAUUUACUGAACCUCAUUUAGAAACUAGUGCCUUUAAUUAAAACAACUGCUAACAUUAGCCUAUCGAAGCUCUAUAUCCUUUUUGAGACAAAGGUACAGACAGGCACAUAACCAAUUUUACUUGAUGUAUAAACUAUCUCUCAGGAUCUGUGGGCUCCCAACUAUCUACGGGAAAGGGCUCUGUGUGGACUCAGGACAAACCCCAGAGAAGUAAACUCGAGACAUUCUGAGGAUGUUGCAUCUCUGGGCAACCAGCACUUGCUUGGACAUCAUGGAGGAUCUGGAUCCGUUCAACAAGAAUGGACAAGUGCAGGAGGAUCCAAAUCUGCUGCAGAGGGUAGAAGGCAGAAGAGAUGGAGUGGAAGACUGCCAAUCAGCAAUUGGAGAAGGCAACGCCAUGCCUUAUCGCGACACAAUUGGGGUCAAACUAUCACCCACGAAGAAGAUGGGUAGGAGAGUCUCUUUCUCUCUUCCUUUUAAUCUUGGGUAUAGACUGGCAAGAAGCAGCCGGGAGGUUCAUUUUCCCUGCCCCGGUAUAAUAGGAGCAGAACUAAGGAUCAAAAUAGACAGAGAAGAGGUGGGACACCACAUGGACUUUGUGAUGAGAGCUUGGCCACUUCUGGAGGAACAUCGAGACCCAGGAAGGCAGAGGAGAGUGGCCAGAAUGUGGAAUGUAGGGAGACGAAUACAUAGACAGGCGAUGCAUGUGCCAGGGUUCAAUCUGAUCAGGAAGUUUAGCCAAAUGAAGAUCAUCACUGGGAAUGUGCAUGGGGCUGGAAGCACCACAUUCAGGAUCACUUUUUGGAUCUCUAUGACAUCCACAACCCAGAUGUAGUCAUAGUUGUAGAAACUAAGAUAGGAGGACAAGCAGCUGUGAACAUGUAUGUGAGCCUACCCUUUAGUGGGUACAAGAUUGUGGACUCAGUUGGAAGGAGAGGAGGUCUCUACCUCUUAUGGCAUCCUAACGAAGUUCGGGUCAACAUCAUCAGUAAAACAGAACAAGAAAUUCAUGGUCUAGUGCAAGUAUCCUCGGAUACUCCCUCUUGGUUUCUUUCAGCUGUGUAUGCUAGCCCAAACUAUAAUAAUAGGGUCAUUCUGUGGGAGAAUCUAAAACAUGUAGCCUCCCAGAACUCCCUUCCCUAGUUGUGUCUGGGAGAUUUUAAUGAAAAGUUAUCCAAUUUGGAAAAGUUAGGGGCAACCCCAUCAAUCAAAAUCAUGCUACAGUCUUUCAAAGCUGUCUGGACUUUUGUAAUUUGCUAGACAUUGGCUACUCUGGCCCUAGAUUUUCUUGGCUUAAUAAACGUUUUAAUAAGGGUUUGAUUCUUGAGAGAAUAGAUAGUGUUCGGAAAUCCUUACUGGAACUCCCUGUUCCCAGACUCAGUUAUUCAUUUACCUAGAACUAGAUUGGACCACUGCCUGAUUUUAGUCAAUCUCUUCCUUCCUGUUAGAUGUAUGAAAAUUUUUAGAUUUGAAAAAUUUUGGUUGGCUGAACCUUCCUUAAAAGAGGUAGUUCAACAAUCUUGGGGUGAUAAUAAUAGCUUGAUGCUUUCUAUUGUUAAGUUUACUGACUCUGUCCAAAUUUGGAGUGAAACCACUUUUAAAAAUAUCUUCAAGGAAAAAAGGAUUCUGCUGGCCAGAAUCUGGAGUAUCCAACAGAGGCAGCAGAAUGACAUCUCCCAUCACCUUGUUGACCUUGAAGCCCAACCUCUGAGUGAGUAUAAUUUGGUCCUUAUCCAAGAAAAGGAGCUCUGGUGUAUGAAGUCUAGACUUAACCAAGUGAUCUGGAAUGAUUUAAACACAAAAUUUCUCCAAGCUGCUACUAUUCAAAGGAGAAAAAGGAACAGUAUUCACACACUCAGAACCCUUGCUGGAAAUUGGAUUUCUGAUCAGAGUCAGCUUAGGGACCAUAUCUGUCUCUACUACCAGAAGCUCUUUUCUACAGAUAUGGUUUGUUCCUUUAGGGAACCCGAUGGGUUUCCUGUCAUGAGGAGAAUUCAAGACGCUAGUACAAAAUUGCAACUGGGUAGAGUUCCCUCUCCUCAGGAAAUAGAUUAGGCCAUCAUGGACCUGAAACCCAUGAAUCUUUCAAUCUUUCUGCUUACCUCCUGCUUUCUUUCAAUCUUUCUGGACUGAAUCAAGGGCUCUAUUUAUAAGCUAGUCAAAGAAUCUUUUGUUUCCUCCAAUUUGCCUGAGGGAGCCAAUGAAACCUAUAUUUGCCUUAUUCCUAAGAUCAGUGAUCUGGAGAAUAUCCAACAGUACAGGCCCAUCAGCCUUUGCAACACCCCUUACAAGGUGUUAUCCAAACUUCUAGUCAACAGAAUCAGGCCCCUCAUGGAUUCCAUUAUUUCUCCUACCUAAACCAGAUUCAUACCUGGCAGAAGAGGCUCAGAUAACAUUUUUAUUGUCCAAGAAGCCACACACUGCUUAAACAAAAAGAAAUGCAGGAAUGCCUUCUGUGCUUUGAAAAUUGAUCUGGAAAAGGCUUAUGAUAAGUUGGAAUGGUGUUUUAUCAAAGCCCCGCAUCACUUUGACUUCCCUCCUACCUUAUGCUCUGUUAUAAUGAAGUGCAUUUCCUCCAGCAGAGUGGCCAUCCUCAUUGAUGGCACUCCUACUGAUUGGAUUCUUCCCUCAAGAGGUAUUAGACAGGGGGACCCUAUUUCCCCAUAUAUCUUUCUUUUACGUAUGGAGUACCUUUCUUUCAGUAUUGAGCAGGCACUCCAACAGGGGAGUUGGGAAGCUUUAAAAUAGGUGGGUGGGUUGGGGGGGGGGGCUUGCUAUUUCCCAUUGUAUGUUUGCAGAUGAUAUAAUCCUUUUGUCUAGCUGUCGUAACUCUUCUAUCUCUGAGGUCAAAUCCAUUUUGGAUAAUUUUUGUCUGCGCUCUGGUCUCACCAUCAGCCUUGAGAAAUCAAAAGUCUUCUUCUCCAAAAACACUGAUCCUUCCAAACCGACCAAAAUCUCUUCUUUCUUAGGCGUGCACAGCAUAGAUGAUCUAGAGAAAUACCUAGGAAUGCCUCUUUCCCAUACCAGAAUCUCUCCACAAAAUCAUGCUUUCCUGGUAGACAAAAUUAGACAAAAGCUAGCUGGCUGUAAGGCAAAUCUUAUUUCCUUUGCUGGAAGAAAAGCUAUCAUUCAACAAGUUUCUUCUGUCAUGUCUUCCUUUUAUGCACAUUGUGCUCCUUUACCUAAGUCCACUUGUGAUACUAUUGACAAGAUACAAAGAGACUUCCUAUGGGGCUCCACCACGGAUAAGAAAAAGCUUCAUUUAGUUAAAUGGGAUGCUGUAGCUACCCCUCUUUGUCAAGGCGGACUAGGAAUUCGCAAGACUGCUGAUGUGAAUAAGGCUGCUAUGGCUGGCCUCUGCUGGAGAUUAAGACGUCAAAAGGACCAACCUUCGGCUCAGAUUUUGAACGUUCUAACCACCAGAGAAAACUCACCCUGAAUGAGAAGCAGGGGUCAAUUAACAAAAAGUGUUUUGAAGCUAGGUGUUGAUCUCUAUAAUAGAGGAAAAAAUUGGACAAUUAAGAAUGGCAAUACUGUGAGAAUAUGGCUUGAUGAUUGGACGGGACUAGGACCUCUCUGACAUCUCAUUUCCGGCCCUGUCACUGAAGGGGAAGACACUAUGGUGGUCGCUCAGAUAUUUGGAGAGAGAGGUUCUUCGAACCUCAACAAAAUUUCUGUCAUACUACCAGAGCUUGUAAUUAUGGUUAUCAAGACCAUUCCUAGACAGACCACCUCUCCUGCAGAAGAUUCCUUGAAGUGGCAAUUUACCCCAAGUGGUCAGUUCAGUCUGAAGACAGCAGUUGAAUUAAUUUGCUCGAAUAACACUGCUGAUGAUAGUUCAGAAAGGGACUGGAUAUGGAAAGUGAUGGCUAGCAAUUGAGUAAGACAUUUCUUAUGGAUUGCGUGCCAAGAUAAACUCCCAACAAAAAGCAAUCUACUCGAAAAAUCCAUUGUCCAGGAAGAAUGCUGCCCACUGUGUGAUCACAACAGAGAGGACACCUAACAUAAUCUGAUUUUCUGUCCUAAGGCCAAAAUCUUAUGGAAAAGACUUGCUGUCCCUUGGAACUUUUGCCUUUGCUGGUCAGAAUUUAUGCUCUUGGCUAAAGAAAGUAUGCUGUAUGCCAGACCAUUCACCCUAUUAUGGGAUUCCCUGGGGAACCAUGGCAGAAUUUGGCUGCUGGAUGCUUUGGAAGGAUAGAAACAGGACUAUCUUCAAACCUCAACCCCCCCCCCCCAAAUAAACUUGUACAUAGCUACAAUUGUUAGAGCAACAGAAUUCCUAAGCAUAGGUCCUUUGAGCAGGAAAACCACCAGAUACAAGACCUUGUCUUGGUUGCUUGGGAACCACGCCCACCUCAUGCAUUCAAACUAAACAGUGAUGGAGCUUCAUUUGGUAACCCUGGGCCAGUAGGGCCAGGAGGAAUCAUACGAAAUCAUUUAGGGAAUGGAUAAGUGGGUUUAGUAGAAAUCUGGAAUGGGCUUCCGCUGGCAAAAUCCCUUAGCAUACAGAAUAUUCAUAUUGAGCUGGAUGCUAGUGUGCUAGUUCAAAAGAUCUCUAAAGAUAAUUGUGAUUCUUGUUCUUACUAUCCUAUUAUUAAUGACUGCAGGACUAUCAUGAGAACCUUCCUCACAACCACUGUUAAGCAUGUAUUCAGAGAAGCAAACUGCCGUGCAGAUCCUUUGGCAAAAAUGGGUGCAGAAGCUGAAGAAUAAGGACUCAAGGUUUUCAAUGAGCAGCCUGCAGCCAUUUCGAAAUUAGUUGAGAAUGAUUAUAGGGCAUCCUGUUUGCCCCGUUUUGUAAAAUCAAGCACUUAAGCUCGAAUUUGUUGUUCUGGUUAUCUUUUUUUUUUUGGUCAGUGCAAGGAACUCCCUUUCCUACCAAAUAAAUAAACUAUCUCUCAAAUUCCAAAGGUUUAGCUCAAUAUUCCUCAGACUAAACUAACCUUAUGGCCCCCGCUCUACAUUAGCAGUAUCUGCUUGGUUAUUAACAAGCUGCCACAUGCUCUGAUGUAUAGGAAGGCCACAACAUGUCGUAACAACAAAUAUCAAGACAACAUGUUGUAACAACAAAUAUCAAGAUUGAGGUGAAAAAGAUUUACCUCCACCAAAUCAAGCUCCAAACUCCUCGCACGCUUUAGUGCUUCAUACCUUGAUACAACAGAGUGGCCUAUGAAUAUAAACGAGUUUAAGUAAACAAUUAGAGCAGACUCACCCACAAAAUGAAAUCAAUUUAAAAUGAGGCCUCUUCCUUAGAAUCCAUAGAAACCAAUCAAAACAAAGCCAUGCCAAAAGACAUCUAACGGCGAGGUUCAGGUCUCGUGAAAUUUUGGUCAAGCCUAUGAAACUUCCCUAACAUGGAUAAUGUUUAACAGAUCGAGCCUCAGCUUUUAAAGCCUGUAGCCAGCUUCUUCUUCCCCUUUUUUUUCCCUGGGACCCCUAAAUUCUAGUCUUCAAAAAUCGACAACUGAGUUAUUGAAAGGCAAAUAGAAAUAGAAUGAUAAGAAGACGAGAGAUGAUCCUCGUCAGGGGUAACUAAAUGCAGAAGCACCAUGGUGCCAUGUAAACAGACAAGAAGACACAACGUAUAAUUUCCUCCAUAUUACCAUUCGAACUGGAACAAAUUUCGAUGCUAAAGUGAAUAAUGCAGGACAUGUCAAAAUUCAGAAAGUGAGCACAAUUUGUUUUGGGUGUAUCUAGUUGCUGUCACCUUCUUCAGUGACGAGUCGAAUAACAUCAGCGGUGACUUGCUCAUUCAAUCUCGGCCCGUCGGCGUGCUUCUCUUCCUUCUUUUUCAUGAACUGCAAUUGCCCAGACAUUGCUCCAUCAACUAAAUUGUCAAAGUAGAUUCUUAUUCAAACAAAAUUCAGAGACGAGUAGUCACCUGAACCGGAGCAGCGAAGCAUCUGACAUUGGUAGGCAAGUCGAGUAGAGGUGUGUGGCCAGGUGAGCUCGGAGAGUAUAAAACUGAAAUCUUGGUACGAUUGGCUGAAAUGGGACUGUGAAUCUGAAGGUAGGACCUUGAGAAUUGGUUCCACAAUUUGGUAUCGAUUUGAGAUCGCCUGACUCGCGUCCAAAAUGCCAUUUCUCUUCCUCUCCUUUUUUUUUUCCCUGAUUUUAUUUCCACAUGAAUUUGGAACUAGAACCCAAUAGUUAGAGUUAAAACUUGAAAACAAGUUAAUCGAGAAAUCUGCAGCGAACAACUAGAGAACAGACAGGGGAAUUGAGAGAAGAAGAGACGACGUCGCUGGCCCCCAAAAAAAAAAGACGGAUCGGGUUAAGCGGAUCAAGAAGGCUCUAGUUAGGUUCUGCUCCUUGGGCCUUGGCCAACUAGAAAAGGCCAAAUUAUAUGAAUAUACCCACUAAGCUUUUAGAAUCGUCGAGUUUCGGCUAUCAAACUAUUAAAGUCUGAUUUUAUUUACUGAACUAUCAAAAGUUUAGAUUUUGGAUCAUUUCGUUAGAUUUAAUCGUUAACCGUGUUGGUUCUGAGUGUACGAUGAUAAAAGCAAGGGUCAUAAUUAAUGAUUAAAUUUGACGGAAAGAUUCAAAAUCUAAACUUUAGAUAGUUUAGUAGUCAAAAUCAGACUUUUUUUGAUAGUUAAAUGAUCAAAACUGGAUGAUUCGAAAAAAUUUAGUGAUUAUCCUAAUAAUUUGCAAGCUUGAAAAUGUUAGUAAUGGCCUAAUGGGCUGUGUUAGUGAAGUUUUGUAGUAGUUAACUUUCAUAUUUCUACAAGUAGGUUUAGGGCAGCCAUUAUCUUGGGCUUGGACGUAGACGCAGGUAGUGCGCCCAAAUAUUGGGGACUUGGAUUUAUCGAAGUCCAAGGUCCAUAAUUAUCAAAAAAAAAAAGUCCAAGGGUUUAUGCCUUUAUGGAGUGUAGGAUUCAAUUUUGACGGGCAUUUUUUUUUUUUUGGGACAAUACAGCUCAGCCGGUCCAAGAUAUUUUCUCUUUUCGGAAGAAAAUGAAGAGAUAGAAAACUAUAUUAGUUGAUGGACUAUUGUCAUUUACCAAAAAGUACGGUAUAUGUAGUCGCCAACAGCAUGAUCCAAGCCACAAGCAACUUCAACGUCACCAAAUCCGUAUUCGAAGACUGAAAAUUGAUGGGCCAAGAUUAAUUAAUCCAAUCACAAAUUAACUGACUAACUAACUACGUGGAAGAUCCCCAUCCCUCCCAAUAGUUUUGUCAACGCAAGCUAGUAAUGACGGGCGACAUCCUCGCAAAGAGUCGUGUGUUUGAAUUGCACUGUCCAUAUGAAAGCUGUGUUAAUGGGUAAUUUAUAAGAAUUUCUGUAAGAAAUUUAUGAUUCCGAGGACACAUUCUGACUCGUGGUGAUGAUCGGAAUCGAAUCUAUCCGAACUUUUCAUUACCCAAAAAAUAAUAAUAAUUUUGAACGGACCAAGAGCAACAGCAUGAUGAAGUGUAUCCAAGCCACAAGCAACUUCAACAUCACCAAAUCGGUAUUCGAAGACUGAAAAUUGAUGGGCCAAGAUUAAUUAAUCCAAUCACAAAUUAACUAACUAACUAACUACGUGGAAGAUCCCCAUCCCUCCCAAUUGUUUUUUCCAAAAUGAGUUGUCUAUCAUUAGUCUAAGAUUCCACAACCGAACUCAAAAACAUUUAACCAUAGAGAAGCAAUGAUAACAUUUAAUUUUGACAACACAAGUUGGUAAUGAAUAAUAGGUUGUACUCUCACAAAUGGUCGCGUGUUUGAAUUGUACUAUCUACGUAACGGCUGUGUUGAUGGGCGAUUUGUAAGAACUUCUGUAAGAUAUCUAUGAUUUUGAAGGCAUGUUCUGACUCGUGAUGAUGAUCGGAAUCGAAUUCAUCUAAACUUUUCAUUACCUAAAAAAAAAAAAUUUUUUUAACGGACCCACAAUUAGAUUCAUAAUUGUCUUCUCCCCGUGGCAGGGUUCUACCCAAACACGUUUGGGAUUGAAAUUUGAAGAUUUGUUCGUAUGAGCUUACGUCGUAAUAUCUCUUCUUCUGACUACUAAAAGAGUAAAAGUCAUAAACAUUCGUCCGACCGUAAUCACAAGUCCGACAUUGGACUGUUGGGCCGACAGAAUUCAAAAUUUUGCAAGUUCACAAUGUGCAUCACGGCGUACGUCAUGUGUGCGUUGUACGUAGAAGUCGGAAAAUCGGAAUGAAGACAUUCAGAAAGUAGAGGGUUUUUGGUAUUUUGACCAGGCAUAUAUCUAGGAUCGAUGCAGGCGUUAGAAAGUCCAAAGCAUUUGAAUUUUGACAAAGCUCAACACAAAGGUGGACAUGUAAAGGUCCAUUUGUGUAAAAAAAAAAAGACCAAUGGAAGCUUUAGGCAACUUGAGAACCAAAUCUAAUUACAACUACUAGUAUACCAAAUUUAUGAGUAUUACAAUUGGGAAGGUUUUAUUUUUACUAUCACUCAUUAUUCUUCUUUUUUUGAUUAGAAUCUUCAACUUCAAUACAUGGAACCAAUUAGAAACAAUUAAUGUUUCCUAUGCUAGUGAUGUUGCAGUAAAAUAUUUUAUACAUUUGUAAGUUUUGAUGUAUAAUGCAUGAUCUCGUUUGCAUUAGUGAUAGAACACCUACACAUGAUUUUUAUUUUUUUUUUGUUAAUUUGAACAUGUGUGUACGUAUAAUUACGACUGAAGGUUAAACAAAAAAAAAAUAAAAAUUCACACUACUACAGCGUCAAAAUUAUCAUUUUUAAGUAGGGUUAUUAUCACUUUACCCCGUUAAAUUAUAUUAUUACUAUCAAUUUAUUCCCUAACGUUAUUCUUUUAGUCCUUUUAUGCCAAUAGGUAAUUCAGUUCGGCAUAUUAACAAAUUUUGGACAAAAUUAUCCUUUUAUUUUAUAGCAUUACUACAUUGUUAUUAUCACUUUAUUCCUUUAAAUUAUAGUGAUACAAUCAUUUUACUCUAUAACAUUAUUUUCUAGGCGUUUUACUCCAUUGUUAACCUUAACCAGUAUGUUCAAAAAAAUUUUAAUGUAUUUAACAUUUUUAUAUAGAAUUAAAAAUAAAAUUUUGGAAUGGUUUUUCUUCAUUUUUUUUUCACUCGAAGAGUUCCAAAAAUAUAAAAAUAAAAGAAUUUUCUCAAAUUUCUUUUUCGCACUUAUUAAUGCUAGGAAAAGAAAAGGAGAUAGGAGAGUAGGAGACAAAAAUUAUAUUUUGAAAAGAAAGAAAAUAAGGAAGAACCUGAUAUUAUUGUAUUACUUUAAUGUUGUCGGGAGUAGCAUUGGAAUUAGGUAAUAAAUAGAAAAGUAAAGUAAUUUUAAAAUAAUAAAAAUAUUGAAUUCUUUCUUAUUUGUACUUUUUAAAAAAAAAAUACAAAUAAGACUCUCUCUUUCUCUAUCUCUCCCCCUCUCGACUUUCGAUGUUUUUCAAUAUUUAAUAAGAUUAUCAAGAAGAAAGAAAUUAAUGCUCUGACUCUUUUUUUUAUGCUAAAAAAGAGAAGAACCAUUUUAAAUUUUUUAUUAUUUUUAUUAUACUAAGAGCAGGGUACUUUCUUCUAAAAUUUUUUAACUUGCUAAAUUGAUUUAAUGGUGGGAUAAAUUGUCUAAAACAUAACUCUAGGGGUAAAUUGAUAAUAAGGCUAUAAUUUAUGGGAUAAAGAAAUAAUGAUAAUUUUAAGAGCUAAACAUGCCCGUUUACUUGAAUUAACAAACUCUGCUAAGUUUGACCAUUAAUUAUGUAGGUAAAAUGACUAAAAAAUAAUGUUAAAGAAAAAAUUGAUGGUAGUACUAAACUUUAAGGGGAUAACGUGAUAAUAACCCUUAAUCAAAGGUUUGUUUGGAUUGUGCUUUAUUUGGAAUAUUUUUACUGUAGCACUUUUUUGUGAUGUGAUGUGUGCGAGAUAAAAAGAUAAUUGGGAAGAUAAAAAUGUGUAUUGGAAAUUGUAAUGAUGAUGUAAGCAGGUAAAAUUGGGGAAAUAAAACACAAUCCAAACAAAUAAAAUCAAAUUCGAAAGGAUAUGGUUGCCUACUUUCUCUUAUAUUUAAGAUUUAAGAUAGGCAUGCGUCAUGAAUGUAAAAGUACUGUAUUAGAAAGGGAUACAUAUAAAUUGGCUUGAAAGAGCUCAUCUAGAGCAAAAAUUGGCUUGAAAUACUCAUUGCAUCUGUAACAGAGCUGCUGUAAAAAGCUCAGAAACGUAGAAGGUAAUUCAGGGGCCGCCAUUUUUAAUACAGCGCAGCACAGCGUGAACUAAACUAGUACUAUUAGACGAUUAAUCGGACAUUAAUUAGUGCAUGCUUUGGCCUCUGACUGAAGAAUGGAGAUCCAUGUAUCAUAUUACACCAUCACACAUACACAUAUAAAUGGGAGUGGUGAGUGAUUCAGGUAAAAGUGCAUUAUAUAUUGGAGUCGUGUAUUUUUAUCCCUGGAUGCUGGAGGCCACCAUGCAUCUUCAAUCCUGCGAUGGUUAAGAUAAGGAAAAGGAAGCAUGAAAAGUCGUGUGUCGUGCUCUAUCACAAAAUCAUUUUCGAUACUGUAUUAUCCAUUCCAACGUACAAAAGGCCCCGCGACUCAAAGUUUUCAUAAAUUCAACGGGCUUAUUAAUUUGCUUGACGACCCCAGCAGCAACGCUGUUGCAUAUUCUGCAUGGCAACAGCCUCACUUUUGAGUAUUAUUGGGGUCAGCCCCAGUAGCAGUAGCAGUAGGUUGCUGCAAUGCAAUCCUGCAUCAACGGGCUCAUCCGAUCCUGUGGUUUAUAAUUUGCUCGAGGAGCUAGUCUUCCGCGAGAUCAUGCCCUCAUCAGCAAUUUCUGAAUCUGACUGCUGAAUGAUUCAAUCAAGGACCACAUAAGUUUAGAAAAGGAACUCCAAAGGUCGAUGACACCGUCCCGUAAUAAUUCAAGACAAGAUUUUUAACUAUUUUUAAAACAUUAAAUGCAGUAGGGGAAAACAAAAAAAGUGCACAAGGGAGGAAUUAGCAGAUGGAGGGCGGUGGGGAGUGGGAUUAAUUGGCUUGGACGUUAAUGUUGGGACGUCCUGGAACUGGAAGAAGAUGAGGAUGUGCUGAUGCUGCAUGCACAUACAUAUAUGCUUGCACUGAGCCCACCUCAAUCCUCUCUUCUUUGUCUUCUAGUACAAACAAAGAAGGAGGCAGUACUGAACCAAAUUAGCAGUUUAUGAGUAGGAGGAGGGAAGGUGAGGGGAGGCGAAUCCGCCCCAACCACCCGAUCGAUGGGACUGUGAUUGUCCAUUCGCGAGUCAUCCCCCAAACUACAUACUCUAAUGUUAGGUGAGGGGACAUAUCUCCCUUCUCCUAUCCUCCUCAACAUUUUUUUUUUUUUUUUAUCGUAAUGAUAACGUUUCUAUAACCCUCCUCAAAAUUUUUCACCCUUUCAAUUAUUCGACCAGAAUCAGUUUGUUUGUAGUACUCGAAUUGGAAUACUAGUAGUACGAGCUGCAACGAUAGUCCGACCCCAAGAUUUCGUUUGAUCAAGAUCAGUUCAUGUGGUGGUAAACUUUUGGCAUUCCUAGUUUUGACUACUACUUGUCUUUCACAAGUAGAAACCGAGGCAACAGGCAUUUCACAUUUUAUCGUCAUAUGAUCAUCAUCAUCCAGACAAGCCUUCAAGCAAAAGGUGAAGGACACAUGAAUGAAUAUUGAAAGUACACCAGCAUUAUUAAUUUCAUCCUUCAGUACUGCAGUAUUUAUUGGUCUCACUGGCUCCUUCACAUCCCUUGCCUAAUUCAUACCCAACCCAACCUUUCAACAACAAAUUCUCGACUGUGUUCUCUACGCAUCUGCUUCCAGCUGGUGUAUCAACUAUCAAUAGUGUGCUCUCGCUGAACUCGUGCUACAGGUCUCUACCAUGAGAUUUUUGUUUUUCUUUCUUUCCCCUGCAGGAAGCGGUGGAUCAAUUUAUAUUAACUGCAACACAAAUAUAUGCAGUGUCAUUGUCGUCUUACUGCGGAAUGCAAUACGACCAAACAAUGAUGUAAAAAGAUGAAAUACAGGCCUUUAGAUCAUGAAAUGUUGGAUGUGGGGGCGAAUUAGAAUGAGCUACGUGGCCUUUGUUAUAUCAGAAGACACAUGAUUGAGAUUUGGCCAUACAUUGCAAAGAGAAAAAAAAGACCCGAAAUUGACCUGUUUUCUUUUCGAGUUCAUCGGAUUUGACCCGAACUCUCGAAAUCUUAACCCAAAUUCAUUAAUUUUAUAUUAGAUUCGUGUCGUAUUUUCGGAUCGUGUCAGAAAUUAUCACCCCUAAACAUACAAAUUCAACUAGAUCAAAAAGUAUCCUGACAUAACCCUUAGUCCAAGGAGGAACUCAGGCCGCUUCCUAGUACCCACAGAGCCAGUGGUUGACUAAAAACUUAUUUGCCAUGCAAGGGAAAUAAAUAUAAGGACCGGCUUGGCAAUUCGGCAGGAGUUUUGUAGCAAAGGUCCAACGUGUCAUAACGUGAGGACAUUGCCAAGAAAUAUCAAAGGUAAGUUGGCUCCGACUUAUGUUAUCCAUUCAGAUAAACACCACCAAUUGACUCUCUUUCUGUCGCGGAUGUAUAAUCACCACCAAUGAGUCACAUGAGUGAUAAAUAUUAUUGUAAUGUUAUUAAUGAGACUUGGAGUUUUUUCUUUUCUUUUCUUUUCUUUUCUUUUUGGGGUUUUGGAGUACAGUAAAUUACUACAUGUUACUAAAUUUCUAUCUGUUGCAGAUGCAGAGGAACAAAUUGGGUGCUGCUAGACUAGGACUAGGCUAGCUAGAUUUUCUCUCUCUCUAACAUUGGGUUUUGGGGGUGGAGCCCAAGUUGGUCCUCUCUGCUUUGCUGGCUUCAAGUUUUCCAUUGUCGGUUUUAAUGGCGCUUGUCUGCUGCUGAGAGAGACCAGAGUUUCAGUUGCCCCAAUCAAACCAUUUUUCUACUUUUGGGAUUGCUAAUAGACCACUAUUAGUACUUCUUUAGUGGCUGGCUGGCUGGCUUCUCUCUUUCCCUUUAUUCAUAAGUAGUUGUGUAUCAAUAUCUUCCUUUUUUAAGUCCCUUCCCCUCAUAGCACUUUGUCGUCGUCGUCGUCGUCAUCAUCCUCAAUCUUUCUCAUGCCCAAGAAAAAAACAAAAGACCC
Molecule: long non-coding RNA, 89112 nt
Filed under: Coffea arabica (coffee)
Lineage: Eukaryota; Viridiplantae; Streptophyta; Magnoliopsida; Gentianales; Rubiaceae
Description: long non-coding RNA (CARA_LNC006414)
Source: RNAcentral